CCGCAUCAAUUCCAUGAAAUGGUACAUAAGCAGCAGUAAGUGUCCCAGAUCCUACACCUCGUUUUGCUGUAUCUGCGUACAGUUUCAGGAUAGCAACUGCAAGAGAGUAGCAUCAUCUGCCCUUCUGUAAAUUCUUUCUGCCAACCCACCUCGUUUGAAACAUAUGAUAACAAAUCUCAGAAACAGCUCUUGAUGCACAAAGCAGCAAGCACAGACCUUCUGUAACACAGUCACUGAACCAUAGCAUAUGCAGCUUCAUCAUAAAAAGUAAUCUGGUGUUCUCCUAGUUACAUCUGGCUCUCCUCUCCGAGGAGCAGGCUCAAACUGCAGCCACAAAUAUGUUUAACUCGGGGAUCAAAAGGCAAAGAGAAGCAAAAGAUACAUCCAAACAGCUAAUGCAAGCAAGACUCUUUUCCUUCUACUCACCAUUAAACACAUGAAAGGGGAAUGUGUAGGCGAAACAAAUUAGACAGAUUACCUGAAUAAAUGUGUGGCCUUUGCAGUCAUCCACUUCCAGGAUGGAUGCCAUGUUUCCACAGCGAUAGCAAUAAUUUGGUGCGCUAAAUAUGGUAACAACUUUUUGAUCCUGUAAUAAUUAGCAUUAUAAUGUGAACAGUCAUAUCCCAUUUUGGAAAAAGUUGGAGGGUGAAAAGGGGGGGGGGGUAAGGCAUCACAGUGUUGAGAGAUUAUUUACAUGAGCCCAAUUGAAUCCUUCCAUAACCAACUGAUGUGCCCUAGCAAUAAGCUUUAAAUUGUUGGUGUGAUUAAAUUGCUCUGAUAUGUCCUGUUGAAAUUCGAGAAACAAGAAAGUUUACUUCGCGUGAUAUCAAUGAUUCAACGAAAACAACUGAAGGGAAGAGCAGAUACUUGGCCAAAUGUAUAUCCAGCACCGCGGGGUGAAAUGCCCCAACCACAACGGUCAUCAGGGUCAGACCACAAAAGAUCACACAUGGGUCCCUCGUGAGGAACUUCUUGUACACGAUCAAAAUUUCGUAUGUUGUCUAGAGUUUCAACUGACGGAGACAACCCUCCAUGCAGACAGAAAAUUUCUGACUCAACCUAGAAUAUUUCAAGACAAGACAUUAAACACGUACAAGAUAUGACCACAUCGUCAACAGCAAGACACAAGGCAAGAGAAACAGUAUAAUCUAGAGAGCCCAUCUAAGUUGAGAAAACUAUCACUAAGACUACAAGAAUCAUCCAUUCAACUUUCUCACAUAAGACCAUGGCACUCCAGUUUGCACUUCAGCACACAUAAAAGCAGUGCUCCUGACAGGAUACCACCAAACUAGUAGCACCAAUGAAACUAGUAUGUGGUGAUAAAGGUUCUUCGUGCUCAGUCGAAAGACUGAUCCUUAAUAUGGUUAAGGAGACAGUCUUGAUGGCAACUGCUAUAAAAGUGCGCAAUUUUUCCACCAAAGCAGGUAGAAAAAGAGGACAGGCAAUUAAUCAGUUUUACUCACUUCUCUCCUCCCAAACAAACCACAUCCUUGCAGAGUCACAAGAAAACCUCUUUCCAAGAAAUUAAGAGCAAAAACAAGAUAAAAUGAAGGCUAUGACGUAAUAACCCACAAUACCAAAUGGGGUGGGGCAUCUGCAAAUCUGAAGAAUUGCACAAGCAAUAGAAUUGCUGCCACAUGUUUUACAACUUGAGAAAUCUAAAUUACAUAUUGACUUCUUGGAUUCAUUAAUCAUUCAUUGUCUGGCCAAAGAAUUUACCAACAAUUCCCCAGUGCUUCACCAUAUCCCCCGAAGUGAUUAAUGAUUGAACACAAAUUCAAGUUUUGUUCCCCCAUUUCACUUUCGAUCAAAUAACUUCAAAAAAUGCAAUAAGCCAAUGAUCCCAACAAAAAUUCAUUUACUUUGAAAAACAAGGGCUUGAUUGGAGGAUGGUCAUGUCAGGGAUGACCAGGGAAAAUGAGCAUUAAGGGAUUAUGUUUUUGACAUCCAAAUAAAGUGGUUGCAAAGAACAUCUUUAUCAUUUACGGCCGCACCUGCAACCAAGUCAAAAUCCCAACCAUCUGAAAUUACAAGACUUAUUUAACAUCUUUUAACAUAUUAUAACAUGUCAGAAGUAAUUUAUCAACCUUCAGAGCGCUACUUCCCAACAAAUGCAUAUCUAAUGUCAAGAUGCUGUGACAUGUAAUCAAAUGAAACAAUUUCUGUGACUUCAAGAAAAAAUUCAAACACUAACCACUCUGCAAUGUCCACAAGAAGAAAAGUCCUGAUCAAUUUAGGAAAAAGUACACCAAUAAUUGCCAACAUGGAAUGUUAAUUACCAGCGCAGUGAGUGGAAAGUAGUCAAAUAGAUCAGUAAAAAUCUUCCAGACAUUUGCAUUGCCAUAUCUGCAAGGUAGAGAUAGCCAACAAUUAAUACAGUCAGUUCCAAUUAAUACACUGCAGCCGUAGACAUUAAAUACAAUGAGUUCACGAUCAAGUAGACAAUUUGGGAUCUAUAACGUAGACAAGUAAAAGAAAUCCAUUGUGGCUACUACAUCUGAAACACUUUUCAACACCUGUUUUCCCUUGAAUUCCCUCAAUUGUCUUGUAUCAUUUUCAACAUUAAGAUUUUGUUCAUGUCACAUUUUGCACCAAUUCGACACCCCUGACAAUUAGAAAUGGAUAGGGGUAACAGGAUGCCAACUUCCAAAUGCAAUAUUUCUAUAAAACAAAAUCAGUUGCAAAUGACACCUCUUUUGGCAAAGCAAAAGAAGUUUGCCAGCAACUGUGUACAAAUUCAUAAAAGCAGUGUGCCAAGGUACAAUGCUGAAUUGUACAAAGGUUCCAAUAACAUCUAGACAAAUCAAUAUUACUCCAAUGCAUAUUGCAAGGUGUAUCUUCAGAAAGGUCAAAACCAUUCUAAAUUCAAUGCACUUAAGCAAGCAGCAAUAAGCCCCAUAUAUAUAUAUUCCAUGAAAAGUAGAUUUUAUCAUCUAAAGCUUCACAUGAAAGAUAAUUAGCUUCACAUGCAAGAUAAUUAAUCAACUGAUGAUACUGAGUUCAUUGAGUUCAACUUUUAUACUACCAACUUUUGCUCAACCUUUAACCUGCCAAAUUAGCUUAGCAUCAAAUUUUCAACUUAAGCAUGAACAAUAAAAGCCAAAAGGGACAAAGGGAGUAGCAUUUCCAAAGGAAAGUCUGAAACUGAAAAAGAAGACAAGAACUUACUUCCUUAGGCAUUCAUCAUAAAACCCAUAUACUUGAGUAAUCUGAGACAGGAAAUGGGGGGAAAAGAGCCAGUUUAGCAUAAAGCAUCCAAACCCAAAAGACAUAACAUGAUGGGAAAUUUCAAAAUGAAAUAAAUCCAGCAGAAUACAGAAGAGAAUAGACCUAUAAUCUCUCAAAUUACAACUUCUGACGAUAAAAAAGGGUAGCUACCACCCAGCUCCACUUAAUGUUAGAAUUUCAACACAUUGGGGACUCAUCCUAGUGAACAAGAAAUGGGAGCCAUAACUGGGUUGUUUAACAGCUAAAGAAAGUGUAUGAGAAGCAAGACAGGUUAGUCUAUAUACCUGUCGACUCUCAUGAUUUCCUCUUAGAAUAGUAAUUCGUUGAGGGUAACGCACUUUGAGGGAUACCAGAAGCUGAGAAGAAAUUUGACUAAUCAAAAUUAGAACAACCAUUGCAGCACCCAAAAUGCAGUACUAACUAAAGAAACAUGGCAAGAAAGAAAGAAGGGGAAAAACAAAGAAAAAAAGAAGACAUACAUUAACUAUUAGACCAAAACCACCAAAAGUUUCAGGAACUGAGUAUUGAAACAUAUAGAAUAGGAAAUUCUGGCAUAUACCUUUGUGUUCUAAAUACUAAAGUAUAAGAUAAAAGUCACUAACUAUUUUUGCCCUCACAAAUAUUUUAAACCAAAUUCUGCAUGCUACAACAAAGUAGGAAGCAUAUUUGAGAAGACUAGCGAAAACCAAGCACAAAAUAACUUGCCAAAACAUGAUGAUCUAUGUGAGUAAAAAUAAGUUUGCAGGGACACAGUUGUGCACACAGCAUGCUCAAUUUCAUGCAAGGAAUAAGGAGAAUUUAUUUCAGUGUAUUCACCCAGCUUAAAUUUUUUAAUGGCAACUCAAAAUUUUUAACUAACAGGACUGACACACAUGAAGAUCAUUUUUUCCAAUUCAAAGCCUCAAUUUACACAUCUCAAGAUCAAUUUUUCUCUAGCCAUAGCAUUGCACAAGCUAUAGUUAAAACCUGAAUUUAGAUUGCCAACCUAUACUUAAUUUGCCACCAUCAGCUGCCCAAUAUCUAAAAUAAAUUUGAGUCUCCUAACAAAAAGAGAGAGAGGAGAAAAAAAGAAGUAAUGCAAUUGCAGAUAUUCUGGUUAUCACGAUUAACAUGGCUAAGCAAAGAAACUAUUUUCAUUAAUAUGUAACAGAUUGAAAGAAAAGUUUAAAACUCACAGUUACAGUUUCAACUGAAUAAUACCCACGAUCUACAUAAUCUCCCAUAAACAAAUAAUUUGUAUCUGGACACUGCAAAGCACGCAAAUAAACUUAAUUAGUAAGAUUCAACUUGACAAACAUAUUAAGGAGAAAAAAAGCUUAAUCAAGUCAAAUCCCAAGGAUAUAGAUUAUGUUACCAAAAUAUAAAAAACAUGAAUAACUGACAAGACCUAGAAAGACUCCAGUACCAUAACAAUGUUGCAAUAGGAGGACAAACAACUAGACAAGCAUUUGAACCGCAGAGAGAGAGAGAGAAUCAUGCUACGAUGGGACCAAUCCAUUCAGGUCAUUUGGAAAAAUUAUAUACCCUUCCUGCCCCAAUAUAAAAACUUGGUCUAAUACCCAAAGUACAGAGAGAUGAAACAACUGAACACAGUUAUCUCAAGAAACCAAUUGAUUGAGGAGGCAGAGUAUUGAUUGAGCAGAUACCUUGCCACCAAUACGGAAAAGCUCAGCAAGAUCGUGGAAUUGUCCAUGAAUGUCACCACAUAUGGUCACAGGACUCUUCACAGGCUACACAGACAUCAAAAGAAAGUGAAACUCCUUACAUCACAUUACAUUCUAUAAACCAGGAAGAUUCUUUGAUAGACAACAAACAAUAUGACAAGACCAAAUGAAAGACCAAAAUGAAUAAAAACUGUCAGGCUUCAUGUUACACCCAUUCAAAAGGCAUAGUAAAGCUCCUUGCAUGCAUAUUAAACAUAGAGUUUCUGCUAAGUCAAUAAAAAUGCUUUGAAGAUCAUUGCCUCACUAUAUAUGAUGUUGAGACCAACUAUGACCAACAAACACAGCCUAUAUCUAUCAGAAGAAAAACUUAUUACCAAGUUCAUGCAAAUUCUGGGGCAAAAAACUUUCUAGCUACAUCAUUUAAAAAAAUGUGAUUUCAGACUAUGCAGCAGAACCAUAGAUAUCAUAAAAAAUUUUCUAGGAGGACAACAACAAAGCUUUGUCAGUUUGAUAAUUCACAAAAGCAACUCCAAAACCUCAAAAUCACCGAAACAACAGCUUUAAGUUGAAAAAAAUUAGAUCAUUUAAAGGAGAUCAAAACAUGCAGCAUGAAUUAAAGCUGAAACCUUUUGACUCCACAUAACCAAAAAAUCCACCACAUGUAAAUGCAUAAACAAGUUAGCAUAUUUUCUUUAACUUUCUCCCCUACAUAAAAUAUUACUUUUACAAUUAAAUGUUAAACAACAAGUUUUCUCCCAACCAUGUACCAUCAGAAGAAUGUUCUACCGUAACCAACAGUUCCUCUUACAUGCACCUCAAUAUAAUAGUUCACGGACAACAAAAAUCAAGUACAUAAGCAACCAGAAGAUUGUGCAUUGCAGCAUUAAUAAAAUUAUCAGAGAAAAUCAUACUUGAACAUUGCUCUCAUCCAUUAAGAUCUCCUUGGCCUUCUCACAUAGCAGUCUCACCUAUAUACAGGAAGAAAAGAGCACUUGAAAAAUAAUAUUUCAACCACCAAAACAAAAAAUUCAAUAGGAUUACACAACAAGAUAAAUAAUUCAAAUGUGUAUAUGACGCAUUACCACAGAUAGAAUUUACCUAUUUUGGAUAAUAAUCAUUCCAAAUUUACAUCUUGACAUGCAAUUGAUCACUUUAAAUAUGUAUACUAACCUAUGUCUCAUUCUAUGGAAAGUCGCCUCAAACUGUAAUUCUUCUUUGUUUUAGGUUUCUUCAUAACCAGCCUCAACCACAUUAAACUUCAGUUCCUACAAACUCAGAGAAGAUUGACUAUAAUUUGAUGCUCCCAAUCUCAUCUUGCCCUCCCUCCUUUAAAUCAUUGCACAUCUACAUCUUGACACGCAACUGAUCACUCUAAAUAUGCAUACAAAGCUGUGUCUCAUUCUAUGGAAAAUCGCCUCAAACUGUAAUUCUUCCUUUUUUUUAAGAUUCUUCAUAACUAGCCCCAACCACAUUAAAUUUCAGUUGCCACAAAUUCAGAGAAGAUUGACUACAAUUUGAUGCUCCCAAUCCCAUCCUGCUCUCCCCCCUUAACCCCAUAACAUAUCUAGCAAAUGAACUUAUCCCAAACACAAACAAAACAGCUGGCCUAUUAUAAAUAUUCUCUGAGACUUGUUCUAAUGUUUCAGUGACUGUAACAAGAUAUGUAAUCCUCUAUCAAAAUUUAACAAUAAAGAACUUGCUCAACCUAGAAAAGUCUAGAAUUGAAUAUUCCAAAUGGUUAACAGUGUUUAUUCCUCAUCUUAAAGUGAAAAUUUCAAUUAUCACUGUCCCCAUACCCCAUCAGCUUCUUCCCCCCACCCCUCCCCUUCUACAGGAAUAGUAAAAAGAUCAGCAUUUUCUCCCCCUCUCCACCCCACCACCACCCCCCCCCCAAAAAAAACUAAACUAAAAUAAACUAAAUAAAAUGGUUGUUUCUACUGAAAGACCAUUUCUACAUCAUAACGAAAUUUGUAGCACAAUCAACCUUACUACGAAGUGCGUAAACUCCAUGUCCCAAAAAAAAAGGAAAAAAAAACUCGAAAAAUCUCUUUGUAUAUUAAAUUAUCCAGGAACAGAACUCAAAUGCUAAAUUUCCAGAAUCCCAUUGAAGAAUAAGGGGUCAAUUAAUUUUUUUAAAAAAAGGAAAAAAACCAAAAAAAAUUCCAUUCCUUUGGUUUUAUAAAUGAAAGAAAACAAGCAAAUAAUUCUGGUGCAUUCUGAUGUUAUCCCAAAAAAAAUCGAAAACCAAAAAAGUUCAAAACUUUCCAACCUUCUCCUCCAUUACAAAAUAAAAAAAAUUCCAAAAUAGAUCUGAUUUAACAAACCCAUUUCACUACAUCACCAGAUUCAACCACGUACACGAAAAGCUCCUUAAUUUCGCCAAAAAAAGUACCGUAAACUCCCACAAGGAAAGGAAGAAAAACCGAAAUUCAAGAAACAGAUCAAAGAGCAUCUCUAACAAAUACGUAAAUAACUUUUGCAUAUUCACCUCUUGUUCGGACAAGGGCUUGCACUGCAUAAGCUGAGAAAUCUGCUCAUCGAGGCUGCCGCCAUGAACAGAACCGGGAGACGGCACAGCCGAAUCGGAGCUCAUUUUUAACAAUUAAAAAUUUUUCUCUUUUUUUACAGAGAAUUUAUAGAAAUAGAUGAUAAAUCUGCAGAAUUGUGGAGUUGUUGGAUGGAACCCAAGAUGGCUUCUCUCUUUUGCGGAUUUUUGGUUUCGGCCCGCCUUCGGCUACGACGUCGUUUGGAGGAUUGAAAGUGGAGGGAGAGAAAAGAGUGGAGAGUGGAGGCAGUGAACGGUGGUGGUGAAACCAACGAGAGUGAAAGGGAAAGAGAGAGAGAGAGAGAGAAGGAACUCCCAAGGGUAAAAUGGGAAGGAUAUUUUAUUUUUUAGUUUUUCUUCUUUAAAAAAAAUAAUUAUUUUUAGUAGGAGUAUAAUUUUUCUGUACAGCAGAAUUUGUUUUUUUUUUUUAUUUUUUUUGUGGUGGGGAAGGAAUCAGGGACUUGUCCGGAUUGCUUUUUUUUUUUUUUUUAUUUGCCCGGUGAAUGUUAGGGGAUAAUAUUUCUUAGACCCUAAUUUACAAGGGGCAAUAAAAACAUAAUUAAACCAAGAAAACACAAACUUAAAACCUACUUUUUUUUUAAACAAUAGUUUCGAAUUCAGAACCUUCUACCUACAUUCUCCUACCUUAUCAUUUAACCCGACUUAAAGGCACGAUUAUUUGCAAUCUUAUACAAACUAAAUUUCAAUAAUAUCUUUUUUUGUUUCCUUUUCUAUUUAUUUUUUCUUGAAAGAAGCUUUAACAAAUCCUGAAUGCCGUCUGGUGCUUUUAUGUACCCAAUAUCUUUUUUUUCAAGCUUUAGUUCAGUCUCUCUUUGGGAUUUAAAAGGCGCAUGUCUCUUUUGCACCAAAAUUGGUGAGGAAACUAGGGCUGAUUUCUUGCAAGAAAUUAUUCCACAAAUAGCCAUGGCCAAAAUUCCUGGCAAACAUUAACAAAAUAUCAUAACGAGUAUACAUCUUGAUCUACAAACAAUCCCACUUGCGGCUAUAUAAAGCACCCCCACGGAAACUGAAAGGCCUCACUCCAGUCGAUCUGGUUUAGCGAUUGUCUUUGCUUGCUUCAAACUUGAAAGAUAUGAAGUCUUGUACUAAUCUAUUUUUGGCUUUUUUGUUCUGAUCAUGUUUUAUCCGGGUAAUUCAUUAAGGAAGUACACUUAGUUUAUCCAUUUCAUCUGCACAAAGUGGUUUUAUUUAAUAUACUCUAGCUUUUACUAUCCCAUACUAUUUGCAGCCAUAAUUGUUAAUCAAAUUCUUGGUUUUUACUGUCAAAAGCAAAGAACAAAAGUCAUGAUAAUCUUUUUAGGAAGUUUGUCUAUACAUACAUACAUAUAUAUAUAUAUUAUAAAUCUUUCUUGCGCUGAUAGUGUAAACACUAUUAACAUUGAAUGAAUGACAACUUUAUAAAAUUUAAAUUUGAAAUUUAAUUUUUGCACAUAUUAUGAAUCUAACAAUGAUAAUAUAUAUAUUGUCAGUGUAUACAAAAUUUACUUAUAUAUAUGUAUAUAUAUAUAUGUGUGUGUGUGUGUGUAAUAUACAGAGAAAUUCUAUGGUCACUUUAAAACAUUGCAAGGUAUGAUGUAAAUGCUUAACCAUAUUGCUUGAUUUUGUUGUACGAGGUUGUGUGCUACAGUUGCAUCUAUUUUGUUACUCGUACUAAUGUUCUUUGCUGGCAGAAACAAGAGUCAUGGUGGUCAGGGACCAGGGGCUAUCAAUGUUGGAAACUACUACUAGUAGGACAAAUUGUACCUAGCUUUUUCAUCAGAUCAAUGCAACGCCUUAACUGAUAUUUGUUCUGUUGAAUGUAUGGUUUGAGGGAUAAUGGAGACAUUUCACGUUGUUUGUGUGGUCGACAAGUGAAUCAAGUGGAGGAGUCAACUGUGUAAUAUUUAAUAAAAAAUAUCACAUGUUUAUUUUGAAUUCAAACACAAUAAUUUAUAAAUUCUUUAAUAAAAUUUCAGUUACAAGUUCAAUCAUUCAAAUGCAUAGUUAUUAAAUCAACACAGCAGAAGAACCGGAUUAGCAGGUCAGUGGUCACCGGUUGAACCGUCAAGUCACAUUAUAUAAUAAAAAAUAUAUAAUAUAAUUAAAUAAACAUAUAAAUAAUAAUAUAAGUACAGAAAUUCUUAAAUGUUAACAAGUCAUAACCUAUUUAUAUUUCAUAGUUCCUACAUACAAACCAUACCCAUGUAUGUUCCUUAGUUCAUGAAUUCAUAUUAAUAUUAUACACAAACAUAAAUAAUAAAUCUAAGUGUUAAAGAAAGAAAGAAACCCCUGCUCCCAAAUCCCUUUUCAAUUUUUCUCAUCUAAUUGUCAAAAACACAACAAUACCCAUGUUAAUGUGGUUGGUCAAAUUAAAAAUUUAGGUAAAAAGGUAAUUUUAAAAAAAUUUCCAAAAUCCAUCGGGUUUAUAAAAAACCGCCAAGUUUAGCAGGUCACCAGUUUGACCAUCCGAGUCAAAUGGUUCAAACGAGCAACUCCGAUCCAAUUGCUAAACCGGCCCGAUUCCAUGUGGGUCCAUCGGUUGAUCGGUUCAACUGUCAGAUCAGGUUGGGUUUAAUAACUAUAUUCAAAAGUGUAACAUAUGUCUUUAAAAUGAGACUUAGAUUUAUGCCUUGAAUUGUGUAACCUAAGUAAUAAUUAGUUUUAUGAAUUCAUUUAGUGAAUUUUUAUCAUUAUACAAUGAACCUGGAACUUUUCAAUUUGUAGUUGAAAAUAUGAGGCGUUAAUUUCUCUUAAUAUUAGUAUUUUAAUACUCCCAAUUUCUCUGCCUAUAAAUGGAGGUUUCUAUCUACUGAGUCUUACACAUAUUUUGCUAUUUCUAGACUAUCUUCUAUUUUACUUUCUCUCAUUACUAUAAGAGUUUAUAGGGCAAAGACAGUGUUAUGUAAAGUUUCUGUUUUACUCCAAUAAUGUAAAUUGGAGUAGACUAAUGAGAUAGAUUGGGUUAUUUUAUUCUAGGGGCGACACAUUUAGACUUACUGCACCAAAGGAUAUUUCAUAGGGGUGCGAAUCGUCUUAAAGAAAGUGACUUAUUCUGCGUUUCAACCCAUGCCAAAUUAACUUUUUAUGGUACAUAUUAUUUGCAUUUUUUAAUGCAAUAUUGAGGUAUGAGAUUUUUGUUAAUUUAUUUGUUAAAUUUUAUUAGAGAAAUUAUUGUUACUUAUAUGAUUAUUUUGGUCUAAAACCAACAAUUUUAAGACAAUUAGCCUCUUAUUGCAAAAGAAUUUUUUGCUUAAUCUUGACUAGCGUGAUUAAGGAAAAAUCAUUGGAUUUGUGGUUUCCUUUAGACUCAGGUGCAUUAGUGAGUCUUAGCUAAGUUUUUGUUGCUUAUUAGUUUGUGAGUAACCUGAAAAGUUAGAGGCUAGAUAUUGUGGCAAUAUAAGAACAAAUUUGAGAAACUAAACAUGCUACUUUGUACAAAAUUUGAAAUUGUCAAUUAUCUUAGCUUAUGAAAAAUGUCUUUCUCUACAAUUUCGAUUAUUGACAUAUUUUGUACCUAGACCUAAUUUUUCUCACUCCUUUGAGAUGCCACAUCUCUGGUUUUAAAAUUUCAUAGUCGAGUAUCAUAGUUGCUUGUUGGUGAUAACUGGUACAAAUUAUUAGCUUUGGAUAACUGUCAAUAGAUCUAGUGAUUGAUAAUGGCAUUAAGCCCUUGAGUACUUAAGUCAUUCUAUGUGGCAGUAAUCUUAGAACAAAUAUCUUUUUUAAUCCUAUAAUAGACUGUAUCUCAAAAUCGCAUCACAUCCUAUAGAAAUAUGAUAAAUAGUGGGGGUAAGUAAAUCUCUAUGGCUAGUAUGAAAUUUGUUCUUAAUUGCUAUAAGCAAUAGUUUUGUCAAGUGACUAUCUCAAAUUAUUUUUUGCAUACAUUAAUGCCUUCCUUAAAUUAUUAUUAUUUGUUGGCAUGUAUUGAUGAAAAGGAAAAGUCGGAAUUGGAGCAUUAUGAAGUGAUAGUAUGCAUUACUGCUCCUCUGUUGGAAGGUGAAGGAUUUUAAUAUAUUUUAAAAUUUGCUACCAUUUUGAUGUCUCGUGUGCAACUCUUGAUAAAUGUAUUUUUGAAAUAAAACACCGUGAUAGUGGAAGUGGUGAAAAAAUAAUGAGAUAUCAUUUUAUUUGCUCAAUUUAUGAGUAUAACAUUAUUUUUUUUUUGGAUUUAUUUUCACUCUUUUUUUGAGUUAUGUAGACUAGCACUCACUGAAAAGUAUGACCUGAUGUGAAGGUAUUUGAAUUAUUUUCUUGGUAUUUUUGCAAAAGCAAAAAUAACCAUGGAGUUUUUUGAGAAGGGCUUCUAGUGCGCUACUAGACUACUAGCCAUUGAGAAAAAAGUGAAAAAGUUGAAUAUGAACAAAUAUAUGCCUAUACUAUUUGGCAAAUAUAAAUAGAUGAGAAAUUUUCUCACUAGAGAUUGAUUCAAUAUAUUUGGCCCACUAAGAGAGAUUAUUUGGAAAAAUUCGAGAACAUCAUAUGUUUGCUAUUUUAUUUGUGUAAAAGAUAAAUCUCAAAUUAAAGUCAAAGAUAUGAUAUACAUCGAAGGGGAUAUGACAAAAGCCCAAUAUAUAUUAAAAAUCGUCUACGAGAAUACAAUUGCUUAGGGACUGGAGAUCCCAAGAACUAGGUUGGAGACAAACAAAUCAUAGAGUGGUUUGAUUGAUUAAUAUGCAUUAUUUUGAUUAAAUUGUCUAUCCCUAUGGCGUAAGUGCAUUAGUGAUGGAAUCACGAUAAGUGAGGUUGAGUAUUUCAAGUCCUUAUGGGUAGCCCUUAUGGGUAGGAUGUCUAAAUCAUGGGAGAAUUCUUGAUAGAUUCACCUAUAUAAUUGUGGACGUGGGGUUGUUUCCUACGAGAAUUUGGAUUAGUUCUCUAGGGUUGUCAUGAAAACUAGAAUAAAGCACAAGGCCAUAAAUGUGUUUGCUUAUGAAACCUGUUUUAGAACAUUGAAAGGUUCAUGUAUGUGAUAUGAUUCCACGUGCCCUCAAGUAGCCAUCGUUUAAAGGCUAAAUCCACCUUCACUUUAGUACAGGAAUUGUUGAAUGCUAAAUGAAGGUUUAAAGGCACUGCCACCUUUAUUAUGCAUGAACUUUUAAUCUUUGCCCUAUUAAGUGUUUAGUAUUGAACACUAUAUUAUUUUUUAUUAAAUAAGUGGGGGAUUGUUAGAUAUUUUAAUUAAAAAUGUCACAUGUUUAUUUGAAAUUCAAACACAAUAAAUUACAAAUUCUUUAAUGAAAUUUCAGCUACAAAUUCAAUCAUUGAAAAGUGUAACUUAUAGCUUGAAGUGUGUAACCUAUGCGAUGAUUAGUUUUAUGAAUUCAUUGAGUGAUACAAUGUACCUAUGCCUUUUCAAUUUGUAGCUGAAAAUAUGAGGUACUAAUUCCUUUUAAUGUUAGUAUUUUAAUACUCCUAAUUCUCAGUCUAUAAAUAGAGAUUUCUAUCCACCGAGUCUUACACGUACUUUGCUGUUUCUAGAUUAUCUUCUAUUUUUCUUCAUCUCACUACUAUAAGAGUUUAUAAGGCAAAGAACGGUGUUAUGUAAGGUUUUCUGUCAUAUUCCAAUAGUGUAGAUUGGAGUAGGCUACAAUGAGAUAGGUUGGGCUAUUGUAUCCUAGAGGUGACAUGCUGAAACCUACUACACUGGAGGAUACUUCGUAGAGGCAUGAAUCGUCUUAAAGAGAGCGACCUAGUCCAUGCCGCAACCCACGCCAAAAUAACUUUUUAUGGUACAAAUUAUUUGCAUUUUUAAUGCAAUAUUGAGGUAUGAGAUUUUUGUUAAUUUCUUUGUUAAAUUUUAUUAGAGAAAUUAUUGUUACCUAUAUGAUUAUUUUGACCUAGAACCAACAUCAAGAACAAAAGAAUAUAACUGUUGCAUUGUGAUAAGUGAAGAUAUUUGGUUUUCCAUUUUGUCUUUUUUUCCCAUUUAAAUGGAUUAAUUUGAGAAUAAUAGUAUCACAAUUGAGAUUGGCGUGUGAACUGUUUCCUGGUUUGUAAUGUAUAAAUCAAUUAAAGAGUCAGUUGAUCAAUGUAUGUGUAUAUAUAUAUGUGUAUAGGUGUGUAUAUAUAUAUAUAUAUAUAUAUAGGAUGUGUGUGUGUAUAUAUAUAGUUGGAGAAUAGGGCUGAAAACAAGUGUCAUUGAGUUGGACAGAAGUAUGUUCAAAAUUGGUUUGAAGAUUAAAAGUAAUCUUUGAACUUGUCUUGUAUUUGACAAUUUUUUGAAAGAAAUUGAUCAAGUUUGGCUUGAAAUUUCUAAUGUAUGUUCAUAAAAAGUUGGCUUGCCUUAUCUUAGUAUCGAAGUCAAGCACAUACAAUCAAAGCUCGGUUUAGCAUGACUUGAAAUUUUAUGUUGAAUUAAAUAAAGAUUUUCACCCUAAUUUAUUGCUUUUUUCCCUUAAUUUUUGCCCCAUGAUUUUCAAGAAAUCUAUACGAUGAAUUAGGGAUGUGAUUAAAGUCAAUUAUACCUAUUCAAGAAAUCUAUUAUGAUAAAUUAUGGAUAUGAUUAAAAUCAAUUAUGCCUAUUUAAGAGAUAUAAGUAUUAUAUGCUUGUUAUUUAAUAAGAUAAGCAAUAUACGGAAGGAAAGAAGUGAAGUUCAGGAAGGAAAUUUUAGACAUAUUUUUAUGAAAUUUACUUAUAUUAUAUGUUCCUGAAUAUAUAGAGUUGAACAAUAUGAAGAUCGUAAUUUGUUUGUUAAUAUUUUCAAGUUUAAAAUUAUGUUCGAAUUUGGAUUGAUACCUAAAUAAACAAGUUUGAACGAGUUUGAUUCGAGUCGAGUAUCAAGGUGAUUGAUCCGAUUUAUUGUCCUGUUUGGAAGGGAUGGAAUACUGUGAUCAAAGAAGCGGAAAGUGGAAAUGGGGAAUUGAGGAGAUUCAUACAAUAACUAUGACAUCUUCGUUUUGUUUUCUCAAAUGAAGAAAACAAUCACACUUCUAACCAUUUGUCCUUUUAAUGGCCUUGCAAGUUCUUGUUGUGCGUACAAAUUAUAGUAUGUAGCGUUUCAAUUGGGUUCUUUUGGAAACCCAAGUCUUGGCCCAAACUAUAAAUAUUAAUUAGGCUUGGUCGUGAUCCAUUUCAGUUAGAUAAACCUGACUCAAGCUAAGAUAUUUUUUUUGUUUGGCUUUGGGCUUGGAAACAUUCUGGCCCAAAUUAAAGAGUUUCUUCUUUAAAACUUAUUAACUAUUAUUUUCCCCACAGUGUUAUUUAUUUAUGACAUACAAUACCAAAUUUCAAAAACAACUUCAAAAAUAACUCUAAAAUCUCAAAUACAACUUACAAAAAAUAAAAUAAAAUAAAAUAAAAAGAAAAAUAACAAAUUCUAUCACCUUUUUCUUCUUCCACUCAUUAUCACCAGCCACCCACACUACCAUCUAUCGUCGCUACCAUUUCUCCACUCCUCUCUCCUCCACAUCCACUAUCACUACUGCGACUCCUCUCUCCUCUCUCUUCCUCUCCCUCCCUCUUAUUCCUCCCUUUUCCCCUCCCCUGCUUCGCAGUCCUUCCUCUCUCUUCCUUCUUGGUCUAGUCGCGGCCUACCCUCCCCCUUGGUCUGGUCGCAGCCCACCAUACUAGGGGACAAAGGGAAGGGAAGGGAAGGGGAAGGAGAGAGGAUGAGGGAGGAGGAAAGAUGUGGUGGCAAUGAUCGAUAGUGGUAAUAGGUGGUUGAAUAAGCAUGUUGAUUUGUUCAUAUUAAAUAAGUAUGUUGAUUUGUUAUUAUUUUGUAUAAAUUAAGUACAAUUUGAUAUAAGUUGAUUACUAUCAUUUAAUAUAAGUUGAAAGCAAUUUGGUGUAAAUUGAGAGUAUAUUGUUAAUUUAUACCACCUUGUGCGAAUGAAAUUCGUGAAGCCCCAUUUCUGUAUAAUUUUCUUAACACGAGCCCUCAAGAGUAGAAAAGCAAUGCGGCCUGAAUGGUUCGAUUUGAAGGACAAUGUUGGAGUUACACGCAUCGAUUGUCAAAUGUUACGAGUGUAAGAAAAAGCUUAGGGAACAGAUUUGUUUAGUUACUGCUAUGCGCUCUUCUUUUUGGGAGAAUUUGUUUCAAAAGAAUAUUGUUGUGCAGAAACUGCCAAUCGAAAAAUAAUUUGAGUGUUUUUGUAGACGUACAAUUGCACAUUCCGAGUUCCCUGGUGGAAGUCAGGAGCUUCAACAAAUAACGUCUUAAUGAACCACUAGAAUUUUACCCGUAACUUAGUACGGGUCUUUUUUUUAUUGUGAAUUUAUAUAAAUAUGAAUAAUUUAAAUAUGAAAAUUAAUAACAAUCGUACAUGUCCAUUCAUAUUCACUUUAAAAAAUUAAUGUACUCUAAAUGUUUAACUAUUUACUGAUUUUUAAAAAUUUAUUUACAUACUUUCACUUUAAUAUGAUAGUAUAUAUUAAAUAAUGUAUCUCAUAUCAAAAACUUGAUAGAUAUUCUUUUUUUAAAACAUUCUUUAAGAUAAUUUAAAUUUUUAUAAGGGAAAAUCAUUUAAAACUUCCCUCAUAUUUUGUAAAAUGAUUUUUUUCGUCUAUCACUUUUAAAAGUAUACUUUUACGUCCUUUAUAAAUUUAUAUUGAUCAAAUUUUGUCCUUAUCUAGAUUUUCAACUAAUUUUUUGUCGAAAUUCACCACAUGCCUUGCACGUGAUCAUUUUUUAAGGAUAGAAUUGUUAAAUCCAAAUUUACAUAAUCCGAUCCAUAGUUCCUUACAUUUCACAAAAUGAAUUUUUUUAUCUCUCACAUUUCACAAAAUGGAUUGUUUCGUCCCUCACAUUUCACAAAAUAAAUUUUUUCAUCCCUCAUUGAUCAUGUAUACGAAUAACUUUUUUUUUUAAACUCAUGUAUAUAUCUAUUUGAUUUUGCUUGAACGUACUGUUUAAGUGAAAUUAAAUAUUUUUUAAACUCAUGUAUAUAUCUAUUUGAUCGCUUGAACGUACUGUUUAAGUGAAAUUAAAUAGAUAUAUAUAUAUAUAUAUAUAUAUGGGUUUAAAAAUUGUUAGUUUUUCACUGAUGUUCAUUUCCUUUUACUCGAAAAUUGAAAAUAAAGAAGACAUUUAAUCCUAAACAUUGUCAAGUGUUUAUAUCGAAUUAAAUUUGGACAGAAAAAUACACAAAGGAAAAGUAUGACAAAAAAAAGUAAGUGAUUGAUACUUUCAAAUUUUACGACAAUCACAAGGCAAAAACUUAAAGGUAGUGAGUAAAAAUUUUAAAUUUAAACUGUAAUUUGUUAGCAUGAUUAUAGAAUUCGAAUUAGGAUCGAUUUUUAGAUAGCCUUAUUACACAAUUCAAUAAAUGAAUUAUUACCAAAAGUGAAAGGUUAUAAAUAUUGAAUAGAUUCACAUGGUGAAAUCAAAUAAAUAAAUAUAUAUGGGUUUAAACCAAUAUUGUUAAGUUUAAACCCAUGUAUAUAUCUAUUGAAUAGCAUGUAUACAAUUACAAUUAGUCUGUUUAAAUGAAAUCAAAUAGAGAUAUAUUACAUGAUAUUCGUACUGUUUGGGUAAAAUCAAAUAGAUAUAUACAUGGAUUUAAAAAAAAAUUAUUUGUACACAUGGUCAAUGAGGGAUGGAAAAAUUUAUUUUCUGAAAUUUGAGGAAUUAAAAAUUUUAUUUUGUGAAAUAUGAGGGACGAAACAAUUCAUUUUGUAAAAUAUAAGGGAUUAUAGAUCGAAUUAGGUAAAUUUUAAUUUGACCAUUUUACCCUUAAAAAUGAUCAUAUGCAAGGCACUUGAUGAAUUCCUGCCAAAAAUUAGUUGAAAACUUAGGUAGGCGUCAAAUUUGACCAAUGUGAAUUUGUAAGGGACGAAAAAUACACUUUUAAAAGUGAGGGACGAAAAAAUCAUUUUAUAAAAUAUGAGAGAUGUUUUGAACGAUUUUUUCUUUUUUUAUAAUAAUCAUAAAUCUAUAACUAUAUAUUCACAUUUAAUUAAGUAGAAAAGUUCCAGCAAUCCACUUUUUUUCAUUAAUAAAUAUUUAGUUUCUAACAAUAUUGGUAAUUCUGUCGAUGCAAUAAUUAAUUCUCUUUUUUACACUAAGUUAAUUCAAAAUUAAGGAAAGAGAUGAUGAGUAAUUUGAAUACUAAUCAACAAUAUGGUGAUGAAAGGAAGUAAUUUAUGGAAUAUGUAAGAUUUUACUAAUUAUAAUUUGAAAAGGGUUUACUAUAGUUCUAUAUAAUAAUUUGAUAGAAAGCAAAUAUCAUUAAAAUAAGAUUACUUAUUUUUAAAAGUCAUUUUAGAUAUCAUUAAGAUAAGAUAAGUUAUUUUUUAAAUUUAUUUUAAAAUUAGGGACAAUUUUUUAAACAUAUAAUAUAAUAUUCAAUAAGGGUAAAAUCCAAAUGAUCCAUAACUCGUUAAUUCUUUUCAAUUAAGCAUGCCACAUAGGAGUGAUAAAUACUCUAAUUAAAAUAGGUAUUUUCAUAUAUAUAUAUAUAUAUAUAUAUAUAUAUAUAUAUAUAUAUAUAUAUAUAUAUAUAUAUAUAGAUUAGUUUAUUGUUGUUAAGCAAAUUCUUCUGUAAGGAAAAAAAAGCAACACAUUUUUUUUCUCUUUGUAAGCUUAUAAGAGUGGUAUUGGAACUUUCGAAUAAGAUUUGUAACUAAUUACAUGUUUGUUACUUCUUGGAAAUGGGGACAAGAAAAAUGGUAUUAUCACGUUACUCGGUUAAACUAUAGCACUAUUACUAAUUUAUCCAUUCGCAUGAUUAUUAAUUUACCCAUUUACGUUAUUUUUUAGCUACUUUACUUCUACCGAAACCGACUCAACAUGUUGAAAAUUUUAGAAGAAGAGUACCCUCAUCUCUUAUGCACUACUACAGGGCUAUCAUCAUUUUACUUCCUAAAACUAUAGUGCUACUAUCAGUUUACCACCUAACGUUAUUUCUUAAAUAUUUCACUCCACCAUUAAGCAACUCAAUAUGUUGAAAAUUUCUUAAUGAAAAUAUCCUUCUCCCAAUCUGUAGUCAAAACAAUACAAAUUUUGGAAAAACUUUUGACAGGUUGUCGAAACCUGUGCAAUAAUAAAACGUGCUCAAACUAAAAAUAAUUUCUGUAAAUAGCGGUAAGCAGGGUCGAAUCCACAGGGACUGGGAGUAAUUGUUUCUUUUCGAAUUCUCAGUGACAAGGGGGUGUUUUUAUCUCAGAGGUGACAAUUUAAACAAUCCAACUAAGAGUAAAAUAAUAAAAAUAAAAUAGCCAACUAGAAAUUAAAAUAACAAUUUACCAAAAUCAAAGGAUCUAGCCAAGGAAUAACUUCAGCAAUGGUUCACCUAAUUGAUCAUCGAUAAGCAAAGGCAAUUCCAAUUAUUUAUCAAUAAAUAGGUUAUAACUGCCAAACAAGCGAAGACAGUCAACCCCUCCUUACUGUGUCGAUGAUUAAGGUACGCCCGUUAAUCACUGCUCUAAUUGAGAAAUAAUCCUAGGUACGCCCAUAGAAUUUAAUUUCCCAAUUGCCUUACGUAUUAGAGGAGCCCUAUUCUAAUCAAAUAACGCACUACCAGGGUUAUUUUAGAUUAGCCCGCGUAUUCCCCUGACACAAGUCUAAUUAUGCCAGUUGUCACUAUUUUGAGGCAAUUAAACAAUUACGGAUUCAAUCCCUCAAUUGACAAUAGAUUAUUAAAUUGAUUAAUUAUCCGGAUCCAAGACAAUCAAUUAAUUAAAUAACCAUAAGCACUGCAAUCAAAGAAUAUGCCAAUACCAAUAAAUAAGAGAAAAAGAUAAAAUUAAAUCGAUCUCACAAAUUUAGGCCAACCAAGACCUCCGUUGUUCCUUGACUAGAAAAGAAAAAUUAGUUCAUUCCUGGUGAACAAAUCCCACGCAAAGUUGGAGAGGAAGCCGCAGCCAUUGUCCUUGACCAAGGGAGCUCAGUUCGCUCAGUUGAUGGAAGAAUAUAGAAAGUGACCAAGACCUUCAAUUGCUCCUGACAUGCGCAGGAGACAUCCACCCAAGACUCAAGGGAAAAGUCAAAAGGAAAACUAUGCUAAAGGUCCUACGUACGAGGAAGGUAAAACAACUACUAAGAACUAAAAGGGAAGAAAAGUCAACAAAGGCAACUCCCUGGUGCUAGUGCUCAUUCUCUGCCAUAUAUCAAUUGCUCCUAUUCUAAUGGCUACUGUGUGCGGCAGCCCCCUUGCGGAGAGGACGGAGCCUCCGAAGGAAGAAGAAGCACACCUUGUGCGGCGCUCCAGCCUCCAGUAAAAUAGAGGCCUCUGCCCUGCUCUCUUCUUUUGAAAUUACCAAAAUGGGCAAAAGUCUUCCUUUGCCAAUAAUGCCCCCGGGAUAAGCUCUGUGCCUUGGACUCUUUUUCUGUCAAAUUAGCACCUGUUAUUAUAUUUUCGUUCUAUUCCCUGAAAUAAAUGCAAAAUACUAAAAGUGAGUAGAAUCCCGCAAUUAAUCCACAUCAAGUCAGGUAAUAGGAGAAAUUAAUUAUAAAAUAAAUGAUAGAAUUGCAACCUAUCAAUUCCCCCCACACCUAAACCAUGCUUGUCCUCAAGCAUGAGAACAUCAAAUAAACACCAAUAUUUGACAAUGGUCAUUACUCCAUCUACCAUAUUGCCAAGAUACCAAGAAAAAUAAUAAUCAAGCAUCAAUAGUCAAGUCCAAGAAACAUCACUCCGGUUAGCUUCUAAACCACAAACUUCUCUAAUUUCAGGAUAACUAAUCUAAGAAAAAGGAAUAACGCAUAACAUUUAUCAGCAAAUGGUCCAACUAUUAACCAAAAUCUCAACAUUAAAUCCAUAAUUCGGCAAGCUGACUUUUAUUACACACUAACACAACCUUCACUUUUUUUUUCACAUUUUUUUCUACUUUUCUCUCUUUUUUUUUUGAAUAGUAACAAAAGACUUAGUCGCUAGCCAUUAGAGCCUUUUGACGCGAACUCCAACAUUGGCCAGAUGAAGGAGCCCGGUUACUCAGCUUCUAUCGCCACGUGACCACGUACUCAUAGCAAUUACUACUUUUUGACGCGAGAAUCGACACUUUUAGGUGCAAAUCCCCGGUUAUUCAGUAGUAACUAAUAGCGGAGUACAGUCAAGUUUAUGCAUAGCUAAAAAUCACAAAAACUCAAUAUAACACAAGAACCAAAAGAAAACUUGUAUCAGCUAGCCUCAUUUUCAAACAUGGAGAACUAAAGUUAAUAACCGGACCAAUUCACAUGAAAAUGCCAAUAAUCAUUCCCUAUGCCUAGGAAAGUUAACCAAAAAUUAUAAGAGUAAAACAAUCAUCGAUAUUCACCAAAGAGAUGUUUUUGAAUUCAACCACGUGAACUGGAUAUCCUUUUAUUAUUAAAACUUGGCAAAAGUAGAAAUAAAGGCAAUAAUCCAACAUCAAACUUGGCAGUCAUAGGAGAGCUAGACAGAUAAAUGACAAAAAGUAAACGAAAACUAGACAAAUAACAGACUAAAAAUAAAAGAAAAAUAUCUGAAAACUAAGAACUAGAAAAACUAACACCAUAACUGCUCCCCCCCACACCUAAAUCCUACAUUGUCCUCAAUGGAGGUAAUAAAGUAAUUAGAGUGAAGAGAACAAUGAAACUUCCCUCUUGAGUGGUGAAGGGAUAGGCGGGAAUGGUGGAGGAAAACCGAUGUGACGGAAAUAUGCACCCAAGUGCUGAGACAUCUAACUCAAUUCAACUAGCAAAUGCAAAACUCUGUCCACCCAAAAUCUCAACAAAUAGCUCCAAUUGGCCAGUUACCGUUUGAACUCAAAAUCAGCAAUAGCAAUGCAGAAAUUAGACAGUAACAAAUCAAUAAAAAUACUCAGCUCUCAAUCAAACAGUCACCCAAAUAGCAACCUAAGUCAGCAGCCAUCUUGGCACCGACUAAUCACUUAAAUUGGACCUAAGUCAACGAGUAGAUUCAAGUGCCCUCGUGCCACCCAAAACGUCAACCAAGUGAAACAAACGGGCAGAGUAUUCUUCAAAUUGUUAACUUAAAUCCAGUCAACAACCAAGGCAGCAAAACAACCCAAAACAGUGCAAUUAGCAACCCCAGCAAUUCAAUCAGAUGCACCCAAUUGGAAUAAGCAAUGUAAAUGGCAUAGAAACCUCCCAAUUUAACAAACAAGUGCGGUAUUUCAGCUCACCCAAAGUCCCAACAGUCAGUUCAAAGCAACAGAAGAUCCCACAAGUAUAGAAACCAGCAGAAGCAACUGGCAAAAGAAACUCAGCAAACAACAAAGCAAAACUCUCCCAGUAGUAACCCAAUUAAUAACAAACAAAAGAAUUUUAGCAAGUAAUUCAUGCGGCCAGCCCCUCUAAUUCACAAGCAAUUUCAGAAAUAACUCAACCAAAAUCCCAAAAGAAACCUCAGCGAGUUAUCCAGCAAUUCAAGCAAAAUAAUGCCCAGCAAUUCACAACUAGUCAACCAAUGUCCACAAGCAACAUGAGGUCCAAAGUGUCCUCCAAAGUUAACAAACAGUCACAGCAAUCAGCUCACCCAAAGUCCCAACAAAUGGCUCCAGUUGGCCAAUGAAUUGCACAAUUUAACCCAACCCAAAAGAAAUAGCAGUUCCAAUCAACAAUAGUCCGACCAGUACCACUGGCGGAAAUCACCAAUUGAGAAAAUAAAUUCCAACCGUCAACAAUGCUAACUAUGAAAAAACCCCGACAGUACCAAUUAGUUAUUAAGAGAUUGGGGGGCAAGUUCCAAAUUACCUCCACCGUAGAUGACAACCAAACUGAAGGUGACAGUGGCGGGUGGCUUCAGGCGCGCAAGUGAGGCGCGUGGCUGUGGUCAAGGGUGGAGCAGGGGCGAGCGGCUACGUGGGCAGCAGAGGCGGGCAGCGAGGUGCGAAGUGGAUGGCUGGCUGGUCCUUCGCGCGAGACGCGAGGUGGCGGCGUGAGUGAGGUGGGCGGCGCGAGUAGGCGGAAAGCAAAAGGGAUUCGGACAACAGAGAGAGAGCAGGAGAGAAGGAAGAAAGAGAAGAAGAAAGAAAGAAAGAAAGAAAAAUUUUUUUUUUUUUUUUGAAAACUGAGCUACGGUGAAAAGGGAAGCAGAAGAAAAAAAAGAAAAAAAUUUUUUAUUGAGAAACCUAGCUACGGUUGAGAAAAUUUUCUCUUUUUUUUUUCCUUUUUUUUUUUUGAAUCCUUACCUUUCCCGCGAACGUGACGCGGGCACGUCAAGAGAGCAAGCGAGCUCCCAGAAGUUUCUGAUCGUGAGCUUCCUGCACAUCACCACGCGGGCGCGUCAUGAGGGCAAGAGAGCUCCCAGAAGUUUCUGAUCGUGAGCUUCAUGCACGUCACCACGCGGGUGCGUCAUGACUGAAGGUCACCUACAAAUCAGCAAAAACGAAAAUUAACACCCAAAACCAAUCAAACUCAAGAAAAACAUAUUUAAACUAUCACACGAAAUCAAACAAAUAAUUAAAAGGAACAAUUGGGUUGCCUCCCAAUGAGCGCCUCUCUUUAAUGUCUUUGGCUAGACAUUAUCAUGUUUUGUUCAUGGAGGAUAAAAUCGUGUGGCUCGUUUUAAUGCUUCAUCCUCUAUAUAGUCCUGAUAACCCUCGUAAAUAGAAUAAUCCUUGAGCAUACGAGCUACGGGCAUCCAUGGACUAGUGAAUGGCGCCAAACGAGUCGAUGAUAAUUUGCAUUCUCCAUUCACUUCUCCCUCACUUGCAUUUAUUGGUUCAAGAUAUCUCGCCAUCGCCACUCUUAAUUUAUUCCUGUCAUGAAAUUCAAAAUUGUCUGGUAUAAUAAAGUCAAUUUCGUUAACAGGAAUUGAAGAGUAAGAGUCAGGAGAAUAUUGAUGAAGGAGUGGAGAAGAUGUCACCGCAUUUGGAGAUUGUUCACUGGAUUCUUUCACGUGAAUGGGUUGCGGUUGGGGUUCCAUUUCUUUCUUUUUGGCUUCUUUUUCAACUGCAUCUGUAGAUUCCUCAUUUUGACACUCUUGCAUCUCCUCAUCACUAGUCAAGCAAAUUGCACUCUCGUUUUCUUCUAGAUCAACAACGAUUUUCGAGGGCAAUUUUUCCAUUUGAGAAGCCCAUCGAUUUAUUCUGGAUGUCAAUAGACGUAGUUGAUCUGCCAGAUAAUUUAAUGCAUCCUUCAUCAUCUCAUUCUCCAUUAGUGUCUCCUGUUGGAAUUGGUAUGUGUUAGUAGCUAUUGGUUUAACUAUUUCUUCAAGAGACAUACCUGACAUAGAUGCCGAUUCUUGAGACUCAUACUGCUGAAAAUUCAUUGGCCCCGUUGGAUAAUUAUAAUUGGAGUUAUCCCACCCUCCUUGAUCAUACCCAUAUGGAUUAGGGUUAUACCCCGUUUGAGACCAGUGUGAAAAAUCUCCAUAAUUAUUGAGUGGAACACUCAGAUUAUCUUGAUAUUCGGGGCACAUACUGGUUGAAUGAUCCCUGGCAUAACAAAUUUUACAUGUUGCAGCAGCCAUUCUUUUUCUAAUAGAGUUUACUGCCUCUGCAUAUGCCAACUCAGGAAAAAAACAAAUCUCAUCGCCUUGCCCGGAAAUAAAAUCCAAUACAUCACCAAAAUACGGAGUGUUAGAAGCCAUAAACUAUAUCAAAAAAAUAAGAGAAAAAAUAAAUAAAAAAUGAAAACAAAAUGAACUCAAAAGGAAACAAAUUAAUCUGACACCAGUCCCCGGCAGCGGCGCCAAAAAUUGACAGGUUGUCGAAACCUGUGCAAUAAUAAAACCUGCUCAAACUAAAAAUAAUUUCUGUAGAUAGCGGUAAGUAGGGUCGAAUCCACAGGGACUGGGAGUAAUUGUUUCUUUUCGAAUUCUCAGUGACAAGGGGGUGUUUUUAUCUCAGAGGUGACAAUUUAAACAAUCCAACUAAGAGUAAAAUAAUAAAAAUAAAAUAGCCAACUAGAAAUUAAAAUAACAAUUUACCAAAAUCAAAGGAUCUAGCCAAGGAAUAACUUCAGCAAUGGUUCACCUAAUUGAUCAUCGAUAAGCAAAGGCAAUUCCAAUUAUUUAUCAAUAAAUAGGUUAUAACUGCCAAACAAGCGAAGACAGUCAACCCCUCCUUACUGUGUCGAUGAUUAAGGUACGCCCGUUAAUCACUGCUCUAAUUGAGAAAUAAUCCUAGGUACGCCCAUAGAAUUUAAUUUCCCAAUUGCCUUACGUAUUAGAGGAGCCCUAUUCUAAUCAAAUAACGCACUACCAGGGUUAUUUUAGAUUAGCCCGCGUAUUCCCCUGACACAAGUCUAAUUAUGCCAGUUGUCACUAUUUUGAGGCAAUUAAACAAUUACGGAUUCAAUCCCUCAAUUGACAAUAGAUUAUUAAAUUGAUUAAUUAUCCGGAUCCAAGACAAUCAAUUAAUUAAAUAACCAUAAGCACUGCAAUCAAAGAAUAUGCCAAUACCAAUAAAUAAGAGAAAAAGAUAAAAUUAAAUCGAUCUCACAAAUUUAGGCCAACCAAGACCUCCGUUGUUCCUUGACUAGAAAAGAAAAAUUAGUUCAUUCCUGGUGAACAAAUCCCACGCAAAGUUGGAGAGGAAGCCGCAGCCAUUGUCCUUGACCAAGGGAGCUCAGUUCGCUCAGUUGAUGGAAGAAUAUAGAAAGUGACCAAGACCUUCAAUUGCUCCUGACAUGCGCAGGAGACAUCCACCCAAGACUCAAGGGAAAAGUCAAAAGGAAAACUAUGCUAAAGGUCCUACGUACGAGGAAGGUAAAACAACUACUAAGAACUAAAAGGGAAGAAAAGUCAACAAAGGCAACUCCCUGGUGCUAGUGCUCAUUCUCUGCCAUAUAUCAAUUGCUCCUAUUCUAAUGGCUACUGUGUGCGGCAGCCCCCUUGCGGAGAGGACGGAGCCUCCGAAGGAAGAAGAAGCACACCUUGUGCGGCGCUCCAGCCUCCAGUAAAAUAGAGGCCUCUGCCCUGCUCUCUUCUUUUGAAAUUACCAAAAUGGGCAAAAGUCUUCCUUUGCCAAUAAUGCCCCCGGGAUAAGCUCUGUGCCUUGGACUCUUUUUCUGUCAAAUUAGCACCUGUUAUUAUAUUUUCGUUCUAUUCCCUGAAAUAAAUGCAAAAUACUAAAAGUGAGUAGAAUCCCGCAAUUAAUCCACAUCAAGUCAGGUAAUAGGAGAAAUUAAUUAUAAAAUAAAUGAUAGAAUUGCAACCUAUCAACUUUCACUUUUUUUUUCACUCUAAGCGUACCCAAAAAAAAAAAAAGAAAAAGGAUUUGUCUCCUCUUUUUUUCACUGUUACUAAUGUCAAGGGAAUGAAAAAAAAAGGGGAUAGAGAGAUGGGACAGAAGGAUACAAAAGCACAAUUUUUGAAAGCAGAAAAAUAAAAAAGAAUUCAAUAUUAUUAUUACUUUAAGAUUGUUUGUGUUGGAAUUGGGUGGUAGGUGGAAGAAUAAGAAGUGAUUUUAAAAUAAUAAGUAUACUAGAUUCUUUCUUAUUUUUUCUUUUUUUUUUAAAUAAAAAAUUGAACUCUCUCUCUCUCUCUCUCUCUCUCUCUCUCUUUCUCAGCAUUACUAAGGAUGCAAACCAAAAAACAAAAGGAAGGGAACAGUUUUGCUUUGGUAAAUAAAAAGAAGAACCAAUAUAUGUGUGUGUGUAUACACAUAUAUAAUUAAUCUUAUAUAUAUCGACAGUGUAUACACUAUCACGAUUGGAUUCAUGAAUAUAUAUACUAUCACGAUUGGAUGCAUAACAUAUAUGAAAAAUUAUAUAUAUAUAUAUAUAUAUAUAUACUCUGUGUGUGUGUGUGAAAUGAAAAAUGCUCUGUUGUCUCUGCUAAACUCUGCCAAAUAGCAUUCAGACUAAACAAAACAAAAAGGAAGAAGAGUUGGCUGUGCAUUCAUAUUUGGUCGACCGACUGGGGAAGUUCUCAACUGAAGCCUUUAGUUGAAAUGUACUUCGACGUUCAAUGUGAAAAGGUUCAUUUGAAUAGCUGGAUUCUAGAUCAUAUUCUGCUGCAAUGUGGAAAGAUUGGGAAUUCAAUUUUGUCUUGAUGGGAAACAUGUAUUUAAUAAAUCAAAUCAGCUGCAGAGGCGGCCAAUGUUUCAGGUGGAAAUGCUACGAGAAAAAUAAAGGAGCAAGUAUACAGAAUAUGAGCUGGACAUCUAGCCCUCUAAACAUGGCAUAAUUCGAAGCUUAAGACAACUUCUGAUAACAUGAAUGGUUUCCACCAACAAUUGAGAGAUUCUCUACAUGGCUGUUUACCUUCAAAUUGUUUGUUCUUGAUUUAAAAGGAGAAAAAAAAACAAAAAGAAGGAAAAAAAUAACGCAAAAUUCAAUAUGGUAUUUGAAAUUCUCCGACCAUCAAUAUUUAUCGACCAUCAUGAAUGGCUCAGCAUGUUUGUCGAAAAAAGAUACAAUAGACAUCCAGCUACCCUAAGAGGAGAUGGUAGAAAUAGGGAUACCUGUGCAGGUGCAGCUGUGUUCGGUUAUUGUAUUUCUUGUAAUAGGUGUAUCCUUACCUAAAUUAUUGUAUUUUUUAUAGAGGAUAAUUUUAGAAACCUCUCUCGAGAUUUUUAACAAUUUCACUUAGUUCUCUUGAGAUUUAAAAAAUUGCACUUAACUCCCUUGAAUUUAUCAUUUUGGUAACAAAAACUAUUCUCUUUUUUUAAACAAACGGCAAUAUCAGGUAACAAAAACUAUUCAAUGCUCAAAAUUUUGAAUGAAUAACCCAAUUUGCCCUUAUGAAAUUGUAAAGUUCAUUUUAUUUUCUUACAAAAUUCUAUAAAAAAAAAUAUGGAAUGUGCACAAAACCUCAAACCCACUUUCAACCCUUUUUUCUACUAUUCUAAACCUUCAUAUUCUUACAUCUCAAAUUAGUACCACUAUCUUCAUGACCACCGCUACCAUCAGUCCCAAAAUCCUAAAAUCUCAAUCUAAGUUACAAAAGAAAAAAAGAGUACCGUAAAAUUUAAAAAAUUUGACUAACUGUAUUAAUAUAACAUCCCAUCUCUCAAAUGUUGGAGUACCAAUAUAUGCCCCGUUAUAUUUAAAUCUUCAACUUGCAUCUCCUUCUAUUCAUCUUUAGAUCUUUCAAGUCAAGUUAAAAUUAAUUUGUAAUAUGUUCGAAUUAUGUUUAGGAUAUAAUUAGUUAUUCUAAAAGUAAACCUUGUUUUUGUUUCUAUUAAAUAUUUAAUUGUGUGGUGCAUUCCUAUGCACAAGAUUAGGAGCGUAUUAUUUAAUUGUAUGAAAAAUAUUAAUAAAUUAAGGUUAUUAUGAUCAUUUUAUAGGGUCAAGGGAGGUAAGUGUAAUAUUGAAAAUCUUAAGGUUACUAGAUGAAAUUGUCAGAAACCUCGAGAAAGGUUUCUGAAAUUAUGCCUUUUUAUAAUUAUUUGGUCUAUACAAGCAAAAUUUAUAUUUUUUGCCAAUAAAAAGAGUAAAAUUUACAUGUACAACACGAUAAUAUAAUUGUAUGAAAAAACAGUGUAAUAAUUGUAACUAGCGCAUGCAACCGUGACUUAGAUUAGCGUACCGAUCACUUUUCUAUAAAUAUAAUUACAUGAUAAUCGAAUCCACGACAUCUAAUUCCUAAUGCCUUGACCCUCAUUUUGUUUUAUAACUUGACCAAUUUUAGACACCAGUUGAUGGACUAGAUAUACCGCAUUACGAGCCUACACUUUUCAUUCGAGUUUUGGAAUUAGGCUAAAUCAUUAUUGUUAUUCACCAUAAUAAAUUAGAGUUAAUUUUAUAUAGGAUUAUUAUCACCUUACCCCCUAAACGUUUGGUGUCACUAUCAAUUUGCUCCUUAACAUUAUCUUUUAGUCACUUUACCCUCAAGACUAAUGGUCAAACUUAACGGAAUUUGUUAAUUAAAGUGAAAAGACAUGUUUAACCCUUAAAAUGAUUAUCACUUUACUCCCAUAAACUAUAGUUUCAUUAUCAAUUUACCCCCUAAAAUUAUUUUUUAGACAAUUUAUCUUAUCAUUAAACCAACUUAACAAGUUAAAAAACUUUAGAAGCAAAUACCCUCCUCUUUGCAUAAUAAAAAUAAUAAAAAAUUUAGAGUGGCUCUUCUCAGAGGCGGAGGGAAGGGGGGCCGGGGGGGGCAACCGCCCCUCUCCAAUUGUUAAAAAAAAUUUCUAAGUAAAACAUUUUUUAUUAUUAUGUUUUGCCCUCCCAAAAAUUGAUCAAAAAAUUCACUUUGCCCCCCCAAGGGCCCAAACAAUAAUAUUUGAAAGUUAUUUGGACUUGGUUCAAAUAACAGAGAAUUGCCACUAUUUUCUUAAAGGAGAAUAACAGACUUGGUCCAAAUAACUUACCUACUAUUUUCUGAACUUCACAAUUGCCGUUUUUCACCAAUGCACCUCUUAUUUCCUUCUUACAGAAAAGCCUCAACUCUCAACUCUCAACUCCCAACUUCAAUUCCCUCUUCGAUCUCCAGUUUUUUUUUUUUUUCAUUUCCAAAUACAAGCUAAUACUCUAUGGCAGAGAAUUGUAACUCCUCAGUUCUCACCCAAAUUUUUCUGCAAAAGUUGAAAUGCGUGGCUUUGAAACUGGAUAUACCAAAAGCUCUGAAAUUUUAAGCUAUUACCAUUUACCAGAUUAGUUUGACAUUGCAUUUAUUUAGUGAAAUGUGGGUGUAAGAAGUUUGCCCGCCAGUUGUUUGAUGAAUUGCUCGAGAGGGACUUGUAUUGUUUUUCGUACUUGGUCUUCUGAAUUCGGGUGAUAAGCAUUUAUUUUAGUUGAUUCUGAGACUGGUUUUCUUUUCCAAUUUUCAUACUAAUUUUAUUUUGAGGAUCCUGUUGGCUUCCUUGGGUGAUGGCCGGGCUUUUCAGUCAGGCUGAAUGGCCAAAAUUUGUAAGGGAAUUAGGGAAAUCAGUCUCUUGCAUUGGUCAAAUUCCCAUCUUUAUAGGCCAUAACCAGCAUUUCUCAAUCAAUUUUAUUUCGAUUACAGGUUAUUGUUUUGUUGCAAAUAUAGUGGUAAUGGCCAACAUGACAAUUGAUUCUUUUUUCAAGAAAAGACAUCUAGAACCAAGUGGAAGUGGUGAAACUCCUUGUCCUCUUCGUGAUUCUUCUCCUAAGCAUCAAACAAAGAAAUUUUGUAGAGCUGAAUCAUUAGAGUUUGAUAUUUCAUUCAUAGAACAUGAUCCUGGAAAGCGAAAAUCCAUUUGGGAAUAUCUAGAGCUUCAAAGGGAUGAGGUACGGAGAGCAUAUAUUAAGUUUGGGCCAUACUAACCUGAGCUUCCGAUUGAAUCAAUGGUUGUUGACAAGAAGGGCCGACGUUUCCUUUUCUCUUGGUAUAAAUUGUUUCCAGAUUGGUUGGAAUUUUUUCCAACAAAGAAGGCUGUCUUUUGUCUUCCUUGCUCACUUUUUUCCAAGCCAACGGACCGUUUUGGAUCAAUGGCCUUCACAACUAGUGGAUUUAGAUCAUGGAAAAAGGUAAAUGAUGGAAAAAAUUGUGCUUUUUUUAAUCACAUUGGAAAAGAUCCUAACUCAUCACACAAAGUGACAAUGCAAUGCUAUCAUGAUUUGGGAAACUCAUUGCAACAUCUUGAUAAAAUUAUUGAGAAGCAAAAUUCUGAGCAGGUUGCAAAAAAUCGGUUGCAACUUCAAGUUUCCAUAGAUGCUGCAAAAUGGUGUGCAUUUCAAGCGGUGGCUUUUAGGGGUCAUGAUGAAAGUUUAGAUUCUAACAAUCGAGGUAAUUUUAUUGAGUUGAUCAAGCAUGUGUCUUCUUAUAAUGAAAAGUGGCUGCUGUGGUCCUUGAUAAUGCUCCUCAAAAUGCAUCUUAUACUUCUCCUACGAUCCAAAAGGAGAUAUUAUCCAUUUGGUCAAGCAAGAUACAAAAGUAUAUUCGAGAAGAGAUUAGUGAUUCAAAAUUUUCUAUACAUGUUGAUGAGGCUCAAGAUAGAUAAAAAAGAGAGCAAAUGGCUAUUGUUCUUAGAUUUGUGGACAAGCAAGGCUAUAUUUGAGAGAGAUUUUUUGACAUUGUUCAUGUGCACGAAACCAAUUCCUUGACUUUGAAGAAGGAGAUAUGUGAUGUCCUUUCUCGCCAUAAUCUUAGUGUGCAAAACAUUCGUGGCCAAGGAUAUGAUGGAGCUAGUAACAUGCGUGGAGAAUGGAAUGGACUGCAAGCAUUAUUUAUUCAGGAGUGCCCCUAUGCAUAUUAUAUUCACUGUUUUGCUCAUCGAUUGCAAUUAGCAUUGGUAGCAACAUCUCAAGAGGUAGUUCCUGUGGAACAAUUCUUUACAUACUUAUCUCUUCUUAUAAAUUUAAUUUCAUCUUCUUGCAAACGUGUGGACCAACUUAGAGUUGCUAGAGCUGCUAGAAUUGUUGAAUUGAUUGCUAUUGAUGAACUUGAGACUGGUAGGGGUCAGAAUCAGAUUGGCACCUUAAAACAGCCAAGGACUACAAGAUAGGGGUCUCAUUUUAGUUCUAUCUGUAGCUUAUUCACAGAAUAUGAGGACAUUUGCUCUGUCCUAAUUGAUGUUAUCAAUUAUGGAAAUACAUCAACUCAAAGAAGUGAAGCUGACAGAGUUUACGAUUUCAUAACAUCCUUUGAUUUUGUUCUUGUUAUGCAUAUGAUGAGGGACAUUUUUGGAUUUGCACAAGUACUUUCUCAAGCUUUACAAUGCAAAUCUCAAGAUAUUUUGAAUGCCCUUAAAUUGGUUUCAGUAACAAAGGAUCGACUUCAAUGUUACAGAGAUAAUGGAUGGAAUGAAUUGUUCACCAAUGUAAAGACAUUUUGUGAUGCACGAAAUAUAGAGAUGCCUGAUAUGAAUGUCAUUUAUAAAGCAAGUCGAGGAAGAAUUCGAAAACAAAAUGAUCCAAUUACCAUGUAGCAUCACUACAGGAUUGAUGUGUUUUUGGCAACGGUUGAUUCUCAAAUACUUGAAAUGAAGAAUAGGUUUAAGGAAGAUAUAAUAGAGUUGCUUAUUCUUAGUUCAGCAUUGCACCCUAAAGAUAGUUUUCAGGCUUUCAAUAUUGAACAAAUUUGUCAACUUGCAAACAAGUUUUAUUCAGCUGACUUCACAGAUCAAGAGAAGUUACACUUAAGAACUCAAUUAGAGCUUUUCCAGAUUGAGUUUUCCUGUAAUUCUCAGCUUCAAAAUUUGUCAUCACUUCAAGAGUUGUGCCAAGUGUUAGCAAAGACAAGAAAGUCAAUGUGCUAUACUCUUAUUGAUAGAUUGGUUCAUCUUAUUUUGACUCUUUCUGUUUGAACAGCUACAACAGAGCAUGCAUUUUCUGCUAUGAAAAUUAUCUAGACUUGUUUGCGUUCUAGGAUGGAGGAAGACUUUCUUGCUAACUCUAUGAUAAUGUAUAUUGAGAAAGAAAUUGCUAGAACUUUUUAUAUAAAUUCAAUCAUUGAUGACUUUGAUAAAAUUAAAAGUCAUCGUGCACAAUUUCAUAUGUCCCACACAGUCAAAUAGAUUUGUAAAUAUGAUGAUAUUUUUGUUUAUGUGAAACGUAUAAAUAAUUUUCAUUCUAUAUAAGGUUGUUUCUAAUCUUGUGGUAUAUAUGUUCACAUUAUUUUUUUUUAUAAAUAUAUUUUAUUUUCAUUGCUAUAGACUCGCUCCCCCCAAAGUUAAUUCCUAGCUCCGCCACUCUCCUUUUUAGUAUCAAGAAAAAAAGUCAAAGAAUUCAUUUCUUUUUUCUUGACAAUCUUAUUAAUAUUGAAAAAAAAAAUAGAAAGAGGGAGAGGGGGGAGGGGAGAGGGAGAGAGAGAGCUCAAUUCUUUUUUUAAAAAUUACAAAAAAGAAAGAAUUGAAUACUUUUAUUAUUUUAAAAUUAUUUCAUGUUUCUGUUUACUACCAAAUUCCAAUCCUAAUUUCGACAACCUUAAAGUAAUACGAUAAUGUUAUACUUUUCUUUAUUUUCUUUUUUUGCAAAAUCUAAUUUUCUGUCUCCUUCUUUCCCAUCUCUUUUUCUUUUUCGAGUAUUAAUAAGUGUGAAAAAAAGAAAUUUGAGAAAUCCCUUUUAUUUUUAUGUUUUUUGAUCUUUUAAAGUGAAAAAAAGGAAGAAUAACCAUUUCAACUUUUUUAUUUUUAAUAAUAUAUAAAAAAGGGUAAAUAUAUUUAAAAUUUUUUAACCAUAAUAGUUAGAUUAACGAUGAGGUAAAAUGCCUAGAAAAUAAUGUUAGGAACUAAAGUGAUUGUAUCGCUAUAAUCUAAACGAAUAAAGUGAUAAUAAUAAUGUAGUAAUGCUAUAAAAUAAGAGGGUAUUUUUGUCCAAAAUUUCUUAAUGUAUUGAGUUAAAUUACUUAUGGAGGUAAAGUGACUAAAAGAUAACGUUAGGGGUAAACUGGUAGUAGUAAUAUAGUUAAGGAGGUAAAGUGAUAAUAACCCUUUUAUAUAUACUGUACUUACAGUGUAUACACUAUCACAUUAGAUACAUGACAUAUAUGUAAAAUUUGAAUUUCACAUUUAAAUUUAGAUUAUGCAUCAUAUAUCUAAUGAUAAAAGUGUAUAUGAUAUCGGUAUGUAACAAAUUAAUUCAAUAAAUUAAACAUUUCAAAACUUGUGAUCAAUUGGUCCCUCAGUCCCCAUCCAAGAGUGUGACGCCUUACAAAUCCAUCGAAAUAAGCCCAGUUAUGAACAAAAAAAAAGAAUAAGAAGCUGAUUGAUUUCAAUAGUGUCAUGAUCAGCCCAUUAUCCAAAGAGAAGUUAAAAAAAUAAUAAUGAUAAAAAUUAGAGUGGUUCUACUGACACUGGAUUUUCCUACCCCUCAUGAGCAAGGAGUCAAAGAAUAAGUUAAUUGAUUGAAAUUAAAAUAAAGUUCUUUUUCAGAAAACUAUGUUAAUCACUCUAUGUAAAAUUUUCCCGGGGAAGGUUGAAACCAAAGUUCUAAAAAAUGACUCCAUGUUUGAUUUGUAUUCCUUCCAAAAAAACACUCCAUUUUAUUGGCAUUAGAUUACCAAAGGCAGCCACAUUCAUUGGCUCAAAAUAGAGGAGCCUGAUUGAAACUUUCAGUGGAAAAUAAAAAAAAGUAAACCAUUCUUCUCAAACAGAUAGAGGAAAAAAAAAACAGCGAACCCUAAAAGUUUUAGCAUUUUCAGCUUUGCUAUUUUCGUGAUGAUUACUGGUUAUGACACACAAAAAAAAUACAAAUUCACUGCAGGUGGACAAUUGAUUUCUAAUCUGGUGGGUAAGAAGUAUUUAGCUGAAAUUUCUGUAGGGGCCAAAACAAGUUCAAAUGCUUUGAUUCGUCAGCGAUUUUUAUUUAUUUAUAACUCUUUUUUUUUUUUGGGUAAGCACCACAUUGUUUUUACACUAGUGUAUGGAAAAGUUUGAGUCAAUAUCAUUGUUAAGAAGUAAAAUAGUUCCUGCAUGUACAAAGUAACAAUUGUAAAAAUAGUUUUGGAAUAAUGGAUUAAUAAUCAAAAUUUUCUUCUCCUUAACUUGCCAUAAUAAAAAAUUAACCUUCACAAAUUAAAUUAAAUCUUAAUCAUAUUAUGGAGGAAGAAACAAAGCGGAAAGAACUUGCCCUUAACUUGUCUGUCCCAAUAAUGCCAACUAAUGAUGAUCAUGAUAUGAUAUGUGACCAAAUUAUUAAAUUAAACUGACGAGAUUAAAAAAGAAUUAACUGAUUAAUAACACUUUUAUGUGGUUUUCUUACCAGGCAAAUAUUUAAAACAAGGCUUGCCUGCUACUACGAUUUAGUCUUUACUAGGCCAUACUUUUGUUGUCUGAUUCGGACAAAGAGAACUUUUUAUUGCUAAUUUCAAAUUUUUAAGGGCCGCCACCAUGGAUCAAAGAAAAAUUUAUCAUUGCUUCUAUACUACACAGAGUUUACGCUAUUUGCUGCUGAAUCAAUCCUUCCUUCCUUCUCUGAGAACAGAAAACUUUUGCUCCUAAUUCCAAUUCGAAGCAAGAAAAAAUGGCUGAUGCUGCUAUUAAUACAACUAUCAAUUUCGUUCUGGGGACUGCUGUUUCCCUUGCGGCUGAUCGUAUCCGUAUGAUUCUUGGGGUCAAAAAGGAGUUGGAGAGGAUAAGCGCGACUGCUGAAACGAUCCAAGGUUUCUUGGCUGAUGCUGACGGGAAAAUGCAUAGCCCAGGGGUCCAAGAUUGGCUCAAGCAGCUCGAGGGAGAGGUUUUUAAAGCAGAAUAUGUGCUGGAUGAGGUCAAUUAUGAAAAUCUCCGUCAGGAGGUGAAGUAUCGUGGUCAAGUCAAGAAGAGGAAGGUAUGCUUCUUCUUCUCAUUCUCCUGCUUUAGCACAAUCGUUUUUCGUUCCAGAUUGGCUUCAAAAAUCAGGGACAUCAACACCAACCUAGACAGGAUCAACGGUAAAGCCAACGAGUUGGGAUUGGUUGUGAAGUACCAAAUUGAAGCCGCACUCCCAGCUGCCGAUGGAGCCACCACAAGCCGACAGGCUGACUCUAUUCUUGUUCCAAAUGUUGUGGGAAGAGCCAGCGAUGAAUCAAAGAUAGUGGACAUGAUGUUGAGCCCCUCUGAUAAAGUUAUUUCUGUUGUUCCUAUAACAGGCAUGGGAGGGUUGGGAAAAACAACUCUCGCUAAAUCAGUGUACAAUAAUCCGCGAAUUGAUGAGCAUUUUGGCAAGAAGAUUUGGAUUUGCCUGGCUAAAGAAAUUGAAUUAAUGGAGCUGUUCAAAUUCGUUUUGGAAUCAUUGACAAGAAAAAAAGUUGAAGUGGAUGGUGGGGAUGCUAUUGUUCAAGAAAUUUGAGGAGAAAUUGCGAGAAAACGACAUCUCCUUGUUCUUGAUGAUGUGUGGAAUCAUGAAGAAGGAUUGUGGAAUGACUUUUUCACCACUUUGGAGGGACUCAAUCCAACCAAAGGAAGCUGGUGUCUUGUUACUACUUGUCUGGACCCAGUAGCUGAUGCAAUGUCUAUACAUAUGAAGAUGAAUGAUGGUCCAUAUAUCUUGGGAAGGCUAGCCGACGAUGAGUGUUGGUCUAUUCUGAAAGAAAAGGCAAUUAGAGGGGAAGGAGUACCAAAGGAAUUGGAAGCAUUAAAGGAGAAAAUUCUUAGAAGAUGUGAUGGUCUACCACUAGCAGCAAGUUUAAUUGAAGGUAUGUUACGUAACAAGGGAAAGGAAAAGUGGCUGUCUAUUGUGGAGGAGACUCUUGGAUGGAGAUCAAGGUGAGAUCGAGCAAAUACUUAAGGUGAGUAUUGAUCAUUUGUCACCUGUAUCAGCCAAGAAAUGUUUUGCAUGCUGCUCGAUCUUCCCCCAGGAUACUGAAUUGGAACAAGAUCUAUUAACUGAGCUUUGGAUAGCGGAAGGCUUUCUUCAACCAGGCCACCAAAAUGGAAGUGUGAUGGAGGAAAUAGGGAGUGACUAUUUGAGAAUUUUGCUGCAGGCUUCCUUGUUGGAAAAAGUAGAAGAAGAGGAGAGAACAUAUUAUAAAAUGCAUGAUCUUGUGCAUGAUUUUGCAAAAUCAAUCUUGAAUCCUAAAAGCAGCAAUCAGUACCGCUACCUUGCAUUGUACUCAUCUGAAGCAAAGGCAAAAAAUAUCACAGAGAAAAUUCCAACCUCACUUCGCACAUUAUUUCUAGAGAAUGGCAUAUCUGAUAACAUGUUAUCAAAGAUGGAGUACUUGCAUGUUCUGAAAUUGGCUGGACCAGAUGUCAAUGUGCUGCCAAACUCCAUUGGCAGCCUGUUACAUUUACGGUUUCUUGAUAUAUCAGAUUCUGGUAUUACAACUUUGCCAGAAUCUCUUUGCAAGCUUUACAACUUGCAAACACUGAGGAUCAAUGGUGAAAAACUUCAUGAAGGUCUUCCAGAGGGCACAAGCAAUUUGAUUAGCUUGAGACAUCUUCACUAUUAUCAUAGUGAUGCAGAACUCCAAAUGCCGAUCAAACUGGGACGAUUGACUAGCCUUCAAACAUUAGAGUUCUUUAACAUAGGAGAAGAGAAGGGUCGUGGUGUUGAAGAGCUUGGAACCUUGAAAGAUCUCAAAGGAUCGUUGGUGAUAAGAAAUCUUAAGUUAGUAAAGAGUAAAGAAGGAGCUGCACUAGCAAAAUUAAUUGAAAAGUCAAAUCUGUCUAGGUUGGUAUUCGAGUAGGGAAGUGGGGAUCGGGAGAGUGAUAACGGCGAUGGAGCUGUGUUGGAAGGUCUCCAACCUCACUAUUAUUUACAAAUGUCAGAAAUUCAAGAUUUUAUGGGUUACCAAUUUCCGCAAUGGUUUAUGAAUUUGUCGAAAUUAGUGUCCCUGGAGUUAAAAGGUUGCAACAGAUGCAGAGAACUCCCUGCUGGGCUAGGAGAACUACCAUUCCUCCAACUUCUUUCUUUGAGUAAAUUGGAAAACUUAACAUGCAUUGGCCUUUCAUUCUAUGGUAUUUUUGAUAAGCAGGAUGGAAGAGGGAGCACUAGUGAAUGCAAAUUCUUUCCAGCCCUUAAAAGCCUCACUCUAGAAGAUAUGGUGAAUUUGGUUGAGUGGAGGGACCCAGACGAAGUGAGAUCAACAACGGAUGAAGAUGUAGCUGCAUUUCCUGUCCUGUGCUGAAGAGGUUGUCUAUCAGUGGUUGCUCCCAACUGACCACUGCUCCAACUCCUAGUCAUUUUCCAACUCUUGAGGAGCUCGAAAUCAGAUUCUAUUGCCACUCUUCUCUGGCAGAAAAGGUUUUAAACAAUAGAACCACUCUCUCGUCACUCAAACUAGAUGGAAGUAUGUCUUCGCGACAUAAUUCUGAAGCUCAUCAACAAAUAGAAUCUCUCCAUUUGGUGAAAAGACCUUUGAAUUCAGAAGAUGGUAGCCACCAAGGGAGUUCUUUGACUCUAGGAGAUGGUUGUGAGCUUCUACCGAGUGAAAUGGUCGAGCGACUGUGUCAUUUUCCAAGUCUUCAACAUCUACAAGUGUCGUAUUGCCCCAAUGUGACGAGUCUAAGAAGAUUAAAUUGCGGCACCUGUCUUGAGAGUUUAAAAUUGUUUGACUGUGAUAAUUUGAGGGAGUUGCCGGAAAAUCUGUAUAAGUUCCAGGCCUUUCGUGAUUUGUCUAUACGGGUAUGCCCCCUAAUUGAUCUUGGAGAAAAUCGGAACGAUGGACAGAAAAGCCUCCUCAAGUCUCUCAAGAGUUUGACAAUUUCUGAUUGUGAUGGGUUGACCACUAUAGCCAGUGAAAUGCUAGAGUCCUGUUCACCUCUUCAGAGCCUUCAGGUGUAUGAAUGUCCCAAUCUGGUCUCCUUUCCACUUGAUUUGCAACAGACGCCUUCUCUCGAGACCUGCAUCUUAACCAAUUGCCCCGAAUUGAUCAAUGAUAUGCCCAAAGGAUUUGCCUUUCUUACUUGCUUAACGACAAUGAUGAUCGGGCCCUUCUCAGAUUACUCCUUGGUUGAUUGGUCUGGAUUACUAUCAUCAUCAACACUCUGUGAGCUUGAGUUAAAUGGGAUGUCUGAUAUGGAGUCUCUUCCACAUCAGCUCCAAUACUUGACUACUCUCACGUCACUAUCUCUAUUCGACUUUGGAAGAAUUAAAGCAUUACCACAUUGGAUUGGGAACCUUGCGUCUCUUGAAAGACUAGUAUUAGAGAGUUGCGAAGAGCUUCAAUAUUUGCCCUCCAUGGCUGCCAUGAGACGCCUCACUAAAUUAACAUAUCUGCGGAUUAUUGAUUGUUCUCUGUUAAUCGAUAGGUGCAAUUUUGAAAGUGGGGACGACUCAGAGUGGUCAAAGAUUUCACACAUGGAGCUUGAUAUUGAUUAACAUUCAUCUUUCUAAGUCGUCCUGUAAGAUUUUCACCUCUGCUUUGUUCUCUCUAAUGUAUUCGCUUUUCUUGGUCCCUUCUUUUAAUCUCAUUAGUUCACUAAAUUUGUUCUCAGUGGACAUUGAUUUCUCUAUUCCUUUCUGUAAAUAUUGGUUUCCUUUCAAUUUAUAAGCUAAUUGUUGUCAUUAAGAAAGCGUAAUUUCACAGAUUGAAAGAGAUUAAAGCUGUGGACUUGAUCUUCUUCUUUGAACCAUCAAAAGAUUAUCAGCAUUUUGGAACUCAAAAUGAUUUUAAGCACUUUCUUUUUUCAUUCCUCUGGUUACCAAAUGACACCUUUCCUGGCCGAUGUACAUACUUAAUAAUUUGAUUUGUUGGCCGGUCAUAAUUGAAGCAGUACUGUAAGGUAACAUUCUGAUAAUUUUUCGCAGUCUGUUUUAUGAAGUAGAGUGGCAGGAAAUUUCUUUUACCAAAAAUGUUAACCCUUUGAAGAUGCCUCAACUCUCUGAUGAUCUCCAUUAGGAGCUAUGUUGGAGUAAAGCUCCUGCUAUGUUGGAGUAAAGCUCCUUAAAAGAGAAACAGAUUGUCAUCUGAAGCAUUUUAUUUUUAAUGGUUGAAGCUUUUGCAUUCUCCCAGACUUGUAUUAUCCCUUUGAGGACGUUACAACUUUGUGAUGAUCAUUAACCGUCUGAAGCUUGUUCAUUUUCAUCAUUGUACAUAUAAAGGACAAACCAACUCCCAAUAGAGGAGUUGGCCACCACUGUAUAUAGUGGGGUGGGAGGUCAAGGGUUCAAAUCUUGCCUCCCAUCAAUGUGCUUGAGUGUUCUAAAUUCAUACCGUCUGUUUACAUAACUUUUUAAAUAGAAUCAUAUAAUUAUUAGGGUAAAUUUCACUUUACCCCCUCAUGGUUUAACAUUUUUUUUACAUAUAAUUUCGACAUUUUUAGAAGUUCUAUUACGAGUAACUAUUUCCGUCACUUUGACACUUUAAUCCAAACCAUGAAGGGGUUAUGUAUAACUUUUGAAAUCAUAGGGGAGUUAUGUAAAAAUGCUAAAUUAUAGGGGGGUAAAAUGUAAUUUAUCCUAAUUAUUAUCACUUGAUUUCAAGAUACGAGACAAAUCAUGCUAUACAUAGUAUUAGGCUUUAAUGCCUUAAAUCUUAGCCGUGGACCAUUUAUAAGUUUCAAAAUUGUAAAUUUGUGUCACACUAGCACAGCUUGAAAUGGAAAUCAAAACCUUAAAGUACAUCCUUUUAGUAUAGAGGAAAAUAAGGUAGGCUAGGGGUAAAGAGUGGCAAGAGAUUCAUACCCUUUCCGUGCUAGUCUAGCAAAGAUGUAUAACGGUUUACUAUUUGUCUUCGUAUAAAACCAUAUAUAUAAUAAAAGAUUUUACCACUUGAUUUCAAAAAACGAGCAUAUACAAGUCGGUAAAUGUGAGACCUUUUUCUUUUUUGAUAGAAAAGAUCAUUUCAUUCAAACAAAUUUGUACUAAUGGUAGAAAAUACAUCAAAUAAACAUGACAUAGAUAUAUAUAUAUAUAUAUAUAUAUAUAUAUAUAUAUCUGAAAUCAAUAGAUAUAGCAGAUCUAAGAAAACAAUACAAAUAAAGAUAACAUUGAUGCUCCCAUAUAUCUUCUAUUCGGAUGAGUUAUUGUAGCUUAAUACAUCAGUGCAUGUUUGCUGAUAAUUAGAUCUGUUUAAAACUAAUUCAAGUCCAAAGAGAAAUUUAGAGAUGAUAAUAAUGGAGAAAUUGUAUAUAUGAGAAAGUAGAUUUUAGAUUUACAGAAUCUCAAAUUUUACAAAGAUAAAACCCUAAAAAACUCUUACAAUGAAAAAUCCAAAAGAAAAUAAAACUCUCACUAGGAGAUCCUAGGAGAGAAGAAUUAUCUCAUUAGAAAAUCCUAGGAAAGAAUUUAUUCAUAUAAGAAAAACUAAAAACUAUAAAAAGUACUUCCUCUCAUGGGGAAAGACCAAAUUUGGUCUCUCUUUCAUUGGAGAGAUGGAAAAAAUCUUGAUUGAAAGAGUUCUAGAGAGAAGGGAAAGAAAAGAGUUUGGGUGAGACUUUGAUGGCUUAGAUCUUACCCGUGAGAUUUUAGUUGUGGACUUCAAUUAGUGCUAGCGGCUUAUUUCUCGGUUUGCAUCUGCAAUUGUGCUAAGUUAACCUAAAUUAAGGAGUUGAUAGUAUGUAAUGUAAAUAAUUAGUUCCCACAAGAAAUGAUUCUACAAUCAACUAUGACCAGAAUUCGUAGCAAGCAAUAACAAAAUAUCGCAACGAGUAUGUAUCUAGAUUUACAUGCAACGAAAUCCUUGCUCCUGCCAAAGUUUGAAAAAAAAUAGAAUUUAAAUUCAAUGUGCUUGAUUGAAUGCAGCGGAAAUUCUUGGAACCGGAGCAUGGAAAAAUUGGCCGGAAAUAGAGGAAAUCACUUUGCAUGGAAAGGCCAAUAAUAAAAAAGUUCUGUCUUCCAUAAAGAAAUUCUUGGAACCGGAAUGGAGCUUAUAUCUAAGGCUCCAUCCCAAAACUUUUUGCAACUUCAAGUCUUCAAUAAUUCCACCAGUCACCGUUCUUUAUAGAGAAGCUUCAUCAAUUCUUGGACUGACCAGUGAAUUGUAAGUUUCAUAUUUCUUCAAUUUCUUCUCAUCUUUUAUAUAAAAGCUGUUCUGCUCUAAUUUUGGCUGAAACUAACAUGAAUAAAGGGACAAGAGAAAGAAAACGGAGGAACAAUCAAUUUUGAGCUUAAAAACAAUGCUCUAUGAGCAGCUUUGCUACGGAAUUUUGGUUUUUUAGGUCUAAUUCUUGGAUUAGUAUUUUGUGUCUUAGUAGACCUAAAUUUGUGUCCAGAGCUUGAAACUUUGUGUCGUCAGAUUGGCCUCCAUCCCUUUCAUCAUUGGCAGUGAUGAUACUGCAAAAUAAAUAAAUAAAUAAAUAAAUGACUUUUUCUGAGAGGAAAGCAAGCGAUGAUUGUCAGUGUAGAUGAGAAGAUCAACAGAGAAAGGGAGAGACUAACAGAUUGGAAGAACAAAGAGAGCAACAAAGAGACCGGACUUGAUUGAAGCCUUCUCCAUCUUGAAUCCAACAGUUGGCAAUGAUAUUAUUAAUCUGAGUUUUUUUAGUGCAUGAAACCUAAUCUAUUUUGAGUCAUUUUAUACAAGGAGGAUGAACGAAAACUGGGAACGGAUGGGAAGGUUAUUGUCUCACUUGGAAGGCAUGAUGCAGUGGCUCGAUUUCCAUUCACAACAUUGAUUGGUCUUCUUCCUUGUUUGAUCAUAUCCAAGGAUCUAUUUCCUGGGAAAACAAGGAAGCAGAUGGACCUUGACCCUCGUAUUGCUCGCUACUAGUUUUCAGAUUGAUUGCCUUGUUUGUACAUAUUCUUUACCCGAAUCAUCUGAUUUGCACGUUGUUCUUGCCCUGUAUGUAUGAUCAGCAUCUGCAUCAAAAUUCAUUUGUUCAUCCAAACUUGCAUAAUACUAACUCCUGAAUUAUAAUCAUUGAUUCAAUGCUUAGAGAUGCCAAUUUUUACAUAUUCAUCGAUAUAUUACUCGUCUGUCCUAUUGAAAGUGUCAUACUUUUCUUUUUAAUUUGUAUCAAAUCUAUUGUCACUUAUCCAAAAUGGAAAUGUAUUUCUCAUCCAAUUUCAAUCUUUGCACUUAUAUAUCCAAUGAAAGUUAUUUUAUUAGUAGAAAAAUGUGGGCCCAAACAUUUAACUCACUGGUUUUUUUUUUGGUAAUUCGUCAUUUAUUUACUCUACUACUACUCUAACUUAAUUCAGAGGAGGCUCAACUGAAUCUAUAGGAAAGAUCAUGAUGUUUGAAUCACCAUCGAACCAAAUAAAUGAUGUGAGCCCCAACAUAUACGAAUUUGAGGAAACAACCUACUGUGACGAAUGAUGACCAAAACUUUGAAGUCUUUGGCAGUCGCUGCCAGCCCAAGCUGCUGGUGGUUAUUUAACUCACUAGUAGUGAAUGAAAGAUUAAAACACUUAGUGUGUGACAUACACCAUCCAAUUUUGAGGAUGCCCAUGUACACAAAUAGGGAUGGCAACGGGUGCGGGUGCCUGCAGGGAUAAAAAUUGGGCGGGGGCAAAAUAUAUCCCCCGUCUUAAAAUGGGGCGGGGGACGGGGCAACAUACAUCCGCCCCAUUCCCGCCCCGUCCCCGCGUACAUUAAAAUAUAUAUAUAUAUAUAUACACAACAAUCCCAAAUUUUUCUUCGAGCUGUAGGUCAGGCCAUCCACCGUCGGCUCCUUUUUCUUCCUUUCUUCUUUGUGUGGGACUUGCAUCUAUCUUCUUCUAUUGGUUUAAAAAUAUACCUGCAAACCAGUCUGGGCAGUAGAUCACGGUUUCUUCUGGAUCACGGUUUCUUCUGAAUCUGAGUUCAACCCGUUGCCAUCAUCUCCUCCUCCCUUAGCUGCACGGCUGCUGUCCGCACUGCCUGGCAGCACAUCAGCACAUCGUUUCCACCACCAACGCAAACCUCCACUCUCGCAACAUAUCCAGAUCGUUGGUGUCUAGCCGCUCCAAGGCAGCGAUCUCGCCGGGAAGCUGGCCCUCAACAAUUGGAUCAAAAGCAACAAACUUUGAGACACAUAAACAGAGGUCACCAUAUUUCUUGACGGACUAUAUCUCACCUCCAGAGUUCAGAUCGACCGCAACUCACGCUCCUGCUCCCAGCCUGGGCACUACCGUCUCUGCUCCAUUAGCCACUGAUCUGGCAAGAGAGCCUCCGACGAGUAAAGGAAGCAUCGCAAACAAGUCUCCCCUUAACUACAAAGUGUCUGAAGGCACUUUGAUAGAUGAAGUCUUCCACUUCGAUUUCUUUCCCUGCGGGGGACUGCGGGGGACACAGGGCGGGGGCGAAGCGGGGGGUAGGGGGCAAAGGGCGGGGGAUGGGGGAAGUUAUUUAACAACGGGACGGGGGAAGGAUCCCCCACCCCAUUGCCACCCCUAUACACAUAUGGUCGAGUGACGUGUAAACUCUUGAGACAAACCAAACAAACGGACCUCACACGUGUUGACUUCCAAGACAUCUCUCCGCUAGUGAGUACGCUUCAUAAGAACAUAAUAAAAGGAAAAGUCUGAAGUAACGAUUGUUGCGGUAACGAAACUCUUUUUACCUGAUAUAACAGGUAAAAACACUUUUAGCGAUCAUUUAAUUACCUAUUGGACUGGUCACCUAAAUAAGAUAGUACCUAAAAAUUUGGUUAGUAAGUUUUACAUAAAGAAUAGUAAGUUAACUCGAUAAAUUAGUAACUUUUAUGUCUCAAAAAGUAAAUUAGAAUAAAUAUGCAUGGAGCUUACUUUUUUUUUUGAAAUAAAUUACUACUUUAUAUCCGAAACUUACUUUUUGGAGAGUAAGUUUAGUUCAAGUAAUAGUAAGUUUUUAUAGAUUAAUAAUAACUAUUGUUGAUAGAAUAGUAAAAUUGGUUAGUGGUCAAAACCUACUAGUUUGUGGUAUAAAUUUGCUAUUUUACUUAAAAAAACUAAUAUGUAACAAGUAUUAGGAAGUUUAUUUGAAAUAAUGCUGAGAUUUUUUAUUAAUGAUUGAAACUUAGUAUUUUAGUUAGUAAUUACUCGUAAUGUAAAUGUAUGAUACACAAUUGUAUGUAUCAUUUAUAAAUGUUAUAUGUUUUAAGCAUUUUAAAUAUACUAUGAAAACUUUUUUUUUUUGCACAUGACCUUAUAAAAUAUGUAAGAAUAAUUUUUCAUAUUAUAAAUUUUGAAUUAUUUUAGAAUUUGUGAAAGGUUAGAAAGUUUGGAUGACAAUAACAACAAAUCUUUCGAGUUAUAUAUAGAAUUGCACUUAUCUAUAUAUCACAAUUUCCAUAUAUUAAUACCUAUGAGUAUAAUAAAAUGAUAAAGGUUUAAUAAAUUUAUUUACUGGGUCACAAGUAUAAAAGUUAAAGUUGUAUUAUAAUAACAACAAAUUUUUCGAGUUGUAUAUAAAAUAGCACUUACUUAUACAUCACAAUUUUCAUAUAUUAAUGCCUAUGAAUUUAAUAAAAUGGUAAAAUUUUAAUAAAUUUAUUUUCUGGGUCACAAGUAUAAAAAUUAAAGUUGUAUUAAUGUAGCAUAAUCUUUGAAAAUUAUAGUCAAAUUACCCAUAUGUUAAGUUCCGUGACUUUCAAACAUACUUUGUAUCAUUUACAUUAUGGAUUUGUUUCUAUAUUUUUUCUAUCAAACUCUUUUUUUAUUGGCAAAUGGUAUGUAAAUUAUUAUAAAAUGUCAUUUUAUAAUAAUCAUAAUUUUUUAUAGAUGAAUGUUAUGUAAACUGUUAAAAUUAUCAAUUCACAAAUGACUAAAUCUUACUACUUUAUGGCAUAUAUUAGUCUAAUUGACUAAAAAAUUACUGUAAUCAUGUGUACGUUGAUUGUUGAAUUGAAAUUUCCUUUAUUACCAAUACAAGUCCUUCUAAUCAAAGCAAAAUAAAAUCAAAUAUCUUUUCUUUUUGUAUGUAGUAGUUAUGCUUAGUAGAAAAUUAUUAAACCAUUUUUACAAUACAUAAUUUCUCCUAAAAUUAGUAACAUUUUCCAUGACCUCUAAUCUUGUCAAUAAUACUAACCACCGACAUGUAGGUAAUCUUAAAAGCAAAGCCAUCAAUAUGACAAAAAAAUAAUAUUUUCGUACUGAACGAAAAAAAUUAUGAUUCUAUAUAGAAUUGAAGAAAUUCAUCAUGAAUGAGAAUGAAUUACAAAGUUAUCAUAUUUCUAAUUUCAUAUGCAUCCAGAAUUUCAUGCAGCAUUACUUUAGAGGAACUUUUCUUUUUCACACUAAGGAACCAAUCCCAAUCUCUACAUCUCUUUUAUUUUUUCUUUAACCAUUAGAUGUGGUCAAAGUUGUUAGCAGUAAAAUACUAAAUAAAUUUAAUUCCAUUUCAAGCUCUACUUAAUUGUAUACUAAUAUUUUACGCCACAAUUAAUUGAGCACCAAUUUCCUUUUUUUAAGUAGCUAUUAUUUAUUUUAUUGCUUAGGUUAAAUAUUUACAUAUAAAAUAAUAGCAAUAGAAUGCCAAUCCUCAGAUCAAUGGAACUUCAAUUAUUGUUAAUAAAACUAAUUUUGCAUUGAUAAUAAUUAGUCUACAGAAUGAAAAGUCAAUGGCAACAAUUGCAAAAAUAUAGCAAUUUUUAAUUAUGGGAAAAUAAACAACUAAGUUCCCAAAAUAUUUCACUUUUAUUGUUUAAAAAAUCUCAACUUGUUAACUAAAUUCAAAAUAAUUCUAUUGUCAAAAAUAUUUUUUCUCAAAUUAACUUUAAUGAUUAGAUGUGAGAUACAAAUAUGGUAAAAUUUCCCUCAUACGUAUGUCAUGGAUAUUUGAGACUUUUAGUAAAAAAAAAAAUUUGUUGUUAAAAUAGCAUUGUAUCAUAGUGUACUAAUUAUUUUAGGACCAUUUUAUACAUGGACUAAAUUUAAUUUAAAUUAUACAAUAGAUUAUAUAUGCAUGUGAUUCUCAUUUAUAAUUGUUGGAUCCCAUUUUUAUGAACAAUCUCCCAAAAAGUCCAAUCAUACUGAUUUUCUUAUAUUAAUUGUUAUACUAAUUUUGUCAUUUUUAUUGUUAUAUUAUUUCUCAUUUUGUUUGGGCUUUAACUCUUAUUAUUUCUUGUAUCCCAAAUGUAAAUUUAUUAAAACUUUAUCAUGUUAUUAUAUUCAUAGGUGUUAACUUAUAAAAAUUUUGAUAUAUAAACAAGUGAUAUUCUAUAUAUAACUAGGAAGAUUUGUUGUUAUUGUUAUCCAAACUUUCAAACUUUUAAAAAUUGAAAAUGAUUAAAAACUUAUAAUAUGAUAAAAUUUUAUUAUAUAUUUUACGAGAUUAUGUAAAAAGUCAAACUAUUUUUCAUAGUAUUUUAAAAUAUAUAAAUACAAAAUAUUUUUAAAUUAUACCUAUAAUCAUGUAUUAUAUAGGUAUAUUACGAGUACUUACUAACCAAGGUACUAAGCAUUAAUCAUUAAUAAAACAUCUUAUCGUUAUUUCAAAUAAAUUUCCUAAUACUAGUUUGAAAUAUGUUUUAAAGUAAAAUAGUAUAUGUGUCCCAUAAAUCAGUAAGUUUUGAUUAUUAAUCAAAUUUACUAUAUUAUCAGUAAGAAUUACUAUUUAUGUAUAAAAACUUACUAUUACUUGAAUUAAACUUACUCCCUAAAAAUUAAGUUUGGGAUAUAAAGUAGUAAUUUAUUUAUUUAAAAAGUUAGUUUAAUAUUUAUUCAAAUUUACCUUUUGAAGUAUAAAAGCUACUAAUUUAUUAAGGUUAACUUACUAUUUUAGAUGGGAAACUUACUUUCUUAUUUUUAAGUGUUAUCCUAUUUAGGUUGAUAGGUCCAUCAAGUAAUCAAAUGGUCGCUAAAAGUGCAACAACCUGUUAUAUCAGGUAAAAAACUGUUUCGUUACCAUAACUGUCGUUACUAAAGCAUUGUCCCAUAAUAAAAAAGUAAUGCAAAAUUGACCAAAUUAUCUUUACUAUUGAUAAAAAGCACUCCUCCCAAAAAGUAACCAUCUUUUUUUGGAACGGAUGGAGUAUAUUAUUAUGAUUGUGAAAGUCAUACUCUGCCAAAAAAGAAAAAAAAAAAUACUACUCUGGCUACAUGUUGGACAAUGCCUUUUUUAAUGAAACUGAUUUGUGGUGUAUGCAAGGCUGUUGCUGUUGAAGUAAAUGUGCUCUUUGUUUCGAAAUUGUGCUUCUGUUUUGUAGAAUCUCGAAUAGAGUUCCUAGGAUUUGAAUGUUCUUUGUUUCCAUUUUAGUGCUUAUUCAAAAUAAUUUUCUUUUGGUAAUUAUCGUCCACUUUUAAAUUCAGGACUCAAGCAGAGGUCAAUCACUUGUGUUUUUUUUAUUAGCAUUAGUUUUUCCAGCGUCAAUUGCAACUUGUUCUCUUGAACUAUUACUUGUUAUCAAUUUUACCCCCUAACAAUUUUCAGUUGCUACAUUUCACUAAAAUUACUAUGUAUACAACUCAAACCAAUUGAACAUCAGUGGAUAAUGGAUUCUUGUAAUUGGUGUGACAAAAUGACACUUCUGCUGUUUCACUUGUAAGCCACCACCAAAAUAAAAAGUCUCACGACAACAAAUCACUAAUUUCCAACUUUUCCUUUUUGUUUCCCUUACCCAAUUUGAAUGCUAGCUCAACAUCAGUAAAAGGUAUCAAUUGGCCUGAAUUGAUAUAAGGUUAAAACACCCACAAAGAAACUUUCACAGGUGAUUAUCCAUAAAAUUUAGGACAAAUUCCACUUUACCCCCCUGUGGUUUAGCAUUUUUUUUACAUAAUCCCCCUAUGAUUUCAAAAGCUAUACAUAACCCCCUUAUGGUUUGGAUUAAAGUGUCAAAGUAACGGAAAUAGUCACUCGUAACGGCAUCACCUAAAAUGUCAAAAAUACCCUUAUGUAAGGUUGAAAUUUAUGUAUUAACCAAAGGGGGUUGUGUGUAUAUUUUGAAAAUCAUAAGGGGGUUAUAUGGUAAAGUAUUAAACCAUAAGGGGGUUAUAUAGUAAAAUAUAAAAAUUAUAGGGGGUUAAUGUGUCAUGUAUUUAUAAGGGUAAUUUCGACAUUUUUAGAAGUUCCGUUACGAGUGACUAUUUCCGUUACUUUAGCACUUUAAUCCAAACCAUGAGGGGGUUAUGUAUAACUUUUGAAACCAUAGGGGGGUUAUGUAAAAAAAGGGUAAAUCACAGGGGGUAAAAUGUAAUUUAUCCUAAAAUUUAAGGCUUCAUUUGGAUUGAGAAAUUUGCAGAAUAAUUUGAAAUCCACUCAAAUUGCUCUAGUUGUUUGAAUUGCUUAAAAAAUAUUUAGGUUUGUAAUUCAUUAAUUAUUUAAUACAUUUUAAACACUAAAAUAAUUGAUGAUUUACAAAUCUACUUACCUUUUAAAUAACAUAAAUAGCUAGAGAGAUUUGAGAGGAUUUCAAAUCUUUCAUCAUGACAGAGUGUCGAAACCUGUGCAAUAAUAAAUCCUGCUCAAAUUAAAAGUAAUUUCUGUAGAUAGUGGUAAGUAGGGUCGAAUCCACAGGGACUGGAAGUAAUUGUUUCUUUUUAAGUUCACAGUAACAAAGGGGGUGUUUUUGUGCAGAAGGUGACAAUAAAAGAAGUUCAAAUAAAAUCUAAGAAACUACUAAAAAUUAAAUAACAAAUUACUAAAAUCAAAUGAGUGAUAAUUAAGGAUCUAGCCAAGGAAUAACUUCAGCAAUGGUUCACCUAAUUGAUCAUCGAUAAAAAACCAAUUACAAUUAUUUACCAAUAAAUAGGUUAUAACUGCCAAACAAGCGAUGACAAUCAACCCCUCUUUACUGUGUCGGUGAUUAAGGUACGCCCGUUAAUCACUGCUCUAAUUGAGAAAUAAUCCUAAGUACGCCCAUAGGAUUUAACUUCCCAAUUGCCUUACGUAUUAGAGGAGACCUAUUCUAACUAAAUAACGCACUAUCAGGGUUAUUUCAGAUUAGCCCGCGUAUCUCCCUGACACGAAUCCAAUCAUGCCAGUUAUCACUAUUUUGAGACAAUUAAACAAUUACGGAUUUAACGUCCCAAUUGACAAUAGACUAUCAAAUUAACUAAUUAUCCGGAUCCAAAACAAUCAAUUAAUUAAACAAUCAUAAGCACUGUAAUCAGGGAAUAUGCGAAUAUCAAUAAAUAAAAGCAAAAGAUAAAAUUAAAUCGAUCUCACAAUUUUUAGACAACCCAAAGCAUCCGUCGUUUCUUGACUAGAAUGGGAAAAUUAGUUCAUAUUGAAUGCUAAAAACCCACACGCAAUUGAAGAGAAAGCAGCUGUCAUCGUCCUUUGAGAUUUGGGCAAUUCAAAUCGUCCAAGUGUUGACUAGAUCGUAAGCCACAGGAAGUAAUUGAUAGCUUUUUCUUUGUCUGACAUACAAUGGGUAGAGAAGCUACCCAAAAUUCCUAAGAGAAGAAAAGUCAAAAUCCUAAGCUAAAACUAAAGAAACGGAAAAGAUAAGAGGACAAGCCAGAACCUCCUUCCUCUGCUAUUCUUUUGGUUUUUAUCCUCUGCCUCCUCCCCAGAUGUGCGGCGGCUCUUAGGAGAAAGAAACCCUCCGUCCGUCAUUCCUCUGCAGAAAUUACCGAAAUGGGCGUGACAUCUUUUUUUCCAAAAAUGCCCUUGGGGCAAGCUCUAUCAUUUGGGCUCUUUUUCUGCUAAAUUGGUACUUAUUAUCAUAAUUUCGUUCUACUCCCUGAAAUGAAUGCAAAAUACUAAAAAGAAAGUAAAAUAUAGCAAUUAAUCCAUAUCAGGUCAGGUAAUAAGAGAAAUUAAUAAUAAAAUAAAUGAUAAAAUUGCAACCUAUCAAUUCCCCCCAUACCUAAACCAUGCUUGUUCUCAAGCAUAAGAACAGUAAACAAACACCAAUAUUUGACAAUGGCUAUUGCUCCAUCUAUCUUAUUGCUAAGAUACCAAGAAAAACAUAUAUCAAGCAUCAGUGAUAAAGAUCCAAGAAACAUCACUUUGGUUAGUUUCUAAACCACAAACUCCUCUAAUUUUAGGUUAACUAAUCUAAGAAAAUGGAAUGAAGCACAACAUUUAUCAGCAAAUGGUCCAACUAUUAACCAACAUCUCAACACUAAAUUCAUAAAUCGGCAAGCUGACUUUUAUCACACACUAACACAACCUUCACUUUAUUUUUUUAUGUUUUCUAUCUUUUUCCUUUUUUUCUUUUUCUUUUUUUUCAAUAGUAACAAAAGACUUAAUCUCUGGCCAUUGAAGCUUUUUGACGCGAACUCCGACAUUUGUCAGAUGAAAGAGUCCGGUUAUUCAGCUCCUAUCGCCACGUGACCACACACUCAUAGCAAUUACUACUUUUUGACGCGAUAAUCGACACUUUUGGUGAAGAUCUCCAGUUACUCGGUAGUAAAUACUAGCAGAGUACAGUCAACUCUUAUUCACAGCCAAAUAACACCCAAAACUUCAAAAUAACACAAAAAAUCAAAAGAAAAUUUGCAUCAGCUAGCCUCAUUUUCAAAUAUGGAGAACUAAGGUUAAUAAUCGGACCAAUUCACAUGAAAAUGCCAACAGUCAUUCCCUACGCCUAGGAAAGUUAACCAAAAAUUAUAAGGGUAAAACAAUCAUCGAUAUUCAUCAAAGAAAUGUCCUUGGAUUCAACCACAUUAACUUGAUACAUUCUUUUAUUAUUAAAACUUGGCAAAAGUAGAAAUAGAGACAAUAAUCCAACAUCAAACUUGAGCUAAUCACUAAAAAGAAGAAAAAGAAAAUGAACGAAAGACACUAGCACCAUAACUGCUCCCCCCACACCUAAAUCCUACAUUGUCCUCAAUGGAGGUAAUAAAGUAAUGAAAGCGAAGAGAAUAAUGAAACUUCCCUGUUGAACAGCUAAGGGAUAGGAGGGAACAGUGGAGGGAAGCCGAGUUCUAAGACAUCCUUGCCACUUGGCGGGUGAUGUUCGUCAUUCGCUCAAAAGAGAUUAAAGCUGUGGACUUGAUCUUCUUCUUUGAACCAUCAAAAGAUUAUCAGCAUUUUGGAACUCAAAAUGAUUUUAAGCACUUUCUUUUUUCAUUCCUCUGGUUACCAAAUGACACCUUUCCUGGCCGAUGUACAUACUUAAUAAUUUGAUUUGUUGGCCGGUCAUAAUUGAAGCAGUACUGUAAGGUAACAUUCUGAUAAUUUUUCGCAGUCUGUUUUAUGAAGUAGAGUGGCAGGAAAUUUCUUUUACCAAAAAUGUUAACCCUUUGAAGAUGCCUCAACUCUCUGAUGAUCUCCAUUAGGAGCUAUGUUGGAGUAAAGCUCCUGCUAUGUUGGAGUAAAGCUCCUUAAAAGAGAAACAGAUUGUCAUCUGAAGCAUUUUAUUUUUAAUGGUUGAAGCUUUUGCAUUCUCCCAGACUUGUAUUAUCCCUUUGAGGACGUUACAACUUUGUGAUGAUCAUUAACCGUCUGAAGCUUGUUCAUUUUCAUCAUUGUACAUAUAAAGGACAAACCAACUCCCAAUAGAGGAGUUGGCCACCACUGUAUAUAGUGGGGUGGGAGGUCAAGGGUUCAAAUCUUGCCUCCCAUCAAUGUGCUUGAGUGUUCUAAAUUCAUACCGUCUGUUUACAUAACUUUUUAAAUAGAAUCAUAUAAUUAUUAGGGUAAAUUUCACUUUACCCCCUCAUGGUUUAACAUUUUUUUUACAUAUAAUUUCGACAUUUUUAGAAGUUCUAUUACGAGUAACUAUUUCCGUCACUUUGACACUUUAAUCCAAACCAUGAAGGGGUUAUGUAUAACUUUUGAAAUCAUAGGGGAGUUAUGUAAAAAUGCUAAAUUAUAGGGGGGUAAAAUGUAAUUUAUCCUAAUUAUUAUCACUUGAUUUCAAGAUACGAGACAAAUCAUGCUAUACAUAGUAUUAGGCUUUAAUGCCUUAAAUCUUAGCCGUGGACCAUUUAUAAGUUUCAAAAUUGUAAAUUUGUGUCACACUAGCACAGCUUGAAAUGGAAAUCAAAACCUUAAAGUACAUCCUUUUAGUAUAGAGGAAAAUAAGGUAGGCUAGGGGUAAAGAGUGGCAAGAGAUUCAUACCCUUUCCGUGCUAGUCUAGCAAAGAUGUAUAACGGUUUACUAUUUGUCUUCGUAUAAAACCAUAUAUAUAAUAAAAGAUUUUACCACUUGAUUUCAAAAAACGAGCAUAUACAAGUCGGUAAAUGUGAGACCUUUUUCUUUUUUGAUAGAAAAGAUCAUUUCAUUCAAACAAAUUUGUACUAAUGGUAGAAAAUACAUCAAAUAAACAUGACAUAGAUAUAUAUAUAUAUAUAUAUAUAUAUAUAUAUAUAUCUGAAAUCAAUAGAUAUAGCAGAUCUAAGAAAACAAUACAAAUAAAGAUAACAUUGAUGCUCCCAUAUAUCUUCUAUUCGGAUGAGUUAUUGUAGCUUAAUACAUCAGUGCAUGUUUGCUGAUAAUUAGAUCUGUUUAAAACUAAUUCAAGUCCAAAGAGAAAUUUAGAGAUGAUAAUAAUGGAGAAAUUGUAUAUAUGAGAAAGUAGAUUUUAGAUUUACAGAAUCUCAAAUUUUACAAAGAUAAAACCCUAAAAAACUCUUACAAUGAAAAAUCCAAAAGAAAAUAAAACUCUCACUAGGAGAUCCUAGGAGAGAAGAAUUAUCUCAUUAGAAAAUCCUAGGAAAGAAUUUAUUCAUAUAAGAAAAACUAAAAACUAUAAAAAGUACUUCCUCUCAUGGGGAAAGACCAAAUUUGGUCUCUCUUUCAUUGGAGAGAUGGAAAAAAUCUUGAUUGAAAGAGUUCUAGAGAGAAGGGAAAGAAAAGAGUUUGGGUGAGACUUUGAUGGCUUAGAUCUUACCCGUGAGAUUUUAGUUGUGGACUUCAAUUAGUGCUAGCGGCUUAUUUCUCGGUUUGCAUCUGCAAUUGUGCUAAGUUAACCUAAAUUAAGGAGUUGAUAGUAUGUAAUGUAAAUAAUUAGUUCCCACAAGAAAUGAUUCUACAAUCAACUAUGACCAGAAUUCGUAGCAAGCAAUAACAAAAUAUCGCAACGAGUAUGUAUCUAGAUUUACAUGCAACGAAAUCCUUGCUCCUGCCAAAGUUUGAAAAAAAAUAGAAUUUAAAUUCAAUGUGCUUGAUUGAAUGCAGCGGAAAUUCUUGGAACCGGAGCAUGGAAAAAUUGGCCGGAAAUAGAGGAAAUCACUUUGCAUGGAAAGGCCAAUAAUAAAAAAGUUCUGUCUUCCAUAAAGAAAUUCUUGGAACCGGAAUGGAGCUUAUAUCUAAGGCUCCAUCCCAAAACUUUUUGCAACUUCAAGUCUUCAAUAAUUCCACCAGUCACCGUUCUUUAUAGAGAAGCUUCAUCAAUUCUUGGACUGACCAGUGAAUUGUAAGUUUCAUAUUUCUUCAAUUUCUUCUCAUCUUUUAUAUAAAAGCUGUUCUGCUCUAAUUUUGGCUGAAACUAACAUGAAUAAAGGGACAAGAGAAAGAAAACGGAGGAACAAUCAAUUUUGAGCUUAAAAACAAUGCUCUAUGAGCAGCUUUGCUACGGAAUUUUGGUUUUUUAGGUCUAAUUCUUGGAUUAGUAUUUUGUGUCUUAGUAGACCUAAAUUUGUGUCCAGAGCUUGAAACUUUGUGUCGUCAGAUUGGCCUCCAUCCCUUUCAUCAUUGGCAGUGAUGAUACUGCAAAAUAAAUAAAUAAAUAAAUAAAUGACUUUUUCUGAGAGGAAAGCAAGCGAUGAUUGUCAGUGUAGAUGAGAAGAUCAACAGAGAAAGGGAGAGACUAACAGAUUGGAAGAACAAAGAGAGCAACAAAGAGACCGGACUUGAUUGAAGCCUUCUCCAUCUUGAAUCCAACAGUUGGCAAUGAUAUUAUUAAUCUGAGUUUUUUUAGUGCAUGAAACCUAAUCUAUUUUGAGUCAUUUUAUACAAGGAGGAUGAACGAAAACUGGGAACGGAUGGGAAGGUUAUUGUCUCACUUGGAAGGCAUGAUGCAGUGGCUCGAUUUCCAUUCACAACAUUGAUUGGUCUUCUUCCUUGUUUGAUCAUAUCCAAGGAUCUAUUUCCUGGGAAAACAAGGAAGCAGAUGGACCUUGACCCUCGUAUUGCUCGCUACUAGUUUUCAGAUUGAUUGCCUUGUUUGUACAUAUUCUUUACCCGAAUCAUCUGAUUUGCACGUUGUUCUUGCCCUGUAUGUAUGAUCAGCAUCUGCAUCAAAAUUCAUUUGUUCAUCCAAACUUGCAUAAUACUAACUCCUGAAUUAUAAUCAUUGAUUCAAUGCUUAGAGAUGCCAAUUUUUACAUAUUCAUCGAUAUAUUACUCGUCUGUCCUAUUGAAAGUGUCAUACUUUUCUUUUUAAUUUGUAUCAAAUCUAUUGUCACUUAUCCAAAAUGGAAAUGUAUUUCUCAUCCAAUUUCAAUCUUUGCACUUAUAUAUCCAAUGAAAGUUAUUUUAUUAGUAGAAAAAUGUGGGCCCAAACAUUUAACUCACUGGUUUUUUUUUUGGUAAUUCGUCAUUUAUUUACUCUACUACUACUCUAACUUAAUUCAGAGGAGGCUCAACUGAAUCUAUAGGAAAGAUCAUGAUGUUUGAAUCACCAUCGAACCAAAUAAAUGAUGUGAGCCCCAACAUAUACGAAUUUGAGGAAACAACCUACUGUGACGAAUGAUGACCAAAACUUUGAAGUCUUUGGCAGUCGCUGCCAGCCCAAGCUGCUGGUGGUUAUUUAACUCACUAGUAGUGAAUGAAAGAUUAAAACACUUAGUGUGUGACAUACACCAUCCAAUUUUGAGGAUGCCCAUGUACACAAAUAGGGAUGGCAACGGGUGCGGGUGCCUGCAGGGAUAAAAAUUGGGCGGGGGCAAAAUAUAUCCCCCGUCUUAAAAUGGGGCGGGGGACGGGGCAACAUACAUCCGCCCCAUUCCCGCCCCGUCCCCGCGUACAUUAAAAUAUAUAUAUAUAUAUAUACACAACAAUCCCAAAUUUUUCUUCGAGCUGUAGGUCAGGCCAUCCACCGUCGGCUCCUUUUUCUUCCUUUCUUCUUUGUGUGGGACUUGCAUCUAUCUUCUUCUAUUGGUUUAAAAAUAUACCUGCAAACCAGUCUGGGCAGUAGAUCACGGUUUCUUCUGGAUCACGGUUUCUUCUGAAUCUGAGUUCAACCCGUUGCCAUCAUCUCCUCCUCCCUUAGCUGCACGGCUGCUGUCCGCACUGCCUGGCAGCACAUCAGCACAUCGUUUCCACCACCAACGCAAACCUCCACUCUCGCAACAUAUCCAGAUCGUUGGUGUCUAGCCGCUCCAAGGCAGCGAUCUCGCCGGGAAGCUGGCCCUCAACAAUUGGAUCAAAAGCAACAAACUUUGAGACACAUAAACAGAGGUCACCAUAUUUCUUGACGGACUAUAUCUCACCUCCAGAGUUCAGAUCGACCGCAACUCACGCUCCUGCUCCCAGCCUGGGCACUACCGUCUCUGCUCCAUUAGCCACUGAUCUGGCAAGAGAGCCUCCGACGAGUAAAGGAAGCAUCGCAAACAAGUCUCCCCUUAACUACAAAGUGUCUGAAGGCACUUUGAUAGAUGAAGUCUUCCACUUCGAUUUCUUUCCCUGCGGGGGACUGCGGGGGACACAGGGCGGGGGCGAAGCGGGGGGUAGGGGGCAAAGGGCGGGGGAUGGGGGAAGUUAUUUAACAACGGGACGGGGGAAGGAUCCCCCACCCCAUUGCCACCCCUAUACACAUAUGGUCGAGUGACGUGUAAACUCUUGAGACAAACCAAACAAACGGACCUCACACGUGUUGACUUCCAAGACAUCUCUCCGCUAGUGAGUACGCUUCAUAAGAACAUAAUAAAAGGAAAAGUCUGAAGUAACGAUUGUUGCGGUAACGAAACUCUUUUUACCUGAUAUAACAGGUAAAAACACUUUUAGCGAUCAUUUAAUUACCUAUUGGACUGGUCACCUAAAUAAGAUAGUACCUAAAAAUUUGGUUAGUAAGUUUUACAUAAAGAAUAGUAAGUUAACUCGAUAAAUUAGUAACUUUUAUGUCUCAAAAAGUAAAUUAGAAUAAAUAUGCAUGGAGCUUACUUUUUUUUUUGAAAUAAAUUACUACUUUAUAUCCGAAACUUACUUUUUGGAGAGUAAGUUUAGUUCAAGUAAUAGUAAGUUUUUAUAGAUUAAUAAUAACUAUUGUUGAUAGAAUAGUAAAAUUGGUUAGUGGUCAAAACCUACUAGUUUGUGGUAUAAAUUUGCUAUUUUACUUAAAAAAACUAAUAUGUAACAAGUAUUAGGAAGUUUAUUUGAAAUAAUGCUGAGAUUUUUUAUUAAUGAUUGAAACUUAGUAUUUUAGUUAGUAAUUACUCGUAAUGUAAAUGUAUGAUACACAAUUGUAUGUAUCAUUUAUAAAUGUUAUAUGUUUUAAGCAUUUUAAAUAUACUAUGAAAACUUUUUUUUUUUGCACAUGACCUUAUAAAAUAUGUAAGAAUAAUUUUUCAUAUUAUAAAUUUUGAAUUAUUUUAGAAUUUGUGAAAGGUUAGAAAGUUUGGAUGACAAUAACAACAAAUCUUUCGAGUUAUAUAUAGAAUUGCACUUAUCUAUAUAUCACAAUUUCCAUAUAUUAAUACCUAUGAGUAUAAUAAAAUGAUAAAGGUUUAAUAAAUUUAUUUACUGGGUCACAAGUAUAAAAGUUAAAGUUGUAUUAUAAUAACAACAAAUUUUUCGAGUUGUAUAUAAAAUAGCACUUACUUAUACAUCACAAUUUUCAUAUAUUAAUGCCUAUGAAUUUAAUAAAAUGGUAAAAUUUUAAUAAAUUUAUUUUCUGGGUCACAAGUAUAAAAAUUAAAGUUGUAUUAAUGUAGCAUAAUCUUUGAAAAUUAUAGUCAAAUUACCCAUAUGUUAAGUUCCGUGACUUUCAAACAUACUUUGUAUCAUUUACAUUAUGGAUUUGUUUCUAUAUUUUUUCUAUCAAACUCUUUUUUUAUUGGCAAAUGGUAUGUAAAUUAUUAUAAAAUGUCAUUUUAUAAUAAUCAUAAUUUUUUAUAGAUGAAUGUUAUGUAAACUGUUAAAAUUAUCAAUUCACAAAUGACUAAAUCUUACUACUUUAUGGCAUAUAUUAGUCUAAUUGACUAAAAAAUUACUGUAAUCAUGUGUACGUUGAUUGUUGAAUUGAAAUUUCCUUUAUUACCAAUACAAGUCCUUCUAAUCAAAGCAAAAUAAAAUCAAAUAUCUUUUCUUUUUGUAUGUAGUAGUUAUGCUUAGUAGAAAAUUAUUAAACCAUUUUUACAAUACAUAAUUUCUCCUAAAAUUAGUAACAUUUUCCAUGACCUCUAAUCUUGUCAAUAAUACUAACCACCGACAUGUAGGUAAUCUUAAAAGCAAAGCCAUCAAUAUGACAAAAAAAUAAUAUUUUCGUACUGAACGAAAAAAAUUAUGAUUCUAUAUAGAAUUGAAGAAAUUCAUCAUGAAUGAGAAUGAAUUACAAAGUUAUCAUAUUUCUAAUUUCAUAUGCAUCCAGAAUUUCAUGCAGCAUUACUUUAGAGGAACUUUUCUUUUUCACACUAAGGAACCAAUCCCAAUCUCUACAUCUCUUUUAUUUUUUCUUUAACCAUUAGAUGUGGUCAAAGUUGUUAGCAGUAAAAUACUAAAUAAAUUUAAUUCCAUUUCAAGCUCUACUUAAUUGUAUACUAAUAUUUUACGCCACAAUUAAUUGAGCACCAAUUUCCUUUUUUUAAGUAGCUAUUAUUUAUUUUAUUGCUUAGGUUAAAUAUUUACAUAUAAAAUAAUAGCAAUAGAAUGCCAAUCCUCAGAUCAAUGGAACUUCAAUUAUUGUUAAUAAAACUAAUUUUGCAUUGAUAAUAAUUAGUCUACAGAAUGAAAAGUCAAUGGCAACAAUUGCAAAAAUAUAGCAAUUUUUAAUUAUGGGAAAAUAAACAACUAAGUUCCCAAAAUAUUUCACUUUUAUUGUUUAAAAAAUCUCAACUUGUUAACUAAAUUCAAAAUAAUUCUAUUGUCAAAAAUAUUUUUUCUCAAAUUAACUUUAAUGAUUAGAUGUGAGAUACAAAUAUGGUAAAAUUUCCCUCAUACGUAUGUCAUGGAUAUUUGAGACUUUUAGUAAAAAAAAAAAUUUGUUGUUAAAAUAGCAUUGUAUCAUAGUGUACUAAUUAUUUUAGGACCAUUUUAUACAUGGACUAAAUUUAAUUUAAAUUAUACAAUAGAUUAUAUAUGCAUGUGAUUCUCAUUUAUAAUUGUUGGAUCCCAUUUUUAUGAACAAUCUCCCAAAAAGUCCAAUCAUACUGAUUUUCUUAUAUUAAUUGUUAUACUAAUUUUGUCAUUUUUAUUGUUAUAUUAUUUCUCAUUUUGUUUGGGCUUUAACUCUUAUUAUUUCUUGUAUCCCAAAUGUAAAUUUAUUAAAACUUUAUCAUGUUAUUAUAUUCAUAGGUGUUAACUUAUAAAAAUUUUGAUAUAUAAACAAGUGAUAUUCUAUAUAUAACUAGGAAGAUUUGUUGUUAUUGUUAUCCAAACUUUCAAACUUUUAAAAAUUGAAAAUGAUUAAAAACUUAUAAUAUGAUAAAAUUUUAUUAUAUAUUUUACGAGAUUAUGUAAAAAGUCAAACUAUUUUUCAUAGUAUUUUAAAAUAUAUAAAUACAAAAUAUUUUUAAAUUAUACCUAUAAUCAUGUAUUAUAUAGGUAUAUUACGAGUACUUACUAACCAAGGUACUAAGCAUUAAUCAUUAAUAAAACAUCUUAUCGUUAUUUCAAAUAAAUUUCCUAAUACUAGUUUGAAAUAUGUUUUAAAGUAAAAUAGUAUAUGUGUCCCAUAAAUCAGUAAGUUUUGAUUAUUAAUCAAAUUUACUAUAUUAUCAGUAAGAAUUACUAUUUAUGUAUAAAAACUUACUAUUACUUGAAUUAAACUUACUCCCUAAAAAUUAAGUUUGGGAUAUAAAGUAGUAAUUUAUUUAUUUAAAAAGUUAGUUUAAUAUUUAUUCAAAUUUACCUUUUGAAGUAUAAAAGCUACUAAUUUAUUAAGGUUAACUUACUAUUUUAGAUGGGAAACUUACUUUCUUAUUUUUAAGUGUUAUCCUAUUUAGGUUGAUAGGUCCAUCAAGUAAUCAAAUGGUCGCUAAAAGUGCAACAACCUGUUAUAUCAGGUAAAAAACUGUUUCGUUACCAUAACUGUCGUUACUAAAGCAUUGUCCCAUAAUAAAAAAGUAAUGCAAAAUUGACCAAAUUAUCUUUACUAUUGAUAAAAAGCACUCCUCCCAAAAAGUAACCAUCUUUUUUUGGAACGGAUGGAGUAUAUUAUUAUGAUUGUGAAAGUCAUACUCUGCCAAAAAAGAAAAAAAAAAAUACUACUCUGGCUACAUGUUGGACAAUGCCUUUUUUAAUGAAACUGAUUUGUGGUGUAUGCAAGGCUGUUGCUGUUGAAGUAAAUGUGCUCUUUGUUUCGAAAUUGUGCUUCUGUUUUGUAGAAUCUCGAAUAGAGUUCCUAGGAUUUGAAUGUUCUUUGUUUCCAUUUUAGUGCUUAUUCAAAAUAAUUUUCUUUUGGUAAUUAUCGUCCACUUUUAAAUUCAGGACUCAAGCAGAGGUCAAUCACUUGUGUUUUUUUUAUUAGCAUUAGUUUUUCCAGCGUCAAUUGCAACUUGUUCUCUUGAACUAUUACUUGUUAUCAAUUUUACCCCCUAACAAUUUUCAGUUGCUACAUUUCACUAAAAUUACUAUGUAUACAACUCAAACCAAUUGAACAUCAGUGGAUAAUGGAUUCUUGUAAUUGGUGUGACAAAAUGACACUUCUGCUGUUUCACUUGUAAGCCACCACCAAAAUAAAAAGUCUCACGACAACAAAUCACUAAUUUCCAACUUUUCCUUUUUGUUUCCCUUACCCAAUUUGAAUGCUAGCUCAACAUCAGUAAAAGGUAUCAAUUGGCCUGAAUUGAUAUAAGGUUAAAACACCCACAAAGAAACUUUCACAGGUGAUUAUCCAUAAAAUUUAGGACAAAUUCCACUUUACCCCCCUGUGGUUUAGCAUUUUUUUUACAUAAUCCCCCUAUGAUUUCAAAAGCUAUACAUAACCCCCUUAUGGUUUGGAUUAAAGUGUCAAAGUAACGGAAAUAGUCACUCGUAACGGCAUCACCUAAAAUGUCAAAAAUACCCUUAUGUAAGGUUGAAAUUUAUGUAUUAACCAAAGGGGGUUGUGUGUAUAUUUUGAAAAUCAUAAGGGGGUUAUAUGGUAAAGUAUUAAACCAUAAGGGGGUUAUAUAGUAAAAUAUAAAAAUUAUAGGGGGUUAAUGUGUCAUGUAUUUAUAAGGGUAAUUUCGACAUUUUUAGAAGUUCCGUUACGAGUGACUAUUUCCGUUACUUUAGCACUUUAAUCCAAACCAUGAGGGGGUUAUGUAUAACUUUUGAAACCAUAGGGGGGUUAUGUAAAAAAAGGGUAAAUCACAGGGGGUAAAAUGUAAUUUAUCCUAAAAUUUAAGGCUUCAUUUGGAUUGAGAAAUUUGCAGAAUAAUUUGAAAUCCACUCAAAUUGCUCUAGUUGUUUGAAUUGCUUAAAAAAUAUUUAGGUUUGUAAUUCAUUAAUUAUUUAAUACAUUUUAAACACUAAAAUAAUUGAUGAUUUACAAAUCUACUUACCUUUUAAAUAACAUAAAUAGCUAGAGAGAUUUGAGAGGAUUUCAAAUCUUUCAUCAUGACAGAGUGUCGAAACCUGUGCAAUAAUAAAUCCUGCUCAAAUUAAAAGUAAUUUCUGUAGAUAGUGGUAAGUAGGGUCGAAUCCACAGGGACUGGAAGUAAUUGUUUCUUUUUAAGUUCACAGUAACAAAGGGGGUGUUUUUGUGCAGAAGGUGACAAUAAAAGAAGUUCAAAUAAAAUCUAAGAAACUACUAAAAAUUAAAUAACAAAUUACUAAAAUCAAAUGAGUGAUAAUUAAGGAUCUAGCCAAGGAAUAACUUCAGCAAUGGUUCACCUAAUUGAUCAUCGAUAAAAAACCAAUUACAAUUAUUUACCAAUAAAUAGGUUAUAACUGCCAAACAAGCGAUGACAAUCAACCCCUCUUUACUGUGUCGGUGAUUAAGGUACGCCCGUUAAUCACUGCUCUAAUUGAGAAAUAAUCCUAAGUACGCCCAUAGGAUUUAACUUCCCAAUUGCCUUACGUAUUAGAGGAGACCUAUUCUAACUAAAUAACGCACUAUCAGGGUUAUUUCAGAUUAGCCCGCGUAUCUCCCUGACACGAAUCCAAUCAUGCCAGUUAUCACUAUUUUGAGACAAUUAAACAAUUACGGAUUUAACGUCCCAAUUGACAAUAGACUAUCAAAUUAACUAAUUAUCCGGAUCCAAAACAAUCAAUUAAUUAAACAAUCAUAAGCACUGUAAUCAGGGAAUAUGCGAAUAUCAAUAAAUAAAAGCAAAAGAUAAAAUUAAAUCGAUCUCACAAUUUUUAGACAACCCAAAGCAUCCGUCGUUUCUUGACUAGAAUGGGAAAAUUAGUUCAUAUUGAAUGCUAAAAACCCACACGCAAUUGAAGAGAAAGCAGCUGUCAUCGUCCUUUGAGAUUUGGGCAAUUCAAAUCGUCCAAGUGUUGACUAGAUCGUAAGCCACAGGAAGUAAUUGAUAGCUUUUUCUUUGUCUGACAUACAAUGGGUAGAGAAGCUACCCAAAAUUCCUAAGAGAAGAAAAGUCAAAAUCCUAAGCUAAAACUAAAGAAACGGAAAAGAUAAGAGGACAAGCCAGAACCUCCUUCCUCUGCUAUUCUUUUGGUUUUUAUCCUCUGCCUCCUCCCCAGAUGUGCGGCGGCUCUUAGGAGAAAGAAACCCUCCGUCCGUCAUUCCUCUGCAGAAAUUACCGAAAUGGGCGUGACAUCUUUUUUUCCAAAAAUGCCCUUGGGGCAAGCUCUAUCAUUUGGGCUCUUUUUCUGCUAAAUUGGUACUUAUUAUCAUAAUUUCGUUCUACUCCCUGAAAUGAAUGCAAAAUACUAAAAAGAAAGUAAAAUAUAGCAAUUAAUCCAUAUCAGGUCAGGUAAUAAGAGAAAUUAAUAAUAAAAUAAAUGAUAAAAUUGCAACCUAUCAAUUCCCCCCAUACCUAAACCAUGCUUGUUCUCAAGCAUAAGAACAGUAAACAAACACCAAUAUUUGACAAUGGCUAUUGCUCCAUCUAUCUUAUUGCUAAGAUACCAAGAAAAACAUAUAUCAAGCAUCAGUGAUAAAGAUCCAAGAAACAUCACUUUGGUUAGUUUCUAAACCACAAACUCCUCUAAUUUUAGGUUAACUAAUCUAAGAAAAUGGAAUGAAGCACAACAUUUAUCAGCAAAUGGUCCAACUAUUAACCAACAUCUCAACACUAAAUUCAUAAAUCGGCAAGCUGACUUUUAUCACACACUAACACAACCUUCACUUUAUUUUUUUAUGUUUUCUAUCUUUUUCCUUUUUUUCUUUUUCUUUUUUUUCAAUAGUAACAAAAGACUUAAUCUCUGGCCAUUGAAGCUUUUUGACGCGAACUCCGACAUUUGUCAGAUGAAAGAGUCCGGUUAUUCAGCUCCUAUCGCCACGUGACCACACACUCAUAGCAAUUACUACUUUUUGACGCGAUAAUCGACACUUUUGGUGAAGAUCUCCAGUUACUCGGUAGUAAAUACUAGCAGAGUACAGUCAACUCUUAUUCACAGCCAAAUAACACCCAAAACUUCAAAAUAACACAAAAAAUCAAAAGAAAAUUUGCAUCAGCUAGCCUCAUUUUCAAAUAUGGAGAACUAAGGUUAAUAAUCGGACCAAUUCACAUGAAAAUGCCAACAGUCAUUCCCUACGCCUAGGAAAGUUAACCAAAAAUUAUAAGGGUAAAACAAUCAUCGAUAUUCAUCAAAGAAAUGUCCUUGGAUUCAACCACAUUAACUUGAUACAUUCUUUUAUUAUUAAAACUUGGCAAAAGUAGAAAUAGAGACAAUAAUCCAACAUCAAACUUGAGCUAAUCACUAAAAAGAAGAAAAAGAAAAUGAACGAAAGACACUAGCACCAUAACUGCUCCCCCCACACCUAAAUCCUACAUUGUCCUCAAUGGAGGUAAUAAAGUAAUGAAAGCGAAGAGAAUAAUGAAACUUCCCUGUUGAACAGCUAAGGGAUAGGAGGGAACAGUGGAGGGAAGCCGAGUUCUAAGACAUCCUUGCCACUUGGCGGGUGAUGUUCGUCAUUCGCUCANNNNNNNNNNNNNNNNNNNNNNNNNNNNNNNNNNNNNNNNNNNNNNNNNNNNNNNNNNNNNNNNNNNNNNNNNNNNNNNNNNNNNNNNNNNNNNNNNNNNNNNNNNNNNNNNNNNNNNNNNNNNNNNNNNNNNNNNNNNNNNNNNNNNNNNNNNNNNNNNNNNNNNNNNNNNNNNNNNNNNNNNNNNNNNNNNNNNNNNNNNNNNNNNNNNNNNNNNNNNNNNNNNNNNNNNNNNNNNNNNNNNNNNNNNNNNNNNNNNNNNNNNNNNNNNNNNNNNNNNNNNNNNNNNNNNNNNNNNNNNNNNNNNNNNNNNNNNNNNNNNNNNNNNNNNNNNNNNNNNNNNNNNNNNNNNNNNNNNNNNNNNNNNNNNNNNNNNNNNNNNNNNNNNNNNNNNNNNNNNNNNNNNNNNNNNNNNNNNNNNNNNNNNNNNNNNNNNNNNNNNNNNNNNNNNNNNNNNNNNNNNNNNNNNNNNNNNNNNNNNNNNNNNNNNNNNNNNNNNNNNNNNNNNNNNNNNNNNNNNNNNNNNNNNNNNNNNNNNNNNNNNNNNNNNNNNNNNNNNNNNNNNNNNNNNNNNNNNNNNNNNNNNNNNNNNNNNNNNNNNNNNNNNNNNNNNNNNNNNNNNNNNNNNNNNNNNNNNNNNNNNNNNNNNNNNNNNNNNNNNNNNNNNNNNNNNNNNNNNNNNNNNNNNNNNNNNNNNNNNNNNNNNNNNNNNNNNNNNNNNNNNNNNNNNNNNNNNNNNNNNNNNNNNNNNNNNNNNNNNNNNNNNNNNNNNNNNNNNNNNNNNNNNNNNNNNNNNNNNNNNNNNNNNNNNNNNNNNNNNNNNNNNNNNNNNNNNNNNNNNNNNNNNNNNNNNNNNNNNNNNNNNNNNNNNNNNNNNNNNNNNNNNNNNNNNNNNNNNNNNNNNNNNNNNNNNNNNNNNNNNNNNNNNNNNNNNNNNNNNNNNNNNNNNNNNNNNNNNNNNNNNNNNNNNNNNNNNNNNNNNNNNNNNNNNNNNNNNNNNUUAUAGAUUUAUGAUCAUUAUAAAAAAAAAAAAGGAAAAUCGUUCAAAACAUCUCUCAUAUUUUAUAAAAUGAUUUUUUCGUCCCUCACUUUUAAAAGUGUAUUUUUACGUCCGUUACAAAUUCACAUUGGUCAAAUUUGACCCCUACCUAAGUUUUCAACUAAUUUUUGGCAGGAAUUCAUCAAGGCAUAUGAUCAUGUUUUAAGGGUAAAAUUGUCAAAUUAAAAUUUACCUAAUUCGAUCUAUAAUCCCUUAUAUUUCACAAAAUGAAUUGUUUCGUCCCUCACAUUUCACAAAAUAAAAUUUUUAAUUCCUCAAAUUUCAGAAAAUAAAUUUUUUCAUCCCUCAUUGACCAUGUGUACAAAUAGUUUUUUUUUUAAAUCCAUGUAUAUAUCUAUUUGAUUUUACCUAAACAACACGAAUAGCAUGUAAUAUAUCUCUAUUUGAUUUCACCUAAACAGACUAAUUGUAAUUGUAUACAUGCUAUUCAAUAGAUAUAUACAUGAGUUUAAACUUAAUAAUAUUGGUUUAAACCCAUAUAUAUUUAUUUAUUUGAUUUCACCAUGUGAAUCUAUUCAAUAUUUAUAACCUUUCUCUUUUGGUAAUAAUUCAUUUAUUGAAUUGUGUAAUAAGGCCAUCUAAAAAUCGAUCCUAAUUCGAAUUCUAUAAUCAUACUAACAAAUUACAGUUUAAAUUUAAAAUUUUUACUCACUACCUUUAAGUUUUUGCCUUGUGAUUGUCGUAAAAUUUGAAAGUGUCAAUCACUUACUUUUUUUUGUCAUACUUUUCCUUUGUGUAUUUUUCUGUCCAUAUUUAAUUCACUAUAAACACUUGAUAAUGUUUAGGAUUAAAUGUCUUCUUUAUUUUCAAUUUUCGAGUAAAAGGAAAUGAACAUCAGUGAAAAACUAACAAUUUUUUUAAACACACACAUAUAUAUAUCUAUUUAAUUUCACUUAAACAGUACAUUCAAGCGAAAUCAAAUAGAUAUAUACAUGAGUUUAAAAAAAAUUAUUCGUACACAUGAUCAAUGAGGGAUGAAAUAAUUUAUUUUAUAAAAUUUGAGGAAUGAAAAAAUUCAUUUUAUAAAAUUUGAGGAAUGAAAAAAUUCAUUUUGUCAAAUGUGAGGGACGAAACAAUUCAUUUUAUAAAAUGUGAGAGAUAAAAAAAUUCAUUUUGUGAAAUGUAAGGAACUAUGGAUCAGAUUAUGUAAAUUUUGAUUUAACAAUUUUGUCCUUAAAAAAUGAUCACGUGCAAGGCAUGUGAUGACUUUCGACAAAAACUAGUCGAAAAUCUAGAUAAGGACAAAAUUUGAUCAAUAUAAAUUUAUAAAGGACGUAAAAGUAUACUUUUAAAAGUAAUAGACGAAAAAAAUCAUUUUACAAAAUGUAAGGGAAGUUUUAAACGAUUUUCCCUUAUAAAAAUUUAAAUUAUCUUAAAGAAUGUUUUUAAAAAAAAGAAUAUCUAUCAAGUUUUUGAUAUGAGAUACAUUAUUUGAUAUAUACUAUCAUAUUAAAGUGAAAGUAUGUAAUUAAAUUUUUAAAAUUUAGUAAAUAGUUAAACAUUUAGAGUACAUUAAUUUUUUAAAGUGAAUAUGAAUGGACAUGUAGGAUUGUUAUUAAUUUUCAUAUUUAUAUAAAUUCACAAAAAAAAAAAGACCCGUACUAAGUUACGGGUAAAAUUCUAGUGGUUCAUUAAGACGUUAUUUGUUGAAGCUCCUGACUUCUACCAGGGAACUCGGAAUGUGCAAUUGUGCGUCUACAAAAACACUCAAAUUAUUUUUCGAUUGGCAGUUUCUGCGCAACAAUAUUCUUUUGAAACAAAUUCUCCCAAAAAGAAGAGCGCAUAGCAGUAACUAAACAAAUCUGUUCCCUAAGCUUUUUCUUACGCUCGUAACAUUUGACAAUCGAUGCGUGUAACUCCAACAUUGUCCUUCAAAUCGAACCAUUCAGGCCGCAUUGCUUUUCUACUCUUGAGGGCUCGUGUUAAGAAAGUUAUACAGAAACGGGGCUUCACGAAUUUCAUUCGCACAAGGUGGUAUAAAUUAACAAUAUACUCUCAAUUUACACCAAAUUGCUUUCAACUUAUAUUAAAUGAUAGUAAUCAACUUAAAUACUAUAUCAAAUUGUACUUAAUUUAUACAAAAUAAUAACAAAUCAACAUACUUAUUUAAUAUGAACAAAUCAAGAUACUUAUUCAACCACCUAUUACCACCAUCGAUCAUUGCCACCACAUCUUUCCUCCUCCCUCAUCCUCUCUCCUUCCCUUCCCUCUCUUCCCUUCCCUUUCCUUUGUCCCCUCCCCUGCUUCGCAGUCCUUCCUCUCUCUUCUUCUUGGUCUAGUCGUGGCCUACCCUUCCCCUUGGUCUAGUCGCAGCCCACCAUACUAGGGGACAAAGGAAAGGAAGGGAAGAGAAGGGAAGAGAGAGGAGAGAGGAUGCGGGAGAGAGGAGUUGCAGCAGUGACAAUAAAUGUGGAGGAGAGAGGAGAGAGAAGAGGAGAAAUGGUAGCGACGGAAGAUGGUAGUGUGGGUGGCUGGUGAUAAUGAGAGAAGAAGAAAAAGGUGAUAGAAUUUGUUAUUUUUCUUUUAUUUUAUUUUUUUAAGUUGUAUUUGAGAUUUUAGAGUUAUUUUUUAAGUUGUUUUUUGAAAUUUGGUAUUGUGUGUCAUAAAUAAAUAACACUGUAGGGAAAAAAUAGUUAAUAAGUUUUAAAGAAUAAACUCUUUAGUUUGGGCCAGAAUGUUUCCGAGCCCAAAUCCCAACAAAAAAAAAAUCUUAGCUUGAGUCAGGUUUAUCCAACUGAAAUGGAUCACGACCAAGCCUGAUUAAUAUUUAUAGUUUGGGCCAAGACUUGGGUUUCCAAAAGGACCCAAUUGAAACGCUACAUACUAUAAUUUGCAUGCACAACAAGAACUUGCAAGGCCAUUAAAAAGACAAAUGGUUAGAAGUGUGAUUGUUUUCUUCAUUUGAGAACACAAAACGAAGAUUUGUCAUGGUUAUUGUAUGAAUCUCCUCAUUUCCCCAUUUCCACUUUCCGCUUCUUUAUCACAGUAUUCCAUCCCUUCCAAGCAGGACAAUAAAUCGGAUCAAUCACCUUGAUACUCGACUCGAAUCAAACUCGUUCAAACUUGUUUAUUUAGGUAUCAAUCCAAAUUCGAACAUAAUUUUAAACUCGAAAAUAUUAACAAACAAAUUACGAUCUUCAUAUUGUUCAACUCUAUAUAUUCAGGAACAUAUAAUAUAAGUAAAUUUCAUAAAAAUAUAUCUAAAAUUUCCUUUCUUAACUUCACUUCUUUCCUUCCUUAUAUUGCUUAUCUUAUAAAAUAACAAGCAUAUAAUACUUAUAUCUCUUGAAUAGACAUAAUUGAUUUUAAUCACAUCCAUAAUUUAUCAUAAUAGAUUUCUUGAAUAGGUAUAAUUGACUUUAAUCACAUCCCUAAUUCAUCGUAAUAGAUUUCUUGAAUAUCAUAGGGCAAAAAUUAAGGGAAAAAAAGCAAUAAAUUAGGGUGAACAUCUUUAUUUAAUACAACAUAAAAUUUCAAGUCAAGCUAAAUCAAGCUUUGAUUGUAUGUGCUUGACUUCGAUACUAAGAUAAGCCAAGCCAAACUUUUUAUGGACAUACAUUAGAAAUUUCAAGCCAAACUUGAUCAAUUUCUUUCAAAAAAUUAUCAAAUACAAGACAAGUUCAAAGAUUACUUUUAAUCUUCAAACCAAUUUUGAACAUGCUUCUGUCCAACUCAAUGACACUUGUUUUCAGCCCUAUUCUCCAACUAUAUAUACACACACACACAUCCUAUAUCUAUAUAUACACACACACACAGACCUAUACAUAUAUAUAUAUACACAUACGUCGAUCAACUGACUCUUUAAUUGAUUUAUACAUUACAAACCAGGAAACAGUUCACAUGCCGAUCUCAAUUGUGAUACUAUUAUUCUCAAAUUAAUCCAUUUAAAUGGGAAAAAAAGACAAAAUGGAAAACCAAAUAUCUUCACUUAUCACAAUGCAACAGUUAUAUUCUUUUGUUCUUGAUGUUGGUUCUAGGUCAAAAUAAUUAUAUAGGUAACAAUAAUUUCUCUAAUAAAAUUUAACAAAGAAAUUAACAAAAAUCUCAUACCUCAAUAUUGCAUUAAAAAAUGCAAAUAAUUUGAACCAUAAAAAGUUAAUUUGGUGUGGGUUGAGGCGUGGACUAGGUCGCUCUCUUUAACACGAUUCGUACCCCUACGAAAUAUCCUCCGGUGUAGUAGGUUUCAGCACGUCACCUCUAGGAUACAAUAGCCCAACCUAUCUCACUGUAGUUUACUCCAAUCUACACUAUUGGAAUAAGACGGAAAACCUUACAUAACACUGUUCUUUGCCCUAUAAACUCUUAUAGUAGUGAGAUGAAGAAAAAUAGAAGAUAAUCUAGAAACAGCAAAGUACGUGUAAGACUCGGUGGAUAGAAAUCUCUAUUUUUAGACUAAGCAUUAGGAGUAUUAAAAUACUAACAUUAAGAGGAAUAAGUACCUCAUAUUUUCAGCUACAAAUUGAAAAGGCAUAGGUGUGACGACCCCACCUCCCCCUAAGGCGUACCAAAGGGUUCGGCGGACCGUCUGCCCAGCUCUCGCCAGGACUCACUCACUAUGAAACUCGAAUCAUGUACACACAUCCAUGAACCAUAAAUAACAUCCACAAUUCAAGCUUAUAAUUUACAUUGAUACAAAUCAAGGUAACAAGUCUCAUAUACCAAACUAGUUCAAAUCGUAUACAAUCCAAGUACAAAAUGUUUCAUUCGAGGAAUAGCGCGAGUACAAGCCCAAAAGUCAAAGAUAAAAAACAAAAGGUUACGUUAGUCUUUUCAAGUCUCACGUCUCGCUCGUACCCCUGUAAGGAAAACAAAACUAACGGGGGUGAGCCAACGCUCAGUGAAGUUCCAGAUAUCAAAUUGGCCAGCAACCAAGUGAUAGCAAAAUAAUAGUGAAACAGCGAGCAAACAAGUUAAAUCAGAGAAAUAGCAUUUGAGCUAGUCUAGCAACAUCGAGUUCACAUUCACAUGUAAGGAUACAGUAAUUCAAGUCUCGACUCCAUUCCAGCUUGAUCAAUCGGUAGUUGACACUCCGUCAACUUUCAAGUAAUAACUAGUCCAAACAAAACUCCACUACACGCCCGUCUCCAUCCACCGAUCAACCCCCUUUCCCGGGCCCGUACGCCACACGAAACAUGGGUGGUAAUAUUCGAGCAUACCGUCUAGUCGAGAAGAUAGCACUCCACUUGACAUUACUAGUGACCCAGGGUUUGUUAUCUAAUCGACCAGGCCCUUGCCGGCUCGACUCGAUUAACUAGCCACAGGGUUUCUGGAAUUCCAGGCAAGACAUAUCUCAGGUACAUGUAGAGCAAGUCAAGUGUAAUCAAUAGCAAGAACAAGUCAUAUUAGGGCAAGUGCGGUAAAGUACACCCUUGCCCUAUGAUUCCUUUUCAUGUAAUCAUACAAGUCAAGUAAGGAACACAUGUAUCAAGUACAAUCGGAUAUUUGGAAGCACUCACCAAAAUAUAGUGCUUCAAGUAUUCACGUUCACUUAUACUCCAGGCUUGGAGUCCAGAUCUGCGAUAAAAAUUCAGUUUGAGAACUUUGAAACACGAGUAGGAUUCAAAACUUAAACGUUCCGUUCAUAAGAAUUGACCAAUUGAAAUUCAUUUGGAAGACAUUCGUGAAACACUUGCUCGCUUUUCAAAUCGUAAGAUUUUGUAGCAUAUAUACUUGGAAAUAACACUUGAGUUGGAAGUACAAGGAAAUACAAGUUUACAUUGGCCAUUAUGUCUUUUCCUCAAAGUACAAGUUCGGUUAGGUUUUAACGUAUAACCCUCAAUUCAAGAUAGCCAAAAUCCUAAAUGGCUCAAGUACUAUUCAUCUCAACUUGACCCAAGUUGCAAAUGUAUUUUUAUAGUCCUUGAACGUAAAUUUGGGCAGCAUGCCCUUUGUGUUUACCUAAUUUCCAGCCAUUUAGGCUUCAAUCCUUACUCAAUCCAACCCAACGUCAUCCAUAACAUAAUUUUAGUUCAUUAGCCAUUCCAUAGGCUCAAAACAACAUAAGAACAAAAAUCAAAGUGAUAACAAGUGCGGAAAGGCAAUCCAGCAAAAGACAGAUUUGCCGGGUUUUUGCGGAACGGCCACAUCCGAAGGUACACUUGUCGGAUUGAGGCGCAAAUUAUACCAAUUCGAAGCUAAGACAAAAGCCUACAGUUUUCAUGAAGAGCACUCAGUCAAAUUUUCAGUGUAACCUGAUCAAUUUCCCAACUCACAUAACCUGGUUUCAACUAUUCGGCUAAUCAACCGCACUGCACUCAAAUGACCAUAUCUCAGUCUACUGAGGUCUGUUUAAGACGUUCUUGGUGGCGUUACAAAGCUAAGACAGGGUACUGAAACUUUCAUGUUUUAACAAAUGAUUAAAUACGAACGAAUUAUAGUGAAUAAACUCAACAAAAGAGACUAAACUGUCCACGCGGAACUCUGGAAAGUGACCUAGAUCAGCAAGGGUAUUUUCAUCUUUUCACAAGCUAAGUUGCUCCGAUUGAGUUGAAAUUUUGUAGGAAGCUAUAAAAUACCAUUAUCUACAACUUUCAUGUUUUAAACUAAGGCCAAUUCGGCCUCUAACAUGGAGCAACAAAACCGGGCAGAAAGGGGGGAAAUUUUCCAGAAAUCUGGAAUUUGUUGAUUUCAAUGCAACCUUUCUUGAUUUCUUACUUCCAAUACUACCAAAGCCCCUUAUAUAAUGUUAUAUACAACAUAUAUUAAUCAUACAUCAAGUUUGGCAGCAAUUCCCCCAAACCCUAACUCAUAUGUCCACAAGAAAAACAACCCCCAAGACAUGCUACAACCGUUAUUCAUCACAAACUUCAGUUACUAAGCUAAUUUACACAAGAUUGAAAGUAAGAAUUAGAGAAAUCAUCAUCCUUGCCUUGAUUAGUAUCCACCAAGUGAAACCCUAGCUUUCCCUUUCAAAAUCUCACCAACACUUCACUAACUAAACACUCAAAGGUGAGUUUAAUCGGUUUAUUUUCUUUGUUUCCUCCCUUGGUUGCUAGAUUCAAGAAGAAAUGAAGAAGUUUUUCUCUUGUUCUUUCCCUCUCUCUCUCUCUCUCUCUCUCGGCUCUUCAGCAGAAAAAUGAAGGAGUAUGGAGCAAUUUGGGGGAUAAGAAGGUUGGACAAUUGUCUUGGUCAAUGGCCCCUAAUGGUGUGACACUUGUCACAUCCCUUACCAAGUAAAAUUUUCUUUUUCUCUCUUGUAUUUUCAGCCUUUAAUUUCGGUCAAGCUUAGCUGGAAAUUAGGAGAUAUUUUGCUCAAAUAUUAAUGAGCUUGUAUGGUAAGAAAGUGGUGGUCAAGUGGUGUGUUCAAUCGGUAGUGCGCGGGACCCGCCGGUUCGCGCCGUUUUUCUUAAAAACACACAUACUAGGGUUUUUACUUCCUAUUCACCAACCUUAUCUCAUUGCUCCUAAUCAUAUUUUAUUUCUCACUUAAAAGUCACUUUUAAUCACCAAAUUUGAUCCUUGCUUCGUUCCGAAAAUUCAUCCGGCGAAAAAUCGCGAAAACCCUAAUUUUGCUCCAACCCCGAAACCGAAGAGUGAAACCCUACUUUCUAGGUUUAUUUACACUUAUUGUGGUAGGAUUGGGUAGGAGGGCUUGAAUAAAUAUUAAUUUCAAAUAAAAGGCAUUUUUGAGGAAAAAUAUAAGAAAUUUGCGAAUCCUCACAAUAGGUACAUUGUAUCACUAAAUGAAUUCAUAAAACUAAUCAUCACAUAGGUUACACACUUCAAGCUAUAAGUUACACUUUUCAAUGAUUGAAUUUGUAGCUGAAAUUUCAUUAAAGAAUUUGUAAUUUAUUGUGUUUGAAUUUCAAAUAAACAUGUGACAUUUUUAAUUAAAAUAUCUAACAAUCCCCCACUUAUUUAAUAAAAAAUAAUAUAGUAUUCAAUACUAAACACUUAAUAGGGCAAAGAUUAAAAGUUCAUGCAUAAUAAAGGUGGCAGUGUCUUUAAACCUUCACUUAGCAUUCAACAAUUCCCGUACUAAAGUGAAGGUGGAUUUAGCCUUUAAAUGAUGAUAACUUGAGGGCACGUGGAAUCAUAUCACAUACAUGAACCUUUCAAUGUUCUAAAACAGGUUUCAUAAGCAAACACAUUUAUGGCCUUGUGCUUUAUUCUAGUUUUCAUGACAGCCCUAGAGAACUAAUCCAAAUUCUCGUAGGAAACGACCCCACGUCCACAAUUAUAUAGGUGAAUCUAUCAAGAAUGCUCCCACGAUUUAGACAUCCUACCCAUAAGGGCUACCCAUAAGGACUUGAAAUUCUCAACCUCACUUAUCGUGAUUCCAUCACUAAUGCACUUAUGCCAUAGAGAUAGACAAUUUAAUCAAAAUAAUGUAUAUUAAUCAAUCAAACCACUCUAUGAUUCGUUUGUCUCCAACCUAGUUCUUGGGAUCUCCAGUCCCUAAGCAAUUGUAUUCUCGUAGACGAUUUUUAAUAUAUAUUGGGCCUUUGUCGUAUCCCCUUCAAUGUAUAUCAUAUCUUUGACUUAAAUUUGGUAUUUAUCUUUUACAGAAAUAAAAUAGCAAACAUAUGAUGUUCUCGAAAUUUUCCAAAUAAUCUCUCUUAGUGGGCCAAAUAUAUUGAAUCAAUUUCUAGUGAGAAAAUUUUUCAUCUAUUUAUAUUUGCCAAAUAGUAUAGGCAUAUAUUUGUUCAUAUUCAACUUUUUCACUUUUUUCUCAAUGGCUAGUAGUCUAGUAGCGCACUAGAAGCCCUUCUCAAAAAACUCCAUGGUUAUUUUUGCUUUUGCAAAAAUGCCAAGAAAAUAAUUCAAAUACCUUCACAUCAGGUCAUACUUUUCAGUGAGUGCUAGUCUACAUAACUCAAAAAAAGAGUGAAAAUAAAUCCAAAAAAUCAUAAUAAUGUUAUACUCAUAAAUUGAGCAAAUAAAAUGAUAUCUCAUUAUUUUUUCAUCACUUCCACUAUCACGGUGUUUUAUUUCAAAAAUACAUUUAUCAAGAGUUGCACGAGACAUCAAAAUGGUAGCAAAUUUGAAAAUAUAUUAAAAUCCUUCACCUUCCAAUAGAGGAGUAGUGAUGCAUACUAUCACUUCAUAAUGCUCCAAUUCCGACUUUUCCUUUUCAUCAAUACAUGCCAACAAAUAAUACUAAUUUAAGGAAGCCAUUACUGUAUGCAAAAAAUAACUUGAGAUAGUCACUUGACAAAACUAUUGCUUAUAGCAAUUAAGAACAAAUUUCAUAGUAGCCAUAGAGAUUUACUUACCCCCACUAUUUAUCAUAUUUCUAUAGGAUGUGAUGCGAUUUUGAGAUACAAAGAUAUUUGUUCUAAGAUUACUGCCACAUAGAAUGACUUAAGUACUCAAUGGCUUAUUGCCAUUAUCAAUCACUAGAUCUAUUGACAGUUAUCCAAAGCUAAUAAUCUGUACCAGUUAUCACCAACAAGCAACUAUGAUACUCGACUAUGAAAUUUUAAAACCAGAGACGUGGCAUCUCAAAGGAGUGAGAAAAAUUAGGUCUAGGUACAAAAUAUGUCAAUAAUCGAAAUUGUAGAGAAAGACAUUUUUCAUAAGCUAAGAUAAUUGACAAUUUCAAAUUUUGUACAAAGUAGCAUGUUUAGUUUCUCAAAUUUGUUCUUAUAUUGCCACAAUAUCUAGCCUCUAAUUUUUCAGGUUACUCACACACUAAUAAGCAAUAAAAACUUAGCUAAGACUCACUAAUGCACCUGAGUCUAAAGGAAACCACAAAUCCAAUGAUUUUUCCUUAAUCACGCUAGUCAAGAUUAAGCAAAAAUUUCUUUUGCAAUAAGAGGCUAAUUGUCUUAAAAUUGUUGGUUUUAGAUCAAAAUAAUCAUAUAAAUAACAAUAAUUUCUCUAAUAAAAUUUAACAAAUAAAUUAACAAAAAUCUCAUACCUCAAUAUUGCAUUAAAAAAUGCAAAUAAUAUGUACCAUAAAAAGUUAAUUUGGCGUGGGUUGAAACACAAAAUAGGUCACUUUCUUUAAGAUGAUUCGCACCUCUACGAAAUAUCCUUUGGUGUAGUAAGUCUCAAUGUGUCGCCUCUAAAAUAAAAUAACCCAAUCUAUCUCACUAGUCUACUCCAAUUUACAUUGUUGAAGUAAGACAGAAACUUUACAUAACACCGUCUUUGCCCUAUAAACUCUUAUAGUAGUGAGAGAAAGUAAAAUAGAAGAUAGUCUAGAAAUAGCAAAAUAUGUGUAAGACUCAGUAGAUAGAAACCUCCAUUUAUAGGCAGAGAAAUUGGGAGUAUUAAAAUACUAAUAUUAAGAGAAAUUAACGCCUCAUAUUUUCAACUACAAAUUGAAAAGUUCUAGGUUCAUUGUAUAACGAUAAAAAUUCACUAAAUGAAUUCAUAAAACUAAUUAUUACUUAGGUUACACAAUUCAAGACAUAAAUCUAAGUCUCAUUUUAAAGACAUAUGUUACACUUUUGAAUAUAGUUAUUAAACCCAACCUGUUAUAUUUAUUCCUUCAAAAUAACUAAUUUUCUGAAAAUUUUAAAGGAUAAAAAUCUAAAAGCAUCAUAUUCACGUGCAAAGCACGUGCUCCAUGACUAGUUAGAAGAAAAGGGCAUUAGGCAUCACUGAAAACUUAGACAGAAAUUUGCUUACACUCUCAUCUACUAAGACUCGCUGUACUAUGAUAGGGGGUACAAAUAGAUAGAUAUAUAUAGAUACGAGAGAAAGAAGAAAUCAUUUGCAUAUUCCAAAAAAACUAUCAAUGAUUAUGCUGAUAUGAAGGAGAAGAAAGGUAUGACACCAAAAGGUAUGAUCAUUUUUCAGUGACCCCCAAAAUGACAAGAAAAAUAUAAACUUAAAGACAUAGAAAAGAAAUUAUGUUUUAAUUUUUACCAAAAUAUGCUUCUCGAGCUUUAGUUGCAUCAUACAGAAGACUCAUUGCUGCAGAAGACUUGUCCAGCUGUGAUCUGCAGUUGAAGGAAUUAACAAAUCAAUAAUGCAAAACGUAGAAAGCAUAAACAUGUUCAUCAUGACUAGCAACAUCCCAUUUGGAGAAUUUCACAUCGAGAACUGAUGAAGAAGUUCUGAUACUAACAAACCAAAAUUAGAUAUAUUCAUAUCCAAAAGGAAAAAGAUCGAAAAGUUGAAAAAAUAGAACAAAAGAAAAUAUGGAAACAAAUUGGAGACGGCGAAAAGGAGAGAUUUUUUUUGUGGAAACCCAACAAAAGAAUUACAAGUGAUUUGAAGGUUGAGAAUCUUACAAGGUAAAUACUGAACAGUCAUCUGACCAACAAAGAUAUGAGGUAUAUGGUUAAUCUUAGACCACUCAGAGUCAGGGCCGCUUUGAGGAGUACAUAGUUCCUCCAACAAGGGACAGUGUUUGAUGCACAAUUCACUUAACUUAGUGAGGCGUCUCAUAGCAGCCAUGGAGGGUAAAGUUCGAAGUUUAGCACAAUUCACUACUUCUAGUUCUUCAAGAUGAACAAGGUUCCCCAACCAUUCUGGUAAAGCUUCUAUUCCAAAGCCAAAUAGAUGUAAUUCUAUCAGGGCAGUCAGAUUUUGAAGUUGAUUUGGCAGGGACUCAGAGCGAGGCCACCCCUGUAAUGUCAGUUUUCGGACAGGAAAAAAAGAACAUAAAGCUAACCAAUCAUAUCCAUAGUUCUCCAUUGAAGUAUCUGAGAAGGGACCAAUACAUAAUUCCCUUAAGCUGGUAAGACCACCAAAUCCUUGGGGCAUAGUGGUUAACUUGGGACAGUUACUUAGCCAUAACACUGAAAGAGAAGGCAUCUGUUGCAAAUCAACUGGAAACCACACAAGAUUGUGGCAUUCGUACAGUCUGAGUUCCCGGAGAGAUGUAUUGAGCUCUAAAAUUUCACUUGGAAGACUUCUCAAGCCAUUGCAUUGACCAAUUGUCAAACUUCGAAGAGAUUUGAGAUGUUGCUGGUCAUUUGGAACUAUAAGAUCGAUAGUCUUGAGAUUAGGACACCUUACUACUGACAAGUGUUCCAAAGAAAGCAACUUAUGCAAGUCACCUAGAUGCAGUAAAUGAGGACAGCUCUCUAAUGACAGGUAUUUUAAAUUUUGGCUGUUGUGAACUGCUAACACAUCAGAAACGCAUGUGAGUCCUGCCUGGCCUCCUAUACUGAGUGUUGAGAGAGUGGUCGCUUUGCUCAAAAUAUCUUUUAACACCAAAGCAUGGCUUUUAUUCGGUGUUUUCAACUGAUAAUACAAACCAUCACGAUAAUUUUCAAUUACCAAUUGUCUAAGGCAUGGGAAAUAAUUUGGAGCUCUGUUUAGUUUACAGCAAUUCUGUAUCUUCAAUGUCUCCAGCAUGGGGAACACAUCUAAUACUUCACCUUCUGUUGCUUCUGCCUCCAUCCACUCAACGAGAUUGUUCAUAUUGUAGAGGUAGAGACAUUUAAGAUGUGGAAACACCUUUCUAGACAAUUGACUAGAACUACGAGAGCUUCUGGAUCCACUUGGAUUGCAUAAGCCAUAGAAUGAAUGCCCAAUGACUGUUACCUUUUCCAGUCCAAUCAUGGCCAGAGACUGGAGAAAUGGCAGUUGUCCAAGUGCAGGAAGCUCUGUGCAUCUUCUGCAGUUUAUUAGCCGUAGACAUACCAAUUUGUCGAGACUUGUUGACAGAUUCAUCAACCACAGUGGAAAUCGAUUACUCAUGAAAUUUUCAACUUCUAAUACUUGCAGAUUGGGGUGAGGUUGGAGGCCAUCCAACACAUUUAUAUCAGCACCGUCAACUUCCCAUCUACCACCCCAUUCAAGUGAUAGCGAAGACAAAUUCUGCUUUUCGAACAAUUUUGCCCUUUCAGCUGCUUCUUUGCCUUCUACUAGUUCAAGAUUGCGGAUCCUCAGGAAACCUUUCAGGUCUCUUAAGCAUCCAAGCUCUUCAAUUUGGCGUCCUUUCUCUUCACCAACAUUGAAGAAGUCCAGCGUUUGAAGACAAGUUAAUCUCCCCAUCCCUAGCGGCAUCUGCACUUUUCUAUCAUUAUUGUAAUAGGAUAGAUGUCUCAAGCUAAUCAACUUGCUCAUCUGCUCUGGAAGGUCCAUUGGAGAAAUGCAAUUGAACUUCAGAGUCUGCAAAUUAUAAAGCUUGCAAAGAGAUUCUGGCAAAGUUUUUAUUUGAGUGUGUGGAAACUCAAGAUAGCGCAGAUGGAUUAGUUUACCAAUUGAUGUUGGCAACUCCACAGUAUUUGCUGAAGACAAGUCUAGAACACGCAAGUUCUUCAACUUUGGUACUAGGUCCUCCGAUAUAGGACUCCUUGGAAAUAAUGAACGAAGUGAACUAGAUAUGACUUCAGAGUUUUUUGGUGUAAUUUCUCCAGAUGAGUUUAAAACAAUGCUUUCACAUCUCGAAAUAGAUUGUGCAAGGUCAUGUACGAGAUCAUGCAUUCGACCAAAUGUCCGCUUAUCACUGCUAAUUUCUUCAUGCAACAAGGAACUGUCCACCAAAACUCUGAAAUACUUAUCACCUAUUUCCUCCAUUACUUCAUUUUCAAGAUUUGAUUGAAGAAAUCCCUCUGCCAUCCAAAGUUGGAUUAACUUCCUCCUUUCUAUCUUGAAAUCCUUGCAAAACAUCGAGCAGUAUGCAAAGCAUUUUUUAAUGGAUAGAGAUGGCAAAUGAUCAAAGCUCAGCUUGAGUAUUUGCAUGACACUACAGUCAUCUCCAGUAGACUUCAAAAGCCCAUUCUUCACAAUUGAGAGCCACUCCUCCUUCCUUGUCAUACGCAACAUACCUCCAAUAACAAUUGCAACAAGUGGUAGACCUUGGCACCAUUUUGUGAUUUCCUUUUCUUGUACUUGCAAUUCUUCUGGUACUUCCCCACUUCCUAUCAUUUUGUCUUUUAUUAUAGUCCAGCAAUCAUCAUCAGAUAGCUUCCCUAAUGAAUAGGGAGGAUAUGUAGCCACAACGGUUGCCACUUGUAGCUGACGAGUAGUCACAAGACACCAGUUUCCUCUGGUCGUGCUUAUUCCAGUCAAAGAACGAUAAAAAUCCGUCCAGAGUAAAGGAAUUUCAUUCCAAAGAUCAUCCAAUACAAGAAGAUAUCGUUUGCCCUCGAUUUCUUUUCGAAUCUCUUGGACAAUAACGUCUCUACUAGCUACAUCAACUUUGCGUCUUGUCAACGAUUCCAAGAUUAGUCUGAAUAUCCUAGUGACCUCAAAAUCUUCAGAUACACAAACCCAAAUCUUUAAAUCGAAAUGCCUCUCGAUUUGCUGGUCGUUGAAAAUUGACUGAGCCAGAGUUGUUUUUCCCAAACCACCCAUUCCAGUUAUGGGCAAAACAUAAAUAACAUUGCUGGUCUCACUCGAAAUCUUCUGCACUAUUUUGAACUUAUCAUGCUCUCUACCCACAAUAUUAGGAAAAACAACGGAGUCAGUCUCACGAUUGACCAUCACAGUUCUACUAAUGUCGGGAAGCAGAGUAGCUUUUGUACCACUACCCCCCAAUUGGGACUUGAGUCCAAAGCUAUUCGCUUCUUCAUUAAUAAUGUUCAACUUCUUGUUCAAAUCCCUUAUCUUUUGACCCAUUUUCCAACGAAAACCAAUUGAGUUAGAAUGGAAAAGAGAGCGUACCUUUCCUUUCAGUUGGUUACCAUUUCUCUUUCCGGUCUCUACCUGUUGUCUUAGAACAUCAUAGUUGAGCUCAUCCAACACGUUAUCAGCUUCAUAAGCCAGUCCUUCAAGUCUCUUCAGCCAAAGCUGCACUGCCUGCUGCUUCGGCUGCUCUUCCUCAGCAUCAGCCAAGACAGCUAGGAUCAUCUCCACAGAUGCUUUGAACUUCACCAGAUCCUCCUUGAAUCCAUAAACCACGCCAAUCUGGUCACUAGCAAUGCCAACUGCCUUCUCUAACGUAAUCCUUAUGGUAGCACCAACAAGAGCAUCAGCCAUUCUUGAUUUCUCGAUCACACUACAGUUUUCUUUUUGUGUUUUUGGGAAAAGGGUUCGUGAGUUAUGUUCUUGAAGAGAUGUCAAUGGGGGGCUAGAAUCGCUGCCUUAAGGUUAAGGUUCAAUUUUGUAUGACUGUUGACGCGGAAUGCAUUAUAGUGUAAAUUAAACAAAGACUUUGCCAGUCAUGUAAGUGUGAAAGCAUUUUUUUUUAAUGGGUAUUGAAACUUGAAAGAAACUGCAUUAAGAAGAAAAUUAAUAUAAUCAAGGGAUUAUUUUUAAUACACUGUUUGUGUAAAUAUUUUUUUUACACACAAGCAGAUUUAAAUGAAUGUCGCAUUAUCACUGUUCAAAUUUUAAAUUUACUUUUUGUCCAUGUGUCAUAUAUCUAUAUCUGUUAAUGUAAAAAAAUUUUAGGCCAUGCUUGGAUUGCUUGUUUCCGUCGGAAAAUAUUGUUAUUUUUCGUGAUCACAUUUCUCUAUCACUUUUUUCUCUUACAUAUAUCAAAUCGCUACAGUAAUUUUUCCAUGAAAAAUGACGGAAAAUGCAAUCCAAACACAACCUUACAUUAACAGUGUGUAUAACAUUAAUCCAAAUAAUCAACAUUACGUAUACUAUUUAUGCAUUUCUUGAUUCUACGUGUUUUGGUACAACUUCUUCUUCUUUUACCUCUUUUGGUGAGAAAUGUUUCUGCCAUAUUUUGGUUCUCUUUUGUUAAUCAAAGGAUAAGAAUUGACGAGAAAGUAUUGACUUUAAAUAGAUUAUGAAUCUCUUUCUAUAGGACAAUUGUUGAUGAUUUAUGUACAUACAUUACACUUAAAAGUUCUAUUAACACGUUUCCUUUAGUUCAUUAGUAAUUUUUUAAGUAACUUGCUCCCUCUCAAUUGCCAAAGUUGAUUUAUAAUAUCUUGUAAUUUUGACUUAAUUCGGUUCAUCAGAGGUUCUUUUCCUAAUCUUUUUUAAAGAUAAGUAAGAUAAAUUGAUGGAUUCUGCGUUUACCUGAAAAAUAAAAAGGAAAAGAAAGUACGGAGAGCUAAAAUGCAUUGCACCCCAGAUCUGACUUCGGAGGUCCCCUCCCUUUUUUUCCCUUCUUUUUUUUUUGGGCUGUAAAUUCAACCUGCUCUGUUUUUUAGUGCUGGUGUCAACAUGUAGGUGAAAUGAGGGCCUGUUUGGAACCCCCAAGUUUUUUCCAGGUUUAUAUACUACUAGUUUUUUUGAUAACUUUUGUUACAAAAACUCUAAAGAAUUUAUCAAAAUUUUUAACCUACAAACUUAAAAAAAUUUUCCCUUCAACUUUUCUAAUACACAAAAAAUUUCCGAAAAACUUUUCUUGAGAGAGAGAACUUUUCUUCAUUGGCAUCAGAGAGUUCUUUCUUCUGGUGAACUUUCCCUUCAACUUCUCCCACGGUCUGGCACCAGAGGGAAAAGUUCUCCAACAAAAAAUUUCCCUGCAACUUCACCAGCGGCAUCAGAGAGCGGAUUAUUAAACUUGAGGAAAGGUUUGACUUUUCUUUUUUUUUUUUUAAACUUAAGGCGAGGGUAGCUGGGCAAGGGGGAAGGGGGGAAGACGGGGAGAGGGAAAAUUGCAACAAAAAUAAAAAGUUUCUGUACCUGACCUGUCCAGCAAGAGAUGGAGAGAAGAGGGGAGGAGAGGGAGAGGGAAAAUUGAAAAAAAAAAGUUUAUGUUGCUCCCACCUCUGCCAGCAGGGGAAGCAGCGGCGGCGAGGGAAGGGCAGAGGGGAGGAGAGGGGGAGAGGGAGAGGGAAAAUUAGAAAAAAAAAAAAAAGAUUUCUGCUGCUGCCUCCCCUGCAGGUAGGUGAAGCAGUGGCGGGCGAGGGGGAAGGGUAGAGGGGAGGAGAGGGGGAGAGGGAGAGGGAGAAAAGAGGUGGUCCUGAAUCUGUUGCUUGGGUAGAGAUAAAAUGCAAAAAAAAAAAAAAAAAAAAAAGCCUUGAAUCUGCCGCUUCAUUGGCAGCUUCGAGAGAGGGAACAGGGGAGGGAUGGGGGAAGGGGCAGGGAGAAGAAGCGGGAACGGAGGAAAGAAAAGAAAAAAGAAAAUGUAAGAAAGAAAAUGAAAAGGAAAAAAAGUUUUUUCUCUUACAAAAAUUUUUCUACAAUUUCUACACUGAUCGACAAUAAAAUUUUAGAUAAAUUUUAAAAAAACUCAGAUUCCAAACGAGGAUAAACUAAUCAACAGAUUAGUUAGCAGGACAAAAAAAGAAAUAUUUUUGGAUGGAGACUACAGAUUAAUUCUUUUUUCCUUUAUAGAAGGUUUAACAUUUUGAUUUAAUUUAUGGAUGGGAAGAAUUAACAAUUUUUUUGGUGAAAUAUUUGUGGAAUCAGACUCUGUUGUGAUAUUCUGGCAUUAUUCUGAUUUCAAGGCAACCUAAGCUUGGUGAACAAGCAGCCAAAGAUGUCCUCCUGAUUAAACAAUCAAAGAAUAUUGUUGUUCAUGGACUGUUAUUGUUAUUAUUUUGGGGUCAAAUCGUUCAUGGUCUAUUUUAGUCAUUGCAAUUCUUGGUUUUCAAUACCGUGUAUAAGCUACUUUGUUGCUCUCCCAAGUUUCAAGGUUCCUUCACAACCCCAAAAAAUACCGUGCAUAAGCUACUUUGUAUACCAAUUUUAAUCCCCGGACUUCAAAAUUUAGAAGCCAGAUGACAGCAAAUCAAUGGUCUCUUAUCAAAAGUUACGAAAAUAAAAAUAUGGAUAAUGUUACUAUGACUUUCAAAGAUUAUUUUAUUGUAUAUUAAUCCCAAAUUUAACUCUUAUCAACAAGACACUAAAUUAAUCAAAAUUUUACAAACUAAUCACUUUUAUAUGCAUGUACCUAUAUAAAUUAUGAUGUAUGGUAUUGCUAUUUUGUAUAUAACUCGAAAAUUUUGUUAUUAUCCUUACACAUAUUUUUUAAACUUUUUCCAAAAAUAGUAAUAUAAUUCAUGAAGUACGAUAAGUCAAAAGUUUAUUACAUGCCUUGUACAAUUGAAAAGUAUGAGUAAUUUUUGAAUUAUUUUGAAGUGUACGAAAAACAUAAGUAGGACGUUUAGUGUUACUAUUAUUUUCCUCCUUAACGUUACUUUUUUAAUCACUUUAUCUAGGGAUGGCAAUGGGGGCGGGUGCCCGCUCACGGGGCGGGGGGGAAUUUUUUCCCCCCGCUUAGAAACGGGGCGGGGGGCGGGGGAGUAUACCCCCACCCCGCCACCCGCAAAACAAAAAAAAAUAAAAAAUAUAUAUAUAUAUAUAUAAAUGACUAUAUAUUAUAUGUAAGUUAAUUAGUUAUAAACUUAUGAUAAUGAUAUUAUUAGUUAGAUGUAUUAUAUAAUGUAUAUUAGUUUAUGUAAUAUAAUUGAUAUUAUCAAUUAUAUGACUAAUUAUACAUGUCUACUAAUAGAAUUUAUUAAUUAGUUAUACUAAAUUUACUAAUACAUUUAUACUAAAUUUCUAAUUACACUUAAUAGAAUAACACUUUUUUCUCAAAAAAAGCACAAACACAAUGAUGAAUUAGUGAUUGCAUUUGUACUAAAAGUGAAAAUUUGACUAUUUUAGUUAUAUUUAUUUCAUCAUAUUGGAUUGUAUUCAAAUAACUUCUGUUUGAUUGUUUUUAUGAGUUUCAAUUGUAAAAUUACAAUGAAUAAUAAUUUGGUGAUAUGUUGAUAUUUUAGUACUUGAUUAUUUAUUAAAAUUUAAUUAUAAUAAAAUUAUAUAGUAAAAUUUUAUUAACCCCGCGGGGGAAGCGGGGCAAGGCGGGGCGGGGCGGGGCGGGGGACGAGGGAGGGGUCCCCCGCCCCAACCCCGCCCCGUUGCCAACCCUAACUUUACCCCCAAGACUAACGGUCAAACUUAAAAGAUUUUGUUAAUUCAAGUGAAGAGAUAUGUUUAGUCUUUAACAUUAUCAUCACUUUAACCAAUAAACUAUAGUUAUCAAUUGACCCCCUAAAGUUAUUUUCUAGACAAUUUAGCUCCUAAAGUAAUAUGAUAAUAUUAGAUUCUUCAUUCUUUUCUUUCUUUGCAAAAUCUAAUUUUCUGUCAUUUUCUGACCCUUACCCCCAGCAUAUUAGUGGCUACCCGUUGAGAUAGGGUCGAGUCAACGACAUCCAUUUCGCCCCGUUUAUCAUUUAAUUUUUUUUAAAAAAUAAUUAUACUAAUUUAAUUUUGUAUUUUACAUAUUUAUCUAAGAUUUAAUAAUUUUUUUAAAAAAAAAUCUCCCUCCAAGAAACAAACAUGCAAAGAGAAUAUAAGAAAAAGGAAAAAAAAAAUUAAAAGGAUUCAAAAUCAAUGAAAAUUUAAAAUAAAUACUACAUUUUUUAAAUAUAUAUUCCACAUUAAUUAAACUCUUUUCUCAAAAACAUAAGAUCAUGACCUCUAUAAAUGAAUAUUGUAAACAAAUUAUAGUCUCCCAUAUUUAUAAUGCAAUUUGUUCAAUGAAAUUGCUUAUUUAGUUCUAAAAAUAUUAUUUUGUAGUAUGUGUAUAAAAAUAAAAAAAUAUAUGUCCGGCGGGUCGUUUACCUGCUGGUUUUUUAUUAUGUGAUUCUAACCUGCCUCACAUCUAAAUGGAUAUCCAACCCUCUUUUGACCCGGUCAAAUAAUAUGGAUCGAAUAUCCUAAUUUUCGAAUCAAACCGGAUCAGAUAUGGUGGAUUUUUUAAUUAGCAGAUAUUUUUGCUCACCCCUAACGUCGAUACCCAAAAAAAAAAGAGUUACUUGAAGAUUCUACUUUUCCAAUCUAGGGCAAUCCUGAAUUCUCAAAGCUUUAAUAUUUGGUAAUCUAUAUCCAAAUUUGACGAAAACUUGCCUGGUAUACUAACACAAGCCAGCCAUAGAAACUUGAGGUCUUGGCAUGGAUACAGUCUAAGCAUGGUCCAACAUCUAGUGAUUUUUUACCACAAGCAAAGAAUUCCAGGCAAGCUGCUUCGACUAUAAGCUAUCUAUCCAUCUCGAGUAGACAAGUGAGCCAUAAAUCUGCUUAAGAUUUUGAAGCUUAGUCACAAUAAGAUCUUUCAUGCCAAAACAGUAGUCAUGUUCCAAGAUUGCAAUCAAUUGACAACUCGAAAUGAUAUCCUGGGACAUUACCUGAUCUAAGCAUGUCCCAGAAGAGACACAGUUGUUUGAGACACUAGUAGUAGUACAUUAUUUUCUUAUUGGAUUCUAGUUUUAAGCAGCAUUGCUAAUAUGUAAAUCUACGAGAGAAUUUGCUCCAAGAACUAUCUGAGGCAAAUUAUAAGAAUGGAUAUGGAUUUGGAUUUUGCUGCACCACUUUCUACAGCAUUUUUCAUCCGUCUUUCAGCAAUGGAAGCCAAAACUACAUUAGCAGAUGAAAAUUCCUGCUCAACUCAAGCUUAAAAGUUUCUACCUUACCUAUUUUCUGCUUCUUGUACACCAGCAAGGUGCGGUCCGUGUAUUUAAAGAACUUCAUGCAUCUCUCUUUCUUUGUUACAGGAUCCUACUGGUGAUAUCAUUUUGUUUUCAAUUCCUUAAAAAAGAACAAGCUAUUAUUGAGUUCCAAAGUCGGGUGUGCACAUUGCUCAACCAUGCCUGAGAAAAGAUGUUGGUUUUGGCUGCAUCUUUGGUAGUGAGAAGAGAGGCUAUAUGUUGUAUAAUGUCUUCCGCCAAUUCUAUAAGGACCUCAGAGGUCUGCCAUUGAUAGAUGGAUAGUUAAAAGAUUCUAAAACUGCAGCAAACAGUCAAGAGGUAGAAAACAAUGACAUCUUCUUGGCUAGGACACUAUAGGGUAUUUAAGCAUUACAAAUUAGUUCAAUAAUUACAAUUUCCUAGAAAUCUGGCCUAGAGAGUCCUGGAUGAAGAUUCCCUUUGGAUUAGUGAAUUUGCUGCAACUAAAAUUUCAAUGUUUGUGGCACAAAUUCAAAUAGGACUCAACCAGGGAAGAAGAAGAAAAGGAGGGAAACUAGAGUUACCUCUGUACUGCUCCUAUUUUUUUUUUUUUUUUUCCAAAUUAAAGCAUUUAAAAGAUCAGAGACAAUAAUUUCGAUGUGAAACCAAUUUUACUUUUUGAAGAAAAGCCAAUUCAGGGUAUUGUAUUGUUUCUGGUAUGUUACAUGUAUUGUGGAUGGGGACUUUGCACUUCUCAAUGUUUGUUUCCUAUGCUCAAAUGCAGAAUUGACCAUUCAACUGCUGUUUUAAGUCUAAACUUUCCAGGAGCUAAAUCUGGUUUAUUAUAGUCCAAAACAACAAUGGGCAGUACCCACCGCAAGCAAUACACUAUGUAAAACCAAAAGAAGUCGAAUUUGUAAAGUAUUUGCCAUAUUUGAACAGAGUGAGCUGAUUUUUAGCUAUCAAAACAUUCAGUCUAGAACAGCAAACAAACAAGCUAAUAAUUGGUUUCAGAAAGAUAACAAUCAUUUCAUUAAUGCAAUUGUUCAUCAUACUUUAAUUGAUUGAAGGGGAACGAAAGAAAAUUGCACCUGCACUAUGAAAAUUCAAGGACAAUUAUGUGUUCUUAUCAUUAUCUGCAGCAAACAAAUUGUGAUGAAAUGUUGAGAGUGGCUCAAGAAAACUAUCCAGCCACCAGAAACCCCUUGUGGUCUCUUACUCUGUGUGUGUGUGUGUGUGUGGGGCGGGGGGGGGGCCAAAGCAAAUUAUACUGGAUAGAUAGGAAGGAUUGCAGAUAAACAUUCAAAAACGCAUGUGAGUUUUCAAAAAUAUCCUUAAAUAUCAUUUACAAGAAUCAAGUUAUAAGAGAAAAUAAUAGUUUGGGAGCUUAUAGGAUAGAACUCAGGAAAUGCACAUAUCUAGAAUGAAUAGCUGCUAAGACUUGCAGUAUGAAAUCUGUAGUGUUGGGGCUGCUCCGAGAGGUGCAUCUUUCCUGCACAGCUACUUUAAAAGACAAAUAAUUCAUUGUUCAAAAAAAAAAAGAAGACAAAUAAUUCAUGAACAGAAAAGCACAAGAACAAGAAGAAAUAACAAGCUAGGAACUUGCAUGCAGCGAUCUGCUGGUUGGAAAUCAAGCAACAUCUGCUGUUUUCAUGAAUCUUUCUGAGAAGGAAAUUAAGAAAAACAUGGUAAGGGUCAAAAGAAUCCCACACUUUGUAUCAAGCUCAAAAAGUACUUAUAGCAGGAAAGCAGAAAUGGUAGACAUUGGUUGAAAUGAAGAGAAGAGACAUUGAGCAGGAGUACAACUCAAGUUUGAGCACUUUAUUAUACUUCGACAGACAAUACAACUGCAAAUAUUAUUAUUGAAUACAGUAUAUGACCAACACAGAGAGUAUUUUUAUCCGCACAAUACACUGACUAGACAAAGUACGAGUCUUCACACUUGUAUGUCACUUUGCAGUGCUCACUCAAUUAACCAGAGCUUGCUGUUUUGCUCUGCUUGGUUCGUACAAUUGAAAUAUAGUCCUAUUCGAAAGACAAUGAAAUAGAAGCAAUUGUGGCUGCUGAAGAUGUAUUCCUUUUAACCAUAAAUGGGAGCAGUGGUUUACUGCAACCCCUUUGGAAUAGUUGACAUGACAUUUUCCAAGUAGUCAUGGCAAUGCUUACAGUUCAAAUUUGUCUGGCCAAUUAAGAAAGUUGUCAGUACCAAUAUUCAAACAGACAAAUACUUAUGCACAACAAAUGGAAAGUGAAAAGAAAACGAGAGAGAAUGUUCAAGGAGAAGAGAAGAGAAUCAUUUUUUUGGGGAAUAAAAAGCAAAGAUAUACCCAAAUUAGCAAUUAUGGGAAUGAUAAGAAAAUGCAUCAGAUAGUAGAAUCUUACCAGACAGAAUGAAAUUUCAGUAAGCCCCAAUAGGUUUGUCCUCAAAUUGAAUGUGGGAAAUAUUAAAAAUCUUGGGCCACUCGGAUGUAGCGCCAGGAGUGAAAUUUUUCUCUAGGAGAGAACAACCAAAACUUCCCAGGAAUUUUAAUUUGGUGAGGCGCCUCAUGGCAGCAGUGGAAGGUAAAUGCUGAAGCUUUUCACAACCAUCUAGCCGUAGUUCCUCAAGGGAUGCAAGAUUCGCCAACCAGUCUGGUAAAACUUCCACUCCAAAACCAUGUAGACCUAGUGCUGUCAGGCUAGUAAGGUAUUGAAGCUGUACGGGCAAAGAGUCUGAUUGAGGCUGACCAACCAAUGAUAGUCUCUGAACAGAAGAGGAAGCCAAUGCUGAUAACCAUUCAUUCUCCGUGUGGGAAUCUAAGAAGGGACCAACAUGCAACAUACUCAAGCUGGAAACCUGAUCUAGUCCUUUAGGAAUAGUGGUCAGCUUUGGACACCCGAACAAUGCUAAUGAAACAAGAGACGGCAUUUGCCGCAAAUCAAUUGGAAAGGAGACAAGGUUGGGGCACUUACACACCGUCAGAGACAAUAGAGAUGAACGAGCCUCCAGCAUUUCAACUGGUAGACUAGUUAACCCGUUGCAAUAACCGAUUCUCAAAUCUUUGAGGGAGGUCAGGCCUUUUUGUCCACUAGGAAUUGGAAUUGUCUCCAAAUUAUGGCAACCCCCGAUGACCAAAGAAUCCAAAUUCUGUAAUUGAUGGAGACCGCCAUGUAUGUCAACUAAUUCGGGGCAUUUUUCUAGUAUCAGUGCCUGAAGGUUCAAGCCAUUCAAAACAUCUUGAACAUGAGUGAGAUCUGCCAUCCCUUUGAUCCAGACAGCUGAGAGGUUGGUUGCAUUGCUGCAAAUCUUUUUCACUGGCUGAAGCUUGUCAAUCUUCUGAAUUUUCAAACUCUUCAGACUUGGAAAAUUGCUUGGAGCGUUGACCAGGCGGUAGCACUUCUUAAUUGUCAAAUCCUCAAGAAUGGGAAACACUUUAACAUCUUCAUUACUCUCUCUUCUUGACUCAGCUUGUGCAUCCAUCCAUUCUCUCAGAUUUGGCAUCUUUGAUAGUACGAGACUUUUAAGAGCUGGAAACAAUGUGUUUGACACUUCACUGCUGCUGUUGUUUCUUGAUGCACGGCGAUCGUCCAUGUCAUAGAAGGAACGUCCAAGGCAUGUUAACUUAUCUAGGCCAUCCAACACGAGAAAUUCAAGAGAAGGCAACCUUCCAAGGGCAGGGGCGUCUUCGCACAUUUUGCAGUCUACUAAUACCAGCUUUACCAAUCUGUCAAGUCUUCUUAAGGAGCCAUACAUAUUGUACUUUGCUAUGCUCAUAUUCAUCAACCAACGUGGAAAUUGGCUCCCCAUAUAAUUUUUCACAUAUAAAGAUUGCAAAUUUGGGUGAGGCAGGAGACCUUCCAACACAUCUUCAUCAUUGUAGUCUCCUUCUCGACCGCUACCCCACUCAAAUGCCAAAUCAUUCAAAUUUGGCUUACUCAACAAAUCUUCCUGGUGUGCUUCUCUUUUAGCAUUUACAAAUUCGAGGUUGCGUAUUAGAAUUUGGCCUCUGAGGUUUUUUAAGCAUCCUACCUCCUCAAUUUUGCAACCUUCCUCCUUGCCUAUGUUGAAGAAUUGUAAUGUUUGAAGACAAGUUAAUUGUCCCAUCCCUUUUGGCAUUCUAAAUUUGCUAUCAGGAGUGAAAAAAAGAAGAUGUCUCAAGUUGAUCAAGUUUCUCAUCCCAUCAGGAAGCUCCUUCAAGGUUGUAGGGUUAAAGUGGUUGCUUAAUACCAGUGUCUGCAAAUUAUAUAGCUUGCAAAUGGACUCUGGCAAAGCUUUGAACCUUGAGUGUGAUAGGUCAAGAAAUCGUAAAUGGAUUAGCUUGCUAAUUGAGGUUGGCAGCUCCUGACUAGUCACAAGAGGCAACUGGAGAACACGCAAGUACUUUAAUUUCAAGAAUACCUCUCCAGACUCUAUAUUCCCGUUCCCAAGUAAAGUCCGGAGUGAACUUGAUCUGCUUUUCAAGUUUUCUUGCGUUUCUCCAUCAAAUGAAGGCAGCAAUAGGUAGCGGCAAUUCUCAUCGGUGAUGCUGUCAGAUCUCAAUACUGAUUGUGCAAGGUCAUGCACAAAAUCAUGCAUUGUACAGUUUCUAUCGCCUAUAUGAUAAAAGGGGCCGAACAUUGCUACCUCUUCAAACAAGGAGCUUUGCAAUAAAAUGUCGAAGUGCUCCUUGCCUAUGUCCUCCAAUACCUCAUUAAAUCUUGGUUGCAGAAAACCUUCUGCCAUCCAGAGCAAGGUUAGCUUCUGCCUACUCAUGACAGAACCUUUGCCAGCGAUUGAGCAGUAUGCAAAACACUUUUUGAUGGACGCACUUGGCAAAUGGUCAAAGCUCAACUUAAGAAGUUGCAUCACACUACUUUCUUCCCCACCCAAACGCGCAAACCCACUCUCCAAAAUAGCUAGCCACUCCUCUUUCCUCUUGAAACGUAACAAACCUCCAAUUACAGUCGCAGCAAGAGGUAGACCUUGACAUCUUUUUAUUAUUCUACUCUUUAGUGCUUCCAAUUCUUUUGGUACUUCUCCACUUGGAAACACUUUCUCUUUCACAAUCGACCAACAAUCAUCAUCUCCUAAUUUACUCAAUGAAUAUGGAGGAUGUGUAGCCACACGUGUGGCCACUUCUAUAUUACGAGUUGUUACAAGAAUCCAAUUUCCAUUUGUAGUGCUAAUUCCAACCAAAGAAUGAAUGAAAUCCUCCCACAGCUCAGAUCUCUCAUUCCAUACAUCAUCAAGUACCAGAAGAUAUCUUUUUCCUUCAAUUUCUCUUCGAACUUCUUGAACUAUAGGCUCCCUGCUUUCGACAUCGGCUUUUCUCUUUGUUAAUGAUUCUAGGAUCAGUUUGAAAAGCCUCGUAACUUCAAAAUUACGAGACACACAAACCCAGAUCUUUUUAUCGAACUGCCUAUUGAUUUCUGGAUCAUUAUAGACUAACUGAGCCAAAGUUGUUUUGCCCAACCCCCCCAGGCCUGUUAUGGGAAUAACAGAGACAACUUUUGCAGACGAGCUCAACAAUGUUCCAACUAUGUUGGAUGCAUCGGUGGCUCUUCCAACUACAUUUUGACGAGCUAUGGAGUCAGUCUCCCGACUCAUAGUCAUAGCAGGGAGGGGAGAUACAUAUGCACCACCUCCCAUUUGGGACCUACUAAGCCCAAAACCAACAGCUUCUUGAUUGAUAGAUUUCAACUUCAUGUUGAGAUUCUUGACCUUAGAAGCCAUUCUCCAACGAAAAGCAAAAGUACAGGAGGUGGAGAAGAAAAGGCAUACCUUUUGCUUGAGACGAUUUUGAGUCUCCAUCCUACGACGAAGAAAUUCAUAGUUGAUCUCAUCCAACAGAUUAUCAGCAUCAAAAGCCACUCCUUCAAGCCUCUUCAACCAUAGUUGCACGUCCUGGUUCUGCACUUGCUUCUUCUCAGCAUCAGCCAUGACAGCUUGGAUCAUGGCAACAGAUCCUUUUAGCUUCUCCAACUCCUCCUUGAAUCCUCCAAAAGCCACACCAAUCACAUCAGUGGUGGCAGAAACUAACUUUUCCAAGACAAUCUGUAUGCUAGCAGCAACCAGUGCGUCAGCCAUUGUCCUCUCUUUGGUAUGUGGUAGAGUGGAAGGAAGGAGUUUUUUUUCCCUUUUUUCGGUAGCUAAAAAUUUAUUGCCAGAGGAAAUAUUGGCGUAGGUAGCAUAGGUUUGAUCACCUCGAAUACAUAACACUAAGCAGACGCCAGAUUGAUUCUUUGCUUGAUCAAACUUCCAAAGCAUCUUCAUGACAAAGUAUUUAAAUUAGUAUCACUUUGAAUUCUUAAAACACAAAAACACUAGAAUUGGGUGCUUUUCUUUAUUCUUUGCCUCGACAUAGGGCGCAACGGAUCUUCUGUCCCACACCUGUGCCAAAUCUCUGUCCCACUUUUUAUUAUAUUGCUAUUUGUCCUUCAUAAACAUCAUGUUUUAAUUCUUUUUUGCUUCCUUAAGAUCCAAUAACUAUUAAUUGAGUAAUACACAAAAUUUAACAAACUCAAAAAAUUAAAAUGCAUAAAAAAUGAGAUUUUUUUAUGAAUUUUCUGCUAUAUUUUUUAAUUUUCUAUCAUACAUAGGGGCUUUGGUUUGGGGAAGCAAGAUCAUAAAAAUAUUAUAUGGAAAAGUAUGCAUCAAGGGUGGUCUAAACCUUAUUCUCUUCAUCGUUAAAGAAAAACCAAUUAAACUGUAUACAAAUAAGAAAAUGAAGAGUUUGACAAUGGUCAAGAAUAAGGUUCAAAACUUGGUGCAUGUUUAUGUAUAUCAUCAAAAUUCAGCUAUAGUUAUGAAAUUACUGUAAAGCAUUAAUAGACAUCUGCAGAAGAUUAGCUAAUAUGCUCAUGGUCAUACCGAAGCAAGGCAUUUCUUUCAAGUUUAACAAAACCAAGCACUUGAAGAGUCAAGAAAAAGAGAUAGGUCACCUGAGAUUAAGAUUUACCUUAAUGAUGAAGACCUCCAUUGCCUUUUCUGAACUAACAAGCAAUCUACACUUCUGCCAUAUCAUGCCAAAGAAAAGAAUCUGGUCAAAAUACAGCACUUAUCUCACAUUCAAAGAACUCCAGAGAAACAAUGAAGAAAAAUAUCCAGGGCCUUUAGAUAUAGGAUAACCUUUUAUACAUUGUUAGUGUAAAGAUUUUUGUUUUUCUUUUACACAAACAGGUUUAGUUCAUGCUAUAUGAUAUGAAUUCAAAGUUGAAUUCGAAUCAUGCACAUGAGACAUACAUCUAAGAUUGUUAGUGUAAAAAAAUUAUUACAGUGUAAAAAAGAUUGUUAGUGUAAAAAAAUUAUUACAGUGUAAGUGCAUAAAAAAUUAAUUUUUAUAAAUAUUAACUGCUAUUUAAAUUUUUUCCUUGGUUAUGAUUUCUGAAAAUGCAUGAGGAACUAAUCUACAUAUGGCUUAUUAUGCUAGUUCUGCAUUUGUGAAUGGGGUACCCGCUGAAUGGUGCAUGGAGCUUUUGAUUUCAUGAAUAGUUCAUCUGCAAAAUUAUUACUACCACCAGGUGCUGGGGCCUCAUUUGCACCAAAUAGAAAACCCUUGACUGCGUUUGGAUUGAGAGAUUUGAUGGGGCCUCAUUUGCACCAAAUAGAAAACCCUUGACUGCGUUUGGAUUGAGAGAUUUGAUGUGAUAGGUUGCAAUUUUAUCAUUUAUUUUUAUUAUUAAUUUCUCUUAUUACCUGACAUGAUGUGGAUUAAUUGCUAUGUUUUACUUACUUUUUAGUAUUUUGCAUUCAUUUCAGGGAGUAGAACGAAAUUAUGAUAAUAAGUACCAAUUUAGCAGAAAGGGAGCCCAAGUGAUAGAGCUUGCCCCAAGGGCAUUUUUGAAAAAGAAGAUAUCACGCCCAUUUCGAUAAUUUCUGCAGAGGAAUGACGGACGAAGGGUUUCUUUCACCUAAGAGCCGCCGCACAUCUGGGAGGAGGCAGAGGAUAAAAACCAAAAGAAUAGCAGAGGAAGGAGGCUCUGGCUUGUCCUCUUAGUUUUUCCGUUUCUUUAGUUUUAGCGUAGGAUUUUGACUUUUCUUCUCUUAGGAAUUUUGGGUAGCUUCUCUACCCAUUGUAUGUCAGACAAAGAAAAAGCUAUCAAUUACUUCCUGUGGCUUACGAUCUAGUCAACACUUGGACGAUUUGAAUUGCCCAAAUCUCCAAGGACGAUGACAGCUGCUUUCUCUUCAAUUGCGUGUGGGUUUUUAGCAUUCAAUAUGAACUAAUUUUUCCAUUCUAGUCAAGAAACGAUGGAUGUUUUAGAUUGUCUAAAAAUUAUGAGAUCGAUUUAAUUUUAUCUUUUACUUUUAUUUAUUGAUAUUCGCAUAUUCCUGAUUACAGUGCUUAUGAUUGUUUAAUUAAUUGAUUGUUUUGGAUCCGGAUAAUUAGUUAAUUUGAUAAUCUAUUAUCAAUUGGGACGUUAAAUCCGUAAUUGUUUAAUUGUCUCAAAAUAGUGAUAACUGACAUGAUUGGAUUCGUGUCAGGGGGAUACACGGGCUAAUCUGAAAUAACUCUGAUAGUGCGUUAUUUGAUUAGAAUAGGGUUCCUUUAAUACGUAAGGCAAUUGGGAAGUUAAAUCAUACGGGCGUACCUAGGAUUAUUUCUCAAUUAGAGCAGUGAUUAACGGACGUACCUUAAUCACCGACACAGUAAGGAGGGGUUGAUUGUCAUCGCUUGUUUGACAGUUAUAACCUAUUUAUUGGUAAAUAAUUGUAAUUGGCUUUGUAUCGAUGAUCAAUUAGGUGAACCAUUGCUGAAAUUAUUCCUUGGCUAAAUCCUUAAUUAUCACUCAUUUGAUUUUAGUAAUUUGUUAUUUAAUUUUUAGUAGUUUCUUAGAUUUUAUUUGAACUUCUUUUAUUGUCACCUUCUGCACAAAAACACCCCCUUUGUUACUGUGAACUUGAAAAGAAACAAUUACUCCCAGUCCCUGUGGAUUCGACCCUACUUACCACUAUCUACAGAAAUUACUUUUAGUUUGAGCAGGUUUUAUUAUUGCACAGGUUUCGACACCCUGUCAAUUUUUGGCGUCGUUGCCGGGGACUGGUGCCAAAUUAAUUUGUUUCUUUUUGAGUUCAUCUUGUUUUUAUUUAUUUAUUUAUUUUUCUCUUAUUUUUUUUAUAUAGUUUAUGGCUUCUAACACUCCGUAUUCUGGUGAUAGACUGGAUUUUGUUUCCAGGGAAGGCAAUGAGGCUUGUUUUUUUCCUGAGUUUGCAUAUGCAAAGACACUAAACUCUAUUAGAGAAAGAAUGGCUGCUGCAACCUGUAAAAUUUAUUAUGCCAGGGAUCAUUCAAUCGGUAUGUGCCCCGAAUAUCAAGAUAAUCUGAGUGUCCCAUUCAAUAAUUAUGGAGAUUUUUCACCCUGGUCUCAAACGUGGUAUAACCCUAAUCCAAACGGGUAUGAUCAAGGAUGGUGGGAUAACUCCAAUUAUAAUUAUACAACGGGGCCAAUGAAUUUUCAGCAGUAUGAGUCUCAAGAAUCGUCAUCUAUGUCAGGUAUGUCUCUUGAAGAAAUAGUUGAAUCAAUAGCUACUAAUACAUACCAAUUCCAACAGGAGACACAAAUGAGGAAUGAGAUGAUGAAGGAUGCAAUGAGUUAUCUGGCAGAUCAACUAUGUCUAUUGACAUCCAGAAUAAAUCGAUUGGCUUCUCAAAUAGAAGAAUUGCCCUCGAAAACCAUUGUUGAUCUAGAAGAAAAUUAGAGUGCAGUUUGCUUGACUAGUGAUGAGGAGAUGCAAGAGUGUCAAAAUGAGAAAUCUACAGAUGCAGUUGAAAAAGAAGGCGAAAAGGAAGAAAUGGAACUCCAACCGCAACCCAUUCAAGUGAAAGAAUCCAGUGAAGAAUCAUCAAAUAUGGUGACACCACCUCCAUUCCCUAACCCGCAUUUUCUUAACUCUUACUCCAUGAUUUCUGUUAAUAAGAUUGAUUUUGUUAUACCGGAAGUUUUUGAGUCUCAUGGCAGAAAUAAGUUAAGAGUAGCUAUGAUCAAAUAUUUUAAAUCGUUGAGUGCUCUUGAUGGAGGAGUGGAUGAAGAAUUGAGAUCACUGCUUGAUUAUUUGGCGCCAUCAACUAGUCCAUGGAAGACCGUAACUCGUGUGUUCAAGAUUACUCCAUCUAUGAGGGUUACCAGGAUCACAUUGAAGAUGAAACAUUGAAACGAGCCACAAGAUUUUAUCCUCCAUGAGCAAAACAUGAUAAUGUUUAGUCAAAGACAUUAAAGAAAGGCGCUCAUUAGUAGGCAACCCAAUUAUUCCUUUUAAUUGUUUGUUUUGAUUUCGUGUGAUAGUUUAAAUAUGUUUUCCUUGAAUUUGACUGAUUUCGGGUUUCAAUUUUCGUUUUUUAUGAUUUGUAGGUGUCUUUCUGUCAUGACGCGCCCGCGUCAUGACGUCUGGAAAGCUCACGGUCAGAAUCGUCAAAAGGGAUUUCUGCCCUCAUGACGUGCCCGCGUCAUGUCAUAUGGAGAGCUCCAGAUUCCGUGCCUUCAUGACGUGCCCACGUCACAUUCGCGGGAAAGGGAAGUAUUCAAAAAAAAAACUCAAGAACGGUUAUUGAUUUUCGGUUAAUCUCUAAUUUUGAAUUUCGAAAAUAACAUUUGCAAAAAAAAAAUGUAAAAAAAUUUUUUUUUUUUAAAAAAAACAAAAAAAAAAGAAAAAAAAAUUUCAACCGUAGCUAGGUUUGUGAGAACCCUGAAAAUAUAUAUACAAAUAACAUUGCAUAUUUCAUUUGCAUUUCUAAUUCUCUAAUAAAUUUUAGCAUUACUUUCACUUGUUUGUAAAUAAGUGCAUAAAACAAUUUUCAUGUGAAAAAUAAUAUAAUUUUUCUAAGUUACGAAAUUUCUUUUGUUUUGCUAAACUAAAUUAACACCUUUAGAGUUAGAAUAAUUUUAGCACCCCAACAUAAAAUAUUAAAAUACUUAGUCUCCAUUAUGUUAAAUUAAUACUACCUGAGCAGAUUAAUUUUACUACUUUAAAAUAAAUUACUUGGAUUCCAAUAAUUAACUCCAAAUAGAUAAUAACGUUAAAUGUUAAUAGAAAUUUCACGUUAAGACGAGGCCGAUAAAAUUUAGAUAAAAACAAUACAAGUAUACUAAAUACGUGUAGGACGUAAAAAUUUUGAUAAUUGAAACCUUGCAAGAUUAGUGCAUUAUUAGGAGCUUAAUUUAUAUUCAGAAUAGAUUUUUGGAGUUAAGUUAGAAUUAAGGACUUAAGUGGUCAUUAGAAGGAAAAGUGAAAAGACUAAACUACCCUCACAACCUCACAAAUCACCAUGCAAUCCAACACCCUCUGACAACAUCAUCACUCACCACCCCAUCCGGCCAAUGAAACUUUCUCCAAUCCAACACUCAAACCUCACCAACACGCAAUCCCUCAACUACCGUAAAUCAUCUCUGCUACCUAGCACCACAAUCACUCCACCAUCUCACCUCAACUAUAAUCAAUUCACUUCACCAUAUCAAUUCCAAUCCUCCACAACACAACUUCCUCAUUUCCAUCUCCUGCUGCAACCGAGAGAAAAGAAAAGAGAGAAACCGCAAGCUGCAAUAUUUUUUUUUUCUUUUCCUUCUUCUGUUCUGACCGUGGGCUAAGAGGGAAGAAAGGAGAGCAGCACUGCGUGAGUUUCAAUCCUUGCUGCAACUUCAACCAGUUGCAACCAUCUCCAACUACAAACACCACAUCUGCAACCACCGGCAACCAAGACAGCAGCCAACCAUCCAGUCGCGUGCGAGCCGAGAGGGAAGAAACAUUAGCUUUCUGUCGUGAGUAUAAGCUUCGAUCUGAGGUAAUUCUUAAGCUAAACUACAUUGACCAGAGGUAGAUUGAGCUAUCUACGGCUGUGCAUGUGAAGCUUAGGCGAUUGGAUGAUGAUUUUAGGAAAAGAAAACCUGAUGUGCGAAGGAAUGGGUUUUGCUGGAAAGCUGAAUUGAUAAUGCAGCCUUAAUCUUAUUUAUUUGAAGGAAGCUGAGCUUGUAACUACAAUUAACUAAUUAAGAACUAGAGGAUUAAGACUUGCAUGUUGAGAGUAUGCAUUCGGAUGAUGAACUAAGAGCAUCGGAAAUUCUGGUUUGGAAGAAAUGAAAACUGCCGUGAGAUGGAUUUAGAAAUGCAGACCUUAAUUUGCUUAUUUGUGGUAACCUGAGCUGAUAAAUGUAAGGAUCAAACUAAGAACAAGAUAAUUAAGUCUUACAUGAGGCUGAGCAGCUCGGCUAAACAAGGAAAAAAAAUUAUAAUAAGAAUAAGCUACAAUCUGUCGUAUGCAACCUCAUCCGAGAUAGCUAAACCAAUUUCUGGAAUUUUGGAUGAUUUUAGUUAUUGCUUGAAUCUAAUUUUGAACUGGAAAUAUUAAUCGACUAGCUAAGUAAUUGCAUGCCGAAAUUGAGUACUUAAUAUCAUGUUUUAGCCGAUGACAGAUUUACUGUGGUGGAUCUAUUUGCUAAAAUUACAUGUUAUUCGUUUUAUUUCACGUUGGGAAAAUUUUGAUGGUGGGCUCUAUGAACUCCCACCCUUGAAUUGAUGGUUGAUGAAAUGAUUGAUGAUGGAUAUAAUGCUAGUUUAGUGUUUAAAUAGCUAGAUUAAUGAUAUCUAGCUAGUCUAGACUUCAAGGGAUGCAUAGUUCAAAAAUGUUCAGUUUUGCCUUGUUUUAAUCACACCCCUUUUUGUAGAAUUUUGAGGGUUUCAUGACUCGUAUAUUAUGUUUAUAUGUUGAAUAUGUGGUGUACAAAGUUUCAUUGAAAAUAUUGAGAUUUGGUUGGUCAAAUAAAAUGAUUUCACAAAGCUAGUAAAUCUGGAACUGUUUCCGUAAUAUUCUGACCAGCUUUCGUAUUUCGGCUAUAAAUCUGUGCUCUGAUGUCGAAAUUAAGUGCCGUUAGCGGCAUUUAAAACUACACAUCCCAGCCUUUCCGACGGUAUAAAAUGUACAUUCUGGUUCCAUGUGUGUGAGCCGAACCAGCCAUUUUAAGUCGGCUGUCCUGUUUCUCUGUUUUACAAGAACAAAAUGAUGAGGCUGCAACUUGUGGCUCGAAUUCGAGCUAGUUGUGUGCCGAAUUUCAAAGUGAUUUCUUCUGUGAAAUUAUAGCUCUAUGAAUAUGUUUUCCAACGCCAUAAACCAUGCCAAAUUCCUAGUUAAUUUGAGUGAUCUAUGAUCAAAAUAGGAAACCUGCUCUGUCCUUGAAAACCCUGAUUUUUAGACAGAUUUGAUGCAAGGCUCGGUAUAGACUUGCAAAUUAAAACUCUUGGUGUUAAUCACCACAAAUGUUGUUCUGGGAUGACCCUUAAACCUUUUCUAUGCAAAUGAACCAUGUUUAGAGGAUUUUCCUUGGUCAAAAGUUUAGAAAAGGAAAUGUUCAUAUACAAGGCAACUUUGCCUUAAAAAUUUUGGAAACUUGAGUGAUUUUGUUAAGUGACUUUCCGUGUAUAUUUUCCUAUGAAAUUUGGUAGAGGGACAACCCUUAUAUGGUAGUAUUAUACUGCUAAUUUUGGUGUUAUUCUGAGACCGUUUCAUGGGUCAAAUAAAUUACCAAAGUUCAUGACUCGAGCUUGAAAAACCCAUGUUUCACAAGGAAAUUUUGGUAACUUUGAGUUGCCAUAUCUUAAUAUUCAAAACUCCGUUUCUCAUUCUGUUUGUUUUACUGUACACUUGGAUUACGACUCUAAAAGAGUACCAAAUUUCAAAAGCUAGUUCCCAACGAGUGAAUUUUUCCGAAUUUUCAAAGUUGACCAAAAAUCAACUUAAAUCUGUCUUAUGAACCAAAGCAGCGUCCUUGAGCUCAUUUUGAAUAUUUUUCAUUUGGAAUCAUGGAAAAGUGUCUUCGAGGAACUUUUAAUACUUUGGAAUUAGUUUCCAAUGGUACCAAGUUUUUCAAUUUUGGACCUACUGAGUGCAAGACCUGAUUUUUCUAAGUUUGACGUGCACAGCUGAAAUUUGCCGAUUUCUUAGAAAAUGAAAUUUUGAAAAAACCCGUUAUUCCUUCUUGAUGAUAAUUGGUCGCUUUAAACUUGAUUUCAUGAAGGAAAUUAUUUUUCCUUGUGUUAAUAAAACCUCACUUUUGAACCUUUAUUUGGAGUGGCUAAGGUUCUUGAUUUGAGGUAUUGACAAGUCUAGAUGAGUGUAACUCCUUUCUUGAUUAAUGCGUGAUUAUGAGUAAAAAAAAAAAAAUACUUGUCAAUUGCUUCAGGUGCUCAAGCUAGUCUUGAAGAGAAUCCCGGAGGGGACAAUUAAAGAUUUUCUCGUUCAAUUACUUUUGAAUAGGUGAGUGUCAAGUGCAUGACUUGUCGUGUUUACUUGGUUUACCUGCUUAUAUACGUGAAUAUCGCUUGAUGGGACGAGUGUGUACUUUAUCGCACUCGCUCUCCUUUACUUGAACUUUAUUCGUAUUAACUUGGUUUUCAAGUCGAUUUGAGUGAAUCUCGUCGGCUAAAAUAUACCCGUUUUCGUGUACGUGUCGUGCGUGACGUGUUGUCGGGGUGGAGUGAAACUUCUCGGCUUAUGGGGACGCCCAAAUUCUCUUAGCCAAUCUUGCAACUCGAGCCGGCAUGGGCUUGGUCGAGAAGCUUGAAAAGCCAAGGGAACAACAAAACAUAACUUGAUCUUUUGAGAUCUUGUUCGGCAUACUCGUGGAAUAUCGCCCUUUUCGUGCGUGUUCAAAAAUCAAAACUUGAUCUCUUGAGGUCUCGUUCGGCAUACUCAAUGAGUAUCGCCCUUUUCGUGCGUGUUUGGUUACGGAUCCGAGAGGAUGGAAUGUUGGCCGGAGAGAGUAAUAAGUGAAGUUUCUACGGAUAUAUACCCACCCGAAUGACGGAGGGUCAUCGUGAGGGGGUAUCGGAUCGAGCCGUGGCGAAGCAAGUGGAAAAUACCUCCUGAGAGCUCCUAUAUCCUUGAAUUGUUUCUGUUUACUUGCCUCGCUUGAAUUGUAAAUUACUUGAACCUUAUUGUUCUACUUGGACAACGUGCGUGCAUGUGUGUUUUCUUGGCCUCACGAGCUAUUGGCUCACCGUGUAUAUUUGUUUUCCUUGACAGGUUCUGAAAAUUGAGAGCUUUACAAUUUACUUAGACUUUCUUAUGGAUGUAAAUGAAUACUAUGACUUCGCUUUGCGGUCUGUAAUGUUUAAUGUUACUUAUGUCAUGUAUCGGAUUGGAGAUACGUUAAGCUAGGUGUACUUAUUGCUUUGGAUUGCCACUUGAAGUUGGAAAAGUGAAAUCCCUGAUUCAGAUAUUCGGCUUGUACGUUCGUACUUGUGUUGUAUGAACUUGUAUGCUUGGGAUGGUAUGACUUUAGACUUGGGUUGUAACGCGUAAGGUUCUUAAGAGUCGACGAUUGGCUAUAUUGAAUGCUGUUAUCUCUGAAAUUAAUGUGGUUUGGUUAAUGACCAUUUUGGAGGGAAGCGAUAUUGUAAUAGAUUAGGUUAUUCUUCGGAAGGGUUUUGGCUAGAUUUCUUGCGUGAGUCCUGGCGAGAGCUGGGCAGGCGUUCCGCAGAUAUCUCUUGGUUCGCCUUGGGGAGAAGUGGGGCCGUCACAAGGUUUCUCAAUUUCAAAAAAAAAAAAAAAUUUUUUCUUUUCUCUUUUCUUUUGUUUUCUUCCUUUUUCUUUCUUUCUUUCUUUCUCUCUCUAUUCUUUCUUUCUUCUCCCCUGUUUUUCCUUCCUCUUUGUCGGCCGAGCACACCUCAUGCCCACCGCCAUCUCCUUCACCCGCGACCAACGCCCAGUGCGUCUCCACCUCUACCGCAGCUCACCUUCACGCACGACGAACAACGCCGCAACUGGCCGCCGUCGAUCUCUCUAAUUGCGCGCCGCCAGCAAAGCCACCGCCGCUGCCUGCGAUCUCGCCGUCGCCAGGUGCACGGCUGCAGUGCCUCGCACCCAAGUAGAGGGGCGCCGCCGCCCCUUAGUCGACAUCGCAUCCACCGCGCGCGCCCUCUCUCCUCCUCGCCAGUGAGCUCUCCACUCGCGACUCCACCACAGCAAACCCAUUGGCCGCCGCCGUCCGCAGCAUCGUGCGCCGCUGCUCCGCGCAGUCCACUCCUCCACUUCACAGCCGUGACAUCUUUUCUCUGCCCUUGCACCAGCGACGACCACCAUCGCGUGACACCGCCCUCACCGUUGCUGGAGCUUGCGCGCCUCUGCCCAGCAGGCAGCGCCACCAGCAGCUCACACCUUUCUCCCUCUCGAUCUCACCCUCCACCCGCAGCUACUACCGUCGAGCUCCACUACUGCCACCCAGCCUCCACCUGCGCUCAGGUCUACUCCAGCAGUCAACCAGCCGCGCAUCUCCUCUUCCCCGAUCUCACUCCAGCGACUGUCACCACCUUCCUCCACAUCGCAGCGCGACCUCUUCCUCACAAGCCACCAGCGAAGCCGCGCCUCCCACAGUCGCUGUUUCUCGCUCACGCAUGCACGCCAGGAGUUGUGCCUAUCCCACUUCUUUCGACCAUCAAACAAUUGAGGUAUUUGACAUUCGUUCCACAACUCCUCAGUAGUAUUUGGUGUUGUUUGGGGGUCAUUUUUUGUUUGAGCGGGACGCGGAGUUGUUUUUCUUUUACUGAGGAAUCCACCAGUGGUACUGGUGGGGUAAAUUGGACGUGAAUUUGGUACCUUCAUUUGGUUGUCUGAGUUAUUAUUGUCAAAUUUCUAAACUGUUAUCAUUGAGAUUGCUAAUUUUGAGUUAAAACUUUAACUGGCCAACUGGAGCCAUUUGUUGAGAAUUUGGGUGAGCUGAAAUAUUGCACUUGUUUGUUAAAUUUGGAGGCUUCUAUACCAUUUACAUCGCUUAUUCCAGUUCAGUGCAUCUAGUUGAAAUGCUGGGUUCAUUAUUAGAUUUGACUGAGAAUCCUGUGGAUACAUUGCUUGUUGUCCGAAUUGAGCUACAUUAUUUAGGGGGUCUCACUAGUGUAGGUUAGCCGUUGAACUUGUUUCAUCCACUGUUUGGGUAUUUUGGCUUCACUGGGUCACUUCUACUCUUUUGGCUGACUGUUGGAGGUUGGGCACUUGGAAUUACUCUGCUACUGUCGAAUUUAUGAGUUAUUAUUGAUUGCAUUGUUCUUUCUUGGGGCUGUUUGAUUGGGUUGUUAAUUCCAUUUUCCGCCAGUGGUACUGGUUGGAUUGUUUUCACUUCAAUUUGAUGCUUCUUUUGGGUUGGUUAACAUUGUGCGGUUAAUUGUCAAAUUGGGACCAUUUGUUGGGAUUCUGGUUGACCUUUGUCUACUUUUACCUGUAAAUUUGGGAGCCGUUGUUGCCUGAUGAAUUGGGAGACAUAGAUGACUAUUGCUCUGCCCUGAUAUUGCUUGGUUGCUGGCGCAUUCUCUAUCUUAUGAUUGGGUUAAUACUUGGGGCUGUCGAUUUAUUACUGCUUUGCUCUGCUAUAGCAAUUUCUCUCAUUUUGGACUGUGAUUUGCACCAGUGGUACUGGUGCGAGUAUUUGUUAACUCUAUUUGAUUCGACAUCCGAUUGACUGCCACGGGCCUGUGACUGUGUGGCUAUUGCUCAAUUUCUGAACUCAUAUCGCUGGGGUUAACAUAUUAUUUUUGACUGACUGAAUUGGGUAGUCCCUGUGCUUAUUGACGUGCCUUUGCUAGUUUCCAGUUGUUGAUAAUAGUUUCUAAUUGUUGGUUUUGGAGUGCAACUGUUGCUUUGUUGACCAUAUUUGGGCUUGGGUGCUCGUGUUUGCUUUUGCAUUUGACUAUUGAGUUCGGGAACACCAGUGCCUAUGGAUUUACAUUUGUUGGUUGCUAUCUUUGUUGGAUAUUCUGUCUUUUGUUGUUUGGGGUGAUAAUUGGCGACAAUGGUGAGUGGCGCCACUUACAAGCACAGGUUCACAACGUAGAUGAGCGAAUGACGAACAUCACCCGCCAAGUGGCAAGGAUGUCUUAGAACUCGGCUUCCCUCCACUGUUCCCUCCUAUCCCUUAGCUGUUCAACAGGGAAGUUUCAUUAUUCUCUUCGCUUUCAUUACUUUAUUACCUCCAUUGAGGACAAUGUAGGAUUUAGGUGUGGGGGGAGCAGUUAUGGUGCUAGUGUCUUUCGUUCAUUUUCUUUUUCUUCUUUUUAGUGAUUAGCUCAAGUUUGAUGUUGGAUUAUUGUCUCUAUUUCUACUUUUGCCAAGUUUUAAUAAUAAAAGAAUGUAUCAAGUUAAUGUGGUUGAAUCCAAUGACAUCUCUUUGGUGAAUAUCGAUGAUUGUUUUACCCUUAUAAUUUUUGGUUAACUUUCCUAGGCGUAGGGAAUGACUGUUGGCAUUUUCAUGUGAAUUGGUCCGAUUAUUAACCUUAGUUCUCCAUAUUUGAAAAUGAGGCUAGCUGAUGCAAAUUUUCUUUUGAUUUUUUGUGUUAUUUUGAAGUUUUGGGUGUUAUUUGGCUGUGAAUAAGAGUUGACUGUACUCUGCUAGUAUUUACUACCGAGUAACUGGAGAUCUUCACCAAAAGUGUCGAUUAUCGCGUCAAAAAGUAGUAAUUGCUAUGAGUGUGUGGUCACGUGGCGAUAGGAGCUGAAUAACCGGACUCUUUCAUCUGACAAAUGUCGGAGUUCGCGUCAAAAAGCUUCAAUGGCCAGAGAUUAAGUCUUUUGUUACUAUUGAAAAAAAAGAAAAAGAAAAAAAGGAAAAAGAUAGAAAACAUAAAAAAAUAAAGUGAAGGUUGUGUUAGUGUGUGAUAAAAGUCAGCUUGCCGAUUUAUGAAUUUAGUGUUGAGAUGUUGGUUAAUAGUUGGACCAUUUGCUGAUAAAUGUUGUGCUUCAUUCCAUUUUCUUAGAUUAGUUAACCUAAAAUUAGAGGAGUUUGUGGUUUAGAAACUAACCAAAGUGAUGUUUCUUGGAUCUUUAUCACUGAUGCUUGAUAUAUGUUUUUCUUGGUAUCUUAACAAUAAGAUAGAUGGAGCAAUAGCCAUUGUCAAAUAUUGGUGUUUGUUUACUGUUCUUAUGCUUGAGAACAAGCAUGGUUUAGGUAUGGGGGGAAUUGAUAGGUUGCAAUUUUAUCAUUUAUUUUAUUAUUAAUUUCUCUUAUUACCUGACCUGAUAUGGAUUAAUUGCUAUAUUUUACUUUCUUUUUAGUAUUUUGCAUUCAUUUCAGGGAGUAGAACGAAAUUAUGAUAAUAAGUACCAAUUUAGCAGAAAAAGAGCCCAAAUGAUAGAGCUUGCCCCAAGGGCAUUUUUGGAAAAAAAGAUGUCACGCCCAUUUCGGUAAUUUCUGCAGAGGAAUGACGGACGGAGGGUUUCUUUCUCCUAAGAGCCGCCGCACAUCUGGGGAGGAGGCAGAGGAUAAAAACCAAAAGAAUAGCAGAGGAAGGAGGUUCUGGCUUGUCCUCUUAUCUUUUCCGUUUCUUUAGUUUUAGCUUAGGAUUUUGACUUUUCUUCUCUUAGGAAUUUUGGGUAGCUUCUCUACCCAUUGUAUGUCAGACAAAGAAAAAGCUAUCAAUUACUUCCUGUGGCUUACGAUCUAGUCAACACUUGGACGAUUUGAAUUGCCCAAAUCUCAAAGGACGAUGACAGCUGCUUUCUCUUCAAUUGCGUGUGGGUUUUUAGCAUUCAAUAUGAACUAAUUUUCCCAUUCUAGUCAAGAAACGACGGAUGCUUUGGGUUGUCUAAAAAUUGUGAGAUCGAUUUAAUUUUAUCUUUUGCUUUUAUUUAUUGAUAUUCGCAUAUUCCCUGAUUACAGUGCUUAUGAUUGUUUAAUUAAUUGAUUGUUUUGGAUCCGGAUAAUUAGUUAAUUUGAUAGUCUAUUGUCAAUUGGGACGUUAAAUCCGUAAUUGUUUAAUUGUCUCAAAAUAGUGAUAACUGGCAUGAUUGGAUUCGUGUCAGGGAGAUACGCGGGCUAAUCUGAAAUAACCCUGAUAGUGCGUUAUUUAGUUAGAAUAGGUCUCCUCUAAUACGUAAGGCAAUUGGGAAGUUAAAUCCUAUGGGCGUACUUAGGAUUAUUUCUCAAUUAGAGCAGUGAUUAACGGGCGUACCUUAAUCACCGACACAGUAAAGAGGGGUUGAUUGUCAUCGCUUGUUUGGCAGUUAUAACCUAUUUAUUGGUAAAUAAUUGUAAUUGGUUUUUUAUCGAUGAUCAAUUAGGUGAACCAUUGCUGAAGUUAUUCCUUGGCUAGAUCCUUAAUUAUCACUCAUUUGAUUUUAGUAAUUUGUUAUUUAAUUUUUAGUAGUUUCUUAGAUUUUAUUUGAACUUCUUUUAUUGUCACCUUCUGCACAAAAACACCCCCUUUGUUACUGUGAACUUAAAAAGAAACAAUUACUUCCAGUCCCUGUGGAUUCGACCCUACUUACCACUAUCUACAGAAAUUACUUUUAAUUUGAGCAGGAUUUAUUAUUGCACAGGUUUCGACACUCUGUCAUGAUGAAAGAUUUGAAAUCCUCUCAAAUCUCUCUAGCUAUUUAUGUUAUUUAAAAGGUAAGUAGAUUUGUAAAUCAUCAAUUAUUUUAGUGUUUAAAAUGUAUUAAAUAAUUAAUGAAUUACAAACCUAAAUAUUUUUUAAGCAAUUCAAACAACUAGAGCAAUUUGAGUGGAUUUCAAAUUAUUCUGCAAAUUUCUCAAUCCAAAUGAAGCCUUAAAUUUUAGGAUAAAUUAUAUUUUACCCCCUGUGGUUUACCCUUUUUUUACAUAACCCCCCUAUGGUUUCAAAAGUUAUACAUAACCCCCUCAUGGUUUGGAUUAAAGUGCUAAAGUAACGGAAAUAGUCACUCGUAACGGAACUUCUAAAAAUGUCGAAAUUACCCUUAUAAAUACAUGACACAUUAACCCCCUAUAAUUUUUAUAUUUUACUAUAUAACCCCCUUAUGGUUUAAUACUUUACCAUAUAACCCCCUUAUGAUUUUCAAAAUAUACACACAACCCCCUUUGGUUAAUACAUAAAUUUCAACCUUACAUAAGGGUAUUUUUGACAUUUUAGGUGAUGCCGUUACGAGUGACUAUUUCCGUUACUUUGACACUUUAAUCCAAACCAUAAGGGGGUUAUGUAUAGCUUUUGAAAUCAUAGGGGGAUUAUGUAAAAAAAAUGCUAAACCACAGGGGGGUAAAGUGGAAUUUGUCCUAAAUUUUAUGGAUAAUCACCUGUGAAAGUUUCUUUGUGGGUGUUUUAACCUUAUAUCAAUUCAGGCCAAUUGAUACCUUUUACUGAUGUUGAGCUAGCAUUCAAAUUGGGUAAGGGAAACAAAAAGGAAAAGUUGGAAAUUAGUGAUUUGUUGUCGUGAGACUUUUUAUUUUGGUGGUGGCUUACAAGUGAAACAGCAGAAGUGUCAUUUUGUCACACCAAUUACAAGAAUCCAUUAUCCACUGAUGUUCAAUUGGUUUGAGUUGUAUACAUAGUAAUUUUAGUGAAAUGUAGCAACUGAAAAUUGUUAGGGGGUAAAAUUGAUAACAAGUAAUAGUUCAAGAGAACAAGUUGCAAUUGACGCUGGAAAAACUAAUGCUAAUAAAAAAAACACAAGUGAUUGACCUCUGCUUGAGUCCUGAAUUUAAAAGUGGACGAUAAUUACCAAAAGAAAAUUAUUUUGAAUAAGCACUAAAAUGGAAACAAAGAACAUUCAAAUCCUAGGAACUCUAUUCGAGAUUCUACAAAACAGAAGCACAAUUUCGAAACAAAGAGCACAUUUACUUCAACAGCAACAGCCUUGCAUACACCACAAAUCAGUUUCAUUAAAAAAGGCAUUGUCCAACAUGUAGCCAGAGUAGUAUUUUUUUUUUCUUUUUUGGCAGAGUAUGACUUUCACAAUCAUAAUAAUAUACUCCAUCCGUUCCAAAAAAAGAUGGUUACUUUUUGGGAGGAGUGCUUUUUAUCAAUAGUAAAGAUAAUUUGGUCAAUUUUGCAUUACUUUUUUAUUAUGGGACAAUGCUUUAGUAACGACAGUUAUGGUAACGAAACAGUUUUUUACCUGAUAUAACAGGUUGUUGCACUUUUAGCGACCAUUUGAUUACUUGAUGGACCUAUCAACCUAAAUAGGAUAACACUUAAAAAUAAGAAAGUAAGUUUCCCAUCUAAAAUAGUAAGUUAACCUUAAUAAAUUAGUAGCUUUUAUACUUCAAAAGGUAAAUUUGAAUAAAUAUUAAACUAACUUUUUAAAUAAAUAAAUUACUACUUUAUAUCCCAAACUUAAUUUUUAGGGAGUAAGUUUAAUUCAAGUAAUAGUAAGUUUUUAUACAUAAAUAGUAAUUCUUACUGAUAAUAUAGUAAAUUUGAUUAAUAAUCAAAACUUACUGAUUUAUGGGACACAUAUACUAUUUUACUUUAAAACAUAUUUCAAACUAGUAUUAGGAAAUUUAUUUGAAAUAACGAUAAGAUGUUUUAUUAAUGAUUAAUGCUUAGUACCUUGGUUAGUAAGUACUCGUAAUAUACCUAUAUAAUACAUGAUUAUAGGUAUAAUUUAAAAAUAUUUUGUAUUUAUAUAUUUUAAAAUACUAUGAAAAAUAGUUUGACUUUUUACAUAAUCUCGUAAAAUAUAUAAUAAAAUUUUAUCAUAUUAUAAGUUUUUAAUCAUUUUCAAUUUUUAAAAGUUUGAAAGUUUGGAUAACAAUAACAACAAAUCUUCCUAGUUAUAUAUAGAAUAUCACUUGUUUAUAUAUCAAAAUUUUUAUAAGUUAACACCUAUGAAUAUAAUAACAUGAUAAAGUUUUAAUAAAUUUACAUUUGGGAUACAAGAAAUAAUAAGAGUUAAAGCCCAAACAAAAUGAGAAAUAAUAUAACAAUAAAAAUGACAAAAUUAGUAUAACAAUUAAUAUAAGAAAAUCAGUAUGAUUGGACUUUUUGGGAGAUUGUUCAUAAAAAUGGGAUCCAACAAUUAUAAAUGAGAAUCACAUGCAUAUAUAAUCUAUUGUAUAAUUUAAAUUAAAUUUAGUCCAUGUAUAAAAUGGUCCUAAAAUAAUUAGUACACUAUGAUACAAUGCUAUUUUAACAACAAAAUUUUUUUUUUACUAAAAGUCUCAAAUAUCCAUGACAUACGUAUGAGGGAAAUUUUACCAUAUUUGUAUCUCACAUCUAAUCAUUAAAGUUAAUUUGAGAAAAAAUAUUUUUGACAAUAGAAUUAUUUUGAAUUUAGUUAACAAGUUGAGAUUUUUUAAACAAUAAAAGUGAAAUAUUUUGGGAACUUAGUUGUUUAUUUUCCCAUAAUUAAAAAUUGCUAUAUUUUUGCAAUUGUUGCCAUUGACUUUUCAUUCUGUAGACUAAUUAUUAUCAAUGCAAAAUUAGUUUUAUUAACAAUAAUUGAAGUUCCAUUGAUCUGAGGAUUGGCAUUCUAUUGCUAUUAUUUUAUAUGUAAAUAUUUAACCUAAGCAAUAAAAUAAAUAAUAGCUACUUAAAAAAAGGAAAUUGGUGCUCAAUUAAUUGUGGCGUAAAAUAUUAGUAUACAAUUAAGUAGAGCUUGAAAUGGAAUUAAAUUUAUUUAGUAUUUUACUGCUAACAACUUUGACCACAUCUAAUGGUUAAAGAAAAAAUAAAAGAGAUGUAGAGAUUGGGAUUGGUUCCUUAGUGUGAAAAAGAAAAGUUCCUCUAAAGUAAUGCUGCAUGAAAUUCUGGAUGCAUAUGAAAUUAGAAAUAUGAUAACUUUGUAAUUCAUUCUCAUUCAUGAUGAAUUUCUUCAAUUCUAUAUAGAAUCAUAAUUUUUUUCGUUCAGUACGAAAAUAUUAUUUUUUUGUCAUAUUGAUGGCUUUGCUUUUAAGAUUACCUACAUGUCGGUGGUUAGUAUUAUUGACAAGAUUAGAGGUCAUGGAAAAUGUUACUAAUUUUAGGAGAAAUUAUGUAUUGUAAAAAUGGUUUAAUAAUUUUCUACUAAGCAUAACUACUACAUACAAAAAGAAAAGAUAUUUGAUUUUAUUUUGCUUUGAUUAGAAGGACUUGUAUUGGUAAUAAAGGAAAUUUCAAUUCAACAAUCAACGUACACAUGAUUACAGUAAUUUUUUAGUCAAUUAGACUAAUAUAUGCCAUAAAGUAGUAAGAUUUAGUCAUUUGUGAAUUGAUAAUUUUAACAGUUUACAUAACAUUCAUCUAUAAAAAAUUAUGAUUAUUAUAAAAUGACAUUUUAUAAUAAUUUACAUACCAUUUGCCAAUAAAAAAAGAGUUUGAUAGAAAAAAUAUAGAAACAAAUCCAUAAUGUAAAUGAUACAAAGUAUGUUUGAAAGUCACGGAACUUAACAUAUGGGUAAUUUGACUAUAAUUUUCAAAGAUUAUGCUACAUUAAUACAACUUUAAUUUUUAUACUUGUGACCCAGAAAAUAAAUUUAUUAAAAUUUUACCAUUUUAUUAAAUUCAUAGGCAUUAAUAUAUGAAAAUUGUGAUGUAUAAGUAAGUGCUAUUUUAUAUACAACUCGAAAAAUUUGUUGUUAUUAUAAUACAACUUUAACUUUUAUACUUGUGACCCAGUAAAUAAAUUUAUUAAACCUUUAUCAUUUUAUUAUACUCAUAGGUAUUAAUAUAUGGAAAUUGUGAUAUAUAGAUAAGUGCAAUUCUAUAUAUAACUCGAAAGAUUUGUUGUUAUUGUCAUCCAAACUUUCUAACCUUUCACAAAUUCUAAAAUAAUUCAAAAUUUAUAAUAUGAAAAUUUUUUCUUACAUAUUUUAUAAGGUCAUGUGCAAAAAAAAAAAAAGUUUUCAUAGUAUAUUUAAAAUGCUUAAAACAUAUAACAUUUAUAAAUGAUACAUACAAUUGUGUAUCAUACAUUUACAUUAUGAGUAAUUACUAACUAAAAUACUAAGUUUCAAUCAUUAAUAAAAAAUCUCAGCAUUAUUUCAAAUAAACUUCCUAAUACUUGUUACAUAUUAGUUUUUUAAGUAAAAUAGCAAAUUUAUACCACAAACUAGUAGGUUUUGACCACUAACCAAUUUUACUAUUCUAUCAACAAUAUUUAUUAUUAAUCUAUAAAAACUUACUAUUACUUGAACUAAACUUACUCUCCAAAAAGUAAGUUUCGGAUAUAAAGUAGUAAUUUAUUUCAAAAAAAAAAGUAAGUUCCAUGCAUAUUUAUUCUAAUUUACUUUUUGAGACAUAAAAGUUACUAAUUUAUCGAAUUAACUUACUAUUCUUUAUGUAAAACUUACUAACCAAAUUUUUAGGUACUAUCUUAUUUAGGUGACCAGUCCAAUAGGUAAUUAAAUGAUCACUAAAAGUAUUUUUACCUGUUAUAUCAGGUAAAAAGAGUUUCGUUACCGCAACAAUCGUUACUUCAGACUUUUCCUUUUAUUAUGUUCUUAUGAAGCGUACUCACUAGCGGAGAGAUGUCUUGGAAGUCAACACGUGUGAGGUCCGUUUGUUUGGUUUGUCUCAAGAGUUUACACGUCACUCGACCAUAUGUGUAUAGGGGUGGCAAUGGGGUGGGGGAUCCUUCCCCCGUCCCGUUGUUAAAUAACUUCCCCCAUCCCCCGCCCUUUGCCCCCUACCCCCCGCUUCGCCCCCGCCCUGUGUCCCCCGCAGUCCCCCGCAGGGAAAGAAAUCGAAGUGGAAGACUUCAUCUAUCAAAGUGCCUUCAGACACUUUGUAGUUAAGGGGAGACUUGUUUGCGAUGCUUCCUUUACUCGUCGGAGGCUCUCUUGCCAGAUCAGUGGCUAAUGGAGCAGAGACGGUAGUGCCCAGGCUGGGAGCAGGAGCGUGAGUUGCGGUCGAUCUGAACUCUGGAGGUGAGAUAUAGUCCGUCAAGAAAUAUGGUGACCUCUGUUUAUGUGUCUCAAAGUUUGUUGCUUUUGAUCCAAUUGUUGAGGGCCAGCUUCCCGGCGAGAUCGCUGCCUUGGAGCGGCUAGACACCAACGAUCUGGAUAUGUUGCGAGAGUGGAGGUUUGCGUUGGUGGUGGAAACGAUGUGCUGAUGUGCUGCCAGGCAGUGCGGACAGCAGCCGUGCAGCUAAGGGAGGAGGAGAUGAUGGCAACGGGUUGAACUCAGAUUCAGAAGAAACCGUGAUCCAGAAGAAACCGUGAUCUACUGCCCAGACUGGUUUGCAGGUAUAUUUUUAAACCAAUAGAAGAAGAUAGAUGCAAGUCCCACACAAAGAAGAAAGGAAGAAAAAGGAGCCGACGGUGGAUGGCCUGACCUACAGCUCGAAGAAAAAUUUGGGAUUGUUGUGUAUAUAUAUAUAUAUAUAUUUUAAUGUACGCGGGGACGGGGCGGGAAUGGGGCGGAUGUAUGUUGCCCCGUCCCCCGCCCCAUUUUAAGACGGGGGAUAUAUUUUGCCCCCGCCCAAUUUUUAUCCCUGCAGGCACCCGCACCCGUUGCCAUCCCUAUUUGUGUACAUGGGCAUCCUCAAAAUUGGAUGGUGUAUGUCACACACUAAGUGUUUUAAUCUUUCAUUCACUACUAGUGAGUUAAAUAACCACCAGCAGCUUGGGCUGGCAGCGACUGCCAAAGACUUCAAAGUUUUGGUCAUCAUUCGUCACAGUAGGUUGUUUCCUCAAAUUCGUAUAUGUUGGGGCUCACAUCAUUUAUUUGGUUCGAUGGUGAUUCAAACAUCAUGAUCUUUCCUAUAGAUUCAGUUGAGCCUCCUCUGAAUUAAGUUAGAGUAGUAGUAGAGUAAAUAAAUGACGAAUUACCAAAAAAAAAACCAGUGAGUUAAAUGUUUGGGCCCACAUUUUUCUACUAAUAAAAUAACUUUCAUUGGAUAUAUAAGUGCAAAGAUUGAAAUUGGAUGAGAAAUACAUUUCCAUUUUGGAUAAGUGACAAUAGAUUUGAUACAAAUUAAAAAGAAAAGUAUGACACUUUCAAUAGGACAGACGAGUAAUAUAUCGAUGAAUAUGUAAAAAUUGGCAUCUCUAAGCAUUGAAUCAAUGAUUAUAAUUCAGGAGUUAGUAUUAUGCAAGUUUGGAUGAACAAAUGAAUUUUGAUGCAGAUGCUGAUCAUACAUACAGGGCAAGAACAACGUGCAAAUCAGAUGAUUCGGGUAAAGAAUAUGUACAAACAAGGCAAUCAAUCUGAAAACUAGUAGCGAGCAAUACGAGGGUCAAGGUCCAUCUGCUUCCUUGUUUUCCCAGGAAAUAGAUCCUUGGAUAUGAUCAAACAAGGAAGAAGACCAAUCAAUGUUGUGAAUGGAAAUCGAGCCACUGCAUCAUGCCUUCCAAGUGAGACAAUAACCUUCCCAUCCGUUCCCAGUUUUCGUUCAUCCUCCUUGUAUAAAAUGACUCAAAAUAGAUUAGGUUUCAUGCACUAAAAAAACUCAGAUUAAUAAUAUCAUUGCCAACUGUUGGAUUCAAGAUGGAGAAGGCUUCAAUCAAGUCCGGUCUCUUUGUUGCUCUCUUUGUUCUUCCAAUCUGUUAGUCUCUCCCUUUCUCUGUUGAUCUUCUCAUCUACACUGACAAUCAUCGCUUGCUUUCCUCUCAGAAAAAGUCAUUUAUUUAUUCAUUUAUUUUGCAGUAUCAUCACUGCCAAUAAUGAAAGGGAUGGAGGCCAAUCUGACGACACAAAGUUUCAAGCUCUGGACACAAAUUUAGGUCUACUCAGACACAAAAUACUAAUCCAAGAAUUAGACCUAAAAAACCAAAAUCCCGUAGCAAAGCUGCUCAUAGAGCAUUGUUUUUAAGCUCAAAAUUGAUUGUUCCUCCGUUUUCUUUCUCUUGUCCCUUUAUUCAUGUUAGUUUCAGCCAAAAUUAGAGCAGAACUGCUUUUAUAUAAAAAUGAGAAGAAAUUGAAGAAAUAUGAAACUUACAAUUCACUGGUCAGUCCAAGAAUUGAUGAAGCUUCUCUAUAAAGAACGAUGACUGGUGGAAUUAUUGAAGACUUGAAGUUGCAAAAAGUUUUGGGAUGGAGCCUUAGAUAUAAGCUCCAUUCCGGUUCCAAGAAUUUCUUUAUGGAAGACAGAACUUUUUAUUAUUGGCCUUUCCAUGCAAAGUGAUUUCCUCUAUUUCCGGCCAAUUUUUCCAUGCUCCGGUUCCAAGAAUUUCCGCUGCAUUCAAUCAAGCACAUUGAAUUUAAAUUCCAUUUUUUUCACACUUUGGCAGGAGCAAGGAUUUCGUUGCAUGUAAAUCUAGAUACAUACUCGUUGCGAUAUUUUGUUAUUGCUUGCUACGAAUUCUGGUCAUAGUUGAUUGUAGAAUCAUUUCUUGUGGGAACUAAUUAUUUACAUUACAUACUAUCAACUCCUUAAUUUAGGUUGACUUAGCACAAUUGCAGAUGCAAACCGAGAAAUAAGCCGCUAGCACUAAUUGAAGUCCACAAUUAAAAUCUCACGGGUGAGAUCUAAGCCAUCAAAGUCUCACCUAAAUUUAGGGAUGGCAAUGGGGGCGGGUGCCCGCGGGGGGCUCUCGGGGCGGGGGUUGGGGCGGGGGCGGGGGGGAAUUUUUUCCCCCCGCUUAGAAACGGGGCGGGGGACGGGGGAGUAUACCCCCGCCCCAUCUCCCGCCCCGCCCCCACAAAAAAUAUAUAUAUAUAUAUAUAUAAUUAUAUAUAAUAUGUAAGUUAAUUAGUUAUAAACUUAUGAUAAUGAUAUUAUUAGUUAGAUAUAUUAUAUAAUGUAUAGUAGUUUAUGUAAUAUAAUUGAUAUUAUCAAUUAUAUGAAUAAUUAUACAUGUCUACUAAUAAAAUUUAUUAAUUAGUUAUACUAAAUUUACUAAUACAUUUAUACUAAAUUUCUAAUUACACUUAAUAGAAUAACACUUUUUUCUCAAAAAAAAAAGCACAAACACAAUAAUGAAUUAGUGAUUGCAUUUGUACUAAAAGUGAAAACUUGACUAUUUUAGUUAAAUUUAUUUCAUCAUAUUGGAUUGUAUUCAAAUAACUUCUGUUUGAUUGUUUUUAUGAGUUUCAAUUGUAAAAUUACAAUGAAUAAUAGUUUGGUGAUGUGUUGAUAUUUUAGUACUUAAUUAUUUAUUAAAAUUUAAUUAUAAUAAAAUUAUAUAAUAAAAGUUUAUUAACCCCGCGGGGGAAGAGGGGCAAGGCGGGGCGGGGCGAGGGGAGCGGGAGGCGGGAGGCGGGGGACGGGGGGAACUAAUAGGCAACGGGGCGGGGUUGGGGGGACGGGGGACGGGGGAGGGGUCCCCCGCCCCAACCCCGCCCCAUUGCCAUCCUACCUAAACUCUUUUCUUUCCCUUCUCUCUAGAACUCUUUCAAUCAAUAUUUUUUCCAUCUCUUCAAUGAAAGAGAGACCAAAUUUGGCCUUUCUCCAUGGGAGGAAGUACUUUUUAUAGUUUUUAGUUUUUCUUAUAUGAAUAAAUUCUCUCCUAGGAUUUUCUAAUGAGAUAAUUCUUCUCUCCUAGGAUUUCCUAGUAAGAGUUUCUUCUCUCCCAAAUUAUUCUGGUGAGAGUUUUAUUUUCUUUUGGAUUUUUCUUUGUAAGAGUUUUUUAGGGUUUUAUCUUUGUAAAAUUUGAGAUUCUGUAAAUCUAAAAUCUAGUUUCUCAUAUAUACAAUUUCUCCAUUAUUAUCAUAUCUAAAUUUCUCUUUGGAUUUGAAUUAGUUUUAAACAGAUCUAAUUAUCAGCAAACAUGCACUGAUGUAUUGAGCUACAAUGACUCAUCCGAAUAGAAGAUAUAUGGGAGCAUCAAUGUUAUCUUUAUUUGUAUUGUUUUCUUAGAUCUGUUAUAUUUAUUGAUUUCAAAUAUAUAUAUAUAUAUAUAUAUAUAUAUAUAUAUAUAUAUUUGUGUCAUGUUUGUUUGAUGUAUUUUCUAUCAUUAGUACAAAUUUGUUUGAAUGAAAUGAUCUUUUCUAUCAAAAAAGAAAAGGUCUCACAUUUAACGACUUGUAUAUGAGACUUUGUCUCAUUUUUUGAAAUCAUGUGGUAAAAUCUUUUAUUAUAUAUAUGGUUUUAUACGAAGACAAAUAGUAAACCGUUAUAUAUCUUUGCUAGACUAGCACGGAAAGGGUAUGAAUCUCUUGCCACUCUUUACCCCUAGCCCACCUGAUUUUCCUCUCUACUAAAAGGAUGUACUUUAAGGUUUUGAUUUCCAUUUCAAGCUGUGCUAGUGUGACACAAAUUUACAAUUUUGCAACUUAUAAAUGGUCCACGGUUAAGAUUUAAGGCAUUAAAGCCUAAUACUAUGUAUAGCAUGAUUUGUCUCGUAUCUUGAAAUCAAGUGAUAAUAAUUAGGAUAAAUUACAUUUUACCCCCCUAUAAUUUAGCAUUUUUACAUAACUCCCCUAUGAUUUCAAAAGUUAUACAUAACCCCUUCAUGGUUUGGAUUAAAGUGUCAAAGUGACGGAAAUAGUUACUCGUAAUAGAACUUCUAAAAAUGUCGAAAUUAUAUGUAAAAAAAAUGUUAAACCAUGAGGGGGUAAAGUGAAAUUUACCCUAAUAAUUAUAUGAUUCUAUUUAAAAAGUUAUGUAAACAGACGGUAUGAAUUUAGAACACUCAAGCACAUUGAUGGGAGGCAAGAUUUGAACCCUUGACCUCCCACCCCACUAUAUACAGUGGUGGCCAACUCCUCUAUUGGGAGUUGGUUUGUCCUUUAUAUGUACAAUGAUGAAAAUGAACAAGCUUCAGACGGUUAAUGAUCAUCACAAAGUUGUAACGUCCUCAAAGGGAUAAUACAAGUCUGGGAGAAUGCAAAAGCUUCAACCGUUAAAAAUAAAAUGCUUCAGAUGACAAUCUGUUUCUCUUUUAAGGAGCUUUACUCCAACAUAGCAGGAGCUUUACUCCAACAUAGCUCCUAAUGGAGAUCAUCAGAGAGUUGAAGCAUCUUCAAAGUGUUAACAUUUUUGGGAAAAGAAAUUUCCUGCCACUCUACUUCAUAAAACAGACAGCAAAAAAUUAUCAGAAUGUUACCUUACAGUACUGCUUCAAUUAUGACCGGCCAACAAAUCAAAUUGUUAAGUAUGUACAUCGGCCAGGAAAGGUGUCAUUUGGUAACCAGAGGAAUGAAAAAAGAAAGUGCUUGAAAUCAUUUUGAGUUCCAAAAUGCUGAUAAUCUUUUGAUGGUUCAAAGAAGAAGAUCAAGUCCACAGCUUUAAUCUCUUUCAAUCUGUGAAAUUACGCUUUCUUAAUGACAACAAUUAGCUUAUAAAUUGAAAGGAAACCAAUAUUUACAGAAAGGAAUAGAGAAAUCAAUAUCCACUGAGAACAAAUUUAGUGAACUAAUGAGAUUAAAAGAAGGGACCAAGAAAAGCGAAUACAUUAGAGAGAACAAAGCAGAGGUGAAAAUCUUACAGGACGACUUAGAAAGAUGAAUGUUAAUCAAUAUCAAGCUCCAUGUGUGAAAUCUUUGACCACUCUGAGUCGUCCCCACUUUCAAAAUUGCACCUAUCGAUUAACAGAGAACAAUCAAUAAUCCGCAGAUAUGUUAAUUUAGUGAGGCGUCUCAUGGCAGCCAUGGAGGGCAAAUAUUGAAGCUCUUCGCAACUCUCUAAUACUAGUCUUUCAAGAGACGCAAGGUUCCCAAUCCAAUGUGGUAAUGCUUUAAUUCUUCCAAAGUCGAAUAGAGAUAGUGACGUGAGAGUAGUCAAGUAUUGGAGCUGAUGUGGAAGAGACUCCAUAUCAGACAUCCCAUUUAACUCAAGCUCACAGAGUGUUGAUGAUGAUAGUAAUCCAGACCAAUCAACCAAGGAGUAAUCUGAGAAGGGCCCGAUCAUCAUUGUCGUUAAGCAAGUAAGAAAGGCAAAUCCUUUGGGCAUAUCAUUGAUCAAUUCGGGGCAAUUGGUUAAGAUGCAGGUCUCGAGAGAAGGCGUCUGUUGCAAAUCAAGUGGAAAGGAGACCAGAUUGGGACAUUCAUACACCUGAAGGCUCUGAAGAGGUGAACAGGACUCUAGCAUUUCACUGGCUAUAGUGGUCAACCCAUCACAAUCAGAAAUUGUCAAACUCUUGAGAGACUUGAGGAGGCUUUUCUGUCCAUCGUUCCGAUUUUCUCCAAGAUCAAUUAGGGGGCAUACCCGUAUAGACAAAUCACGAAAGGCCUGGAACUUAUACAGAUUUUCCGGCAACUCCCUCAAAUUAUCACAGUCAAACAAUUUUAAACUCUCAAGACAGGUGCCGCAAUUUAAUCUUCUUAGACUCGUCACAUUGGGGCAAUACGACACUUGUAGAUGUUGAAGACUUGGAAAAUGACACAGUCGCUCGACCAUUUCACUCGGUAGAAGCUCACAACCAUCUCCUAGAGUCAAAGAACUCCCUUGGUGGCUACCAUCUUCUGAAUUCAAAGGUCUUUUCACCAAAUGGAGAGAUUCUAUUUGUUGAUGAGCUUCAGAAUUAUGUCGCGAAGACAUACUUCCAUCUAGUUUGAGUGACGAGAGAGUGGUUCUAUUGUUUAAAACCUUUUCUGCCAGAGAAGAGUGGCAAUAGAAUCUGAUUUCGAGCUCCUCAAGAGUUGGAAAAUGACUAGGAGUUGGAGCAGUGGUCAGUUGGGAGCAACCACUGAUAGACAACCUCUUCAGCACAGGACAGGAAAUGCAGCUACAUCUUCAUCCGUUGUUGAUCUCACUUCGUCUGGGUCCCUCCACUCAACCAAAUUCACCAUAUCUUCUAGAGUGAGGCUUUUAAGGGCUGGAAAGAAUUUGCAUUCACUAGUGCUCCCUCUUCCAUCCUGCUUAUCAAAAAUACCAUAGAAUGAAAGGCCAAUGCAUGUUAAGUUUUCCAAUUUACUCAAAGAAAGAAGUUGGAGGAAUGGUAGUUCUCCUAGCCCAGCAGGGAGUUCUCUGCAUCUGUUGCAACCUUUUAACUCCAGGGACACUAAUUUCGACAAAUUCAUAAACCAUUGCGGAAAUUGGUAACCCAUAAAAUCUUGAAUUUCUGACAUUUGUAAAUAAUAGUGAGGUUGGAGACCUUCCAACACAGCUCCAUCGCCGUUAUCACUCUCCCGAUCCCCACUUCCCUACUCGAAUACCAACCUAGACAGAUUUGACUUUUCAAUUAAUUUUGCUAGUGCAGCUCCUUCUUUACUCUUUACUAACUUAAGAUUUCUUAUCACCAACGAUCCUUUGAGAUCUUUCAAGGUUCCAAGCUCUUCAACGCCACAACCCUUCUCUUCUCCUAUGUUAAAGAACUCUAAUGUUUGAAGGCUAGUCAAUCGUCCCAGUUUGAUCGGCAUUUGGAGUUCUGCAUCACUAUGAUAAUAGUGAAGAUGUCUCAAGCUAAUCAAAUUGCUUGUGCCCUCUGGAAGACCUUCAUGAAGUUUUUCACCAUUGAUCCUCAGUGUUUGCAAGUUGUAAAGCUUGCAAAGAGAUUCUGGCAAAGUUGUAAUACCAGAAUCUGAUAUAUCAAGAAACCGUAAAUGUAACAGGCUGCCAAUGGAGUUUGGCAGCACAUUGACAUCUGGUCCAGCCAAUUUCAGAACAUGCAAGUACUCCAUCUUUGAUAACAUGUUAUCAGAUAUGCCAUUCUCUAGAAAUAAUGUGCGAAGUGAGGUUGGAAUUUUCUCUGUGAUAUUUUUUGCCUUUGCUUCAGAUGAGUACAAUGCAAGGUAGCGGUACUGAUUGCUGCUUUUAGGAUUCAAGAUUGAUUUUGCAAAAUCAUGCACAAGAUCAUGCAUUUUAUAAUAUGUUCUCUCCUCUUCUUCUACUUUUUCCAACAAGGAAGCCUGCAGCAAAAUUCUCAAAUAGUCACUCCCUAUUUCCUCCAUCACACUUCCAUUUUGGUGGCCUGGUUGAAGAAAGCCUUCCGCUAUCCAAAGCUCAGUUAAUAGAUCUUGUUCCAAUUCAGUAUCCUGGGGGAAGAUCGAGCAGCAUGCAAAACAUUUCUUGGCUGAUACAGGUGACAAAUGAUCAAUACUCACCUUAAGUAUUUGCUCGAUCUCACCUUGAUCUCCAUCCAAGAGUCUCCUCCACAAUAGACAGCCACUUUUCCUUUCCCUUGUUACGUAACAUACCUUCAAUUAAACUUGCUGCUAGUGGUAGACCAUCACAUCUUCUAAGAAUUUUCUCCUUUAAUGCUUCCAAUUCCUUUGGUACUCCUUCCCCUCUAAUUGCCUUUUCUUUCAGAAUAGACCAACACUCAUCGUCGGCUAGCCUUCCCAAGAUAUAUGGACCAUCAUUCAUCUUCAUAUGUAUAGACAUUGCAUCAGCUACUGGGUCCAGACAAGUAGUAACAAGACACCAGCUUCCUUUGGUUGGAUUGAGUCCCUCCAAAGUGGUGAAAAAGUCAUUCCACAAUCCUUCUUCAUGAUUCCACACAUCAUCAAGAACAAGGAGAUGUCGUUUUCUCGCAAUUUCUCCUCAAAUUUCUUGAACAAUAGCAUCCCCACCAUCCACUUCAACUUUUUUUCUUGUCAAUGAUUCCAAAACGAAUUUGAACAGCUCCAUUAAUUCAAUUUCUUUAGCCAGGCAAAUCCAAAUCUUCUUGCCAAAAUGCUCAUCAAUUCGCGGAUUAUUGUACACUGAUUUAGCGAGAGUUGUUUUUCCCAACCCUCCCAUGCCUGUUAUAGGAACAACAGAAAUAACUUUAUCAGAGGGGCUCAACAUCAUGUCCACUAUCUUUGAUUCAUCGCUGGCUCUUCCCACAACAUUUGGAACAAGAAUAGAGUCAGCCUGUCGGCUUGUGGUGGCUCCAUCGGCAGCUGGGAGUGCGGCUUCAAUUUGGUACUUCACAACCAAUCCCAACUCGUUGGCUUUACCGUUGAUCCUGUCUAGGUUGGUGUUGAUGUCCCUGAUUUUUGAAGCCAAUCUGGAACGAAAAACGAUUGUGCUAAAGCAGGAGAAUGAGAAGAAGAAGCAUACCUUCCUCUUCUUGACUUGACCACGAUACUUCACCUCCUGACGGAGAUUUUCAUAAUUGACCUCAUCCAGCACAUAUUCUGCUUUAAAAACCUCUCCCUCGAGCUGCUUGAGCCAAUCUUGGACCCCUGGGCUAUGCAUUUUCCCGUCAGCAUCAGCCAAGAAACCUUGGAUCGUUUCAGCAGUCGCGCUUAUCCUCUCCAACUCCUUUUUGACCCCAAGAAUCAUACGGAUACGAUCAGCCGCAAGGGAAACAGCAGUCCCCAGAACGAAAUUGAUAGUUGUAUUAAUAGCAGCAUCAGCCAUUUUUUCUUGCUUCGAAUUGGAAUUAGGAGCAAAAGUUUUCUGUUCUCAGAGAAGGAAGGAAGGAUUGAUUCAGCAGCAAAUAGCGUAAACUCUGUGUAGUAUAGAAGCAAUGAUAAAUUUUUCUUUGAUCCAUGGUGGCGGCCCUUAAAAAUUUGAAAUUAGCAAUAAAAAGUUCUCUUUGUCCGAAUCAGACAACAAAAGUAUGGCCUAGUAAAGACUAAAUCGUAGUAGCAGGCAAGCCUUGUUUUAAAUAUUUGCCUGGUAAGAAAACCACAUAAAAGUGUUAUUAAUCAGUUAAUUCUUUUUUAAUCUCGUCAGUUUAAUUUAAUAAUUUGGUCACAUAUCAUAUCAUGAUCAUCAUUAGUUGGCAUUAUUGGGACAGACAAGUUAAGGGCAAGUUCUUUCCGCUUUGUUUCUUCCUCCAUAAUAUGAUUAAGAUUUAAUUUAAUUUGUGAAGGUUAAUUUUUUAUUAUGGCAAGUUAAGGAGAAGAAAAUUUUGAUUAUUAAUCCAUUAUUCCAAAACUAUUUUUACAAUUGUUACUUUGUACAUGCAGGAACUAUUUUACUUCUUAACAAUGAUAUUGACUCAAACUUUUCCAUACACUAGUGUAAAAACAAUGUGGUGCUUACCCAAAAAAAAAAAAGAGUUAUAAAUAAAUAAAAAUCGCUGACGAAUCAAAGCAUUUGAACUUGUUUUGGCCCCUACAGAAAUUUCAGCUAAAUACUUCUUACCCACCAGAUUAGAAAUCAAUUGUCCACCUGCAGUGAAUUUGUAUUUUUUUUGUGUGUCAUAACCAGUAAUCAUCACGAAAAUAGCAAAGCUGAAAAUGCUAAAACUUUUAGGGUUCGCUGUUUUUUUUUUCCUCUAUCUGUUUGAGAAGAAUGGUUUACUUUUUUUUAUUUUCCACUGAAAGUUUCAAUCAGGCUCCUCUAUUUUGAGCCAAUGAAUGUGGCUGCCUUUGGUAAUCUAAUGCCAAUAAAAUGGAGUGUUUUUUUGGAAGGAAUACAAAUCAAACAUGGAGUCAUUUUUUAGAACUUUGGUUUCAACCUUCCCCGGGAAAAUUUUACAUAGAGUGAUUAACAUAGUUUUCUGAAAAAGAACUUUAUUUUAAUUUCAAUCAAUUAACUUAUUCUUUGACUCCUUGCUCAUGAGGGGUAGGAAAAUCCAGUGUCAGUAGAACCACUCUAAUUUUUAUCAUUAUUAUUUUUUUAACUUCUCUUUGGAUAAUGGGCUGAUCAUGACACUAUUGAAAUCAAUCAGCUUCUUAUUCUUUUUUUUUGUUCAUAACUGGGCUUAUUUCGAUGGAUUUGUAAGGCGUCACACUCUUGGAUGGGGACUGAGGGACCAAUUGAUCACAAGUUUUGAAAUGUUUAAUUUAUUGAAUUAAUUUGUUACAUACCGAUAUCAUAUACACUUUUAUCAUUAGAUAUAUGAUGCAUAAUCUAAAUUUAAAUGUGAAAUUCAAAUUUUACAUAUAUGUCAUGUAUCUAAUGUGAUAGUGUAUACACUGUAAGUACAGUAUAUAUAAAAGGGUUAUUAUCACUUUACCUCCUUAACUAUAUUACUACUACCAGUUUACCCCUAACGUUAUCUUUUAGUCACUUUACCUCCAUAAGUAAUUUAACUCAAUACAUUAAGAAAUUUUGGACAAAAAUACCCUCUUAUUUUAUAGCAUUACUACAUUAUUAUUAUCACUUUAUUCGUUUAGAUUAUAGCGAUACAAUCACUUUAGUUCCUAACAUUAUUUUCUAGGCAUUUUAUCUCAUCGUUAAUCUAACUAUUAUGGUUAAAAAAUUUUAAAUAUAUUUACCCUUUUUUAUAUAUUAUUAAAAAUAAAAAAGUUGAAAUGGUUAUUCUUCCUUUUUUUCACUUUAAAAGAUCAAAAAACAUAAAAAUAAAAAGGAUUUCUCAAAUUUCUUUUUUUCACACUUAUUAAUACUCGAAAAAGAAAAAGAGAUGAGAAAGAAGGAGACAGAAAAUUAGAUUUUGCAAAAAAAGAAAAUAAAGAAAAGUAUAACAUUAUCGUAUUACUUUAAGGUUGUCGAAAUUAGGAUUGGAAUUUGGUAGUAAACAGAAACAUGAAAUAAUUUUAAAAUAAUAAAAGUAUUCAAUUCUUUCUUUUUUGUAAUUUUUAAAAAAAGAAUUGAGCUCUCUCUCUCCCUCUCCCCUCCCCCCUCUCCCUCUUUCUAUUUUUUUUUUCAAUAUUAAUAAGAUUGUCAAGAAAAAAGAAAUGAAUUCUUUGACUUUUUUUCUUGAUACUAAAAAGGAGAGUGGCGGAGUUAGGAAUUAACUUUGGGGGGAGCGAGUCUAUAGCAAUGAAAAUAAAAUAUAUUUAUAAAAAAAAAUAAUGUGAACAUAUAUACCACAAGAUUAGAAACAACCUUAUAUAGAAUGAAAAUUAUUUAUACGUUUCACAUAAACAAAAAUAUCAUCAUAUUUACAAAUCUAUUUGACUGUGUGGGACAUAUGAAAUUGUGCACGAUGACUUUUAAUUUUAUCAAAGUCAUCAAUGAUUGAAUUUAUAUAAAAAGUUCUAGCAAUUUCUUUCUCAAUAUACAUUAUCAUAGAGUUAGCAAGAAAGUCUUCCUCCAUCCUAGAACGCAAACAAGUCUAGAUAAUUUUCAUAGCAGAAAAUGCAUGCUCUGUUGUAGCUGUUCAAACAGAAAGAGUCAAAAUAAGAUGAACCAAUCUAUCAAUAAGAGUAUAGCACAUUGACUUUCUUGUCUUUGCUAACACUUGGCACAACUCUUGAAGUGAUGACAAAUUUUGAAGCUGAGAAUUACAGGAAAACUCAACCUGGAAAAGCUCUAAUUGAGUUCUUAAGUGUAACUUCUCUUGAUCUGUGAAGUCAGCUGAAUAAAACUUGUUUGCAAGUUGACAAAUUUGUUCAAUAUUGAAAGCCUGAAAACUAUCUUUAGGGUGCAAUGCUGAACUAAGAAUAAGCAACUCUAUUAUAUCUUCCUUAAACCUAUUCUUCAUUUCAAGUAUUUGAGAAUCAACCGUUGCCAAAAACACAUCAAUCCUGUAGUGAUGCUACAUGGUAAUUGGAUCAUUUUGUUUUCGAAUUCUUCCUCGACUUGCUUUAUAAAUGACAUUCAUAUCAUGCAUCUCUAUAUUUCGUGCAUCACAAAAUGUCUUUACAUUGGUGAACAAUUCAUUCCAUCCAUUAUCUCUGUAACAUUGAAGUCGAUCCUUUGUUACUGAAACCAAUUUAAGGGCAUUCAAAAUAUCUUGAGAUUUGCAUUGUAAAGCUUGAGAAAGUACUUGUGCAAAUCCAAAAAUGUCCCUCAUCAUAUGCAUAACAAGAACAAAAUCAAAGGAUGUUAUGAAAUCGUAAACUCUGUCAGCUUCACUUCUUUGAGUUGAUGUAUUUCCAUAAUUGAUAACAUCAAUUAGGACAGAGCAAAUGUCCUCAUAUUCUGUGAAUAAGCUACAGAUAGAACUAAAAUGAGACCCCUAUCUUGUAGUCCUUGGCUGUUUUAAGGUGCCAAUCUGAUUCUGACCCCUACCAGUCUCAAGUUCAUCAAUAGCAAUCAAUUCAACAAUUCUAGCAGCUCUAGCAACUCUAAGUUGGUCCACACGUUUGCAAGAAGAUGAAAUUAAAUUUAUAAGAAGAGAUAAGUAUGUAAAGAAUUGUUCCACAGGAACUACCUCUUGAGAUGUUGCUACCAAUGCUAAUUGCAAUCGAUGAGCAAAACAGUGAAUAUAAUAUGCAUAGGGGCACUCCUGAAUAAAUAAUGCUUGCAGUCCAUUCCAUUCUCCACGCAUGUUACUAGCUCCAUCAUAUCCUUGGCCACGAAUGUUUUGCACACUAAGAUUAUGGCGAGAAAGGACAUCACAUAUCUCCUUCUUCAAAGUCAAGGAAUUGGUUUCGUGCACAUGAACAAUGUCAAAAAAUCUCUCUCAAAUAUAGCCUUGCUUGUCCACAAAUCUAAGAACAAUAGCCAUUUGCUCUCUUUUUUAUCUAUCUUGAGCCUCAUCAACAUGUAUAGAAAAUUUUGAAUCACUAAUCUCUUCUCGAAUAUACUUUUGUAUCUUGCUUGACCAAAUGGAUAAUAUCUCCUUUUGGAUCGUAGGAGAAGUAUAAGAUGCAUUUUGAGGAGCAUUAUCAAGGACCACAGCAGCCACUUUUCAUUAUAAGAAGACACAUGCUUGAUCAACUCAAUAAAAUUACCUCGAUUGUUAGAAUCUAAACUUUCAUCAUGACCCCUAAAAGCCACCGCUUGAAAUGCACACCAUUUUGUAGCAUCUAUGGAAACUUGAAGUUGCAACCGAUUUUUUGCAACCUGCUCAGAAUUUUGCUUCUCAAUAAUUUUAUCAAGAUGUUGCAAUGAGUUUCCCAAAUCAUGAUAGCAUUGCAUUGUCACUUUGUGUGAUGAGUUAGGAUCUUUUCCAAUGUGAUUAAAAAAAGCACAAUUUUUUCCAUCAUUUACCUUUUUCCAUGAUCUAAAUCCACUAGUUGUGAAGGCCAUUGAUCCAAAACGGUCCGUUGGCUUGGAAAAAAGUGAGCAAGGAAGACAAAAGACAGCCUUCUUUGUUGGAAAAAAUUCCAACCAAUCUGGAAACAAUUUAUACCAAGAGAAAAGGAAACGUCGGCCCUUCUUGUCAACAACCAUUGAUUCAAUCGGAAGCUCAGGUUAGUAUGGCCCAAACUUAAUAUAUGCUCUCCGUACCUCAUCCCUUUGAAGCUCUAGAUAUUCCCAAAUGGAUUUUCGCUUUCCAGGAUCAUGUUCUAUGAAUGAAAUAUCAAACUCUAAUGAUUCAGCUCUACAAAAUUUCUUUGUUUGAUGCUUAGGAGAAGAAUCACGAAGAGGACAAGGAGUUUCACCACUUCCACUUGGUUCUAGAUGUCUUUUCUUGAAAAAAGAAUCAAUUGUCAUGUUGGCCAUUACCACUAUAUUUGCAACAAAACAAUAACCUGUAAUCGAAAUAAAAUUGAUUGAGAAAUGCUGGUUAUGGCCUAUAAAGAUGGGAAUUUGACCAAUGCAAGAGACUGAUUUCCCUAAUUCCCUUACAAAUUUUGGCCAUUCAGCCUGACUGAAAAGCCCGGCCAUCACCCAAGGAAGCCAACAGGAUCCUCAAAAUAAAAUUAGUAUGAAAAUUGGAAAAGAAAACCAGUCUCAGAAUCAACUAAAAUAAAUGCUUAUCACCCGAAUUCAGAAGACCAAGUACGAAAAACAAUACAAGUCCCUCUCGAGCAAUUCAUCAAACAACUGGCGGGCAAACUUCUUACACCCACAUUUCACUAAAUAAAUGCAAUGUCAAACUAAUCUGGUAAAUGGUAAUAGCUUAAAAUUUCAGAGCUUUUGGUAUAUCCAGUUUCAAAGCCACGCAUUUCAACUUUUGCAGAAAAAUUUGGGUGAGAACUGAGGAGUUACAAUUCUCUGCCAUAGAGUAUUAGCUUGUAUUUGGAAAUGAAAAAAAAAAAAAACUGGAGAUCGAAGAGGGAAUUGAAGUUGGGAGUUGAGAGUUGAGAGUUGAGGCUUUUCUGUAAGAAGGAAAUAAGAGGUGCAUUGGUGAAAAACGGCAAUUGUGAAGUUCAGAAAAUAGUAGGUAAGUUAUUUGGACCAAGUCUGUUAUUCUCCUUUAAGAAAAUAGUGGCAAUUCUCUGUUAUUUGAACCAAGUCCAAAUAACUUUCAAAUAUUAUUGUUUGGGCCCUUGGGGGGGCAAAGUGAAUUUUUUGAUCAAUUUUUGGGAGGGCAAAACAUAAUAAUAAAAAAUGUUUUACUUAGAAAUUUUUUUUAACAAUUGGAGAGGGGCGGUUGCCCCCCCCGGCCCCCCUUCCCUCCGCCUCUGAGAAGAGCCACUCUAAAUUUUUUAUUAUUUUUAUUAUGCAAAGAGGAGGGUAUUUGCUUCUAAAGUUUUUUAACUUGUUAAGUUGGUUUAAUGAUAAGAUAAAUUGUCUAAAAAAUAAUUUUAGGGGGUAAAUUGAUAAUGAAACUAUAGUUUAUGGGAGUAAAGUGAUAAUCAUUUUAAGGGUUAAACAUGUCUUUUCACUUUAAUUAACAAAUUCCGUUAAGUUUGACCAUUAGUCUUGAGGGUAAAGUGACUAAAAGAUAAUGUUAAGGAGCAAAUUGAUAGUGACACCAAACGUUUAGGGGGUAAGGUGAUAAUAAUCCUAUAUAAAAUUAACUCUAAUUUAUUAUGGUGAAUAACAAUAAUGAUUUAGCCUAAUUCCAAAACUCGAAUGAAAAGUGUAGGCUCGUAAUGCGGUAUAUCUAGUCCAUCAACUGGUGUCUAAAAUUGGUCAAGUUAUAAAACAAAAUGAGGGUCAAGGCAUUAGGAAUUAGAUGUCGUGGAUUCGAUUAUCAUGUAAUUAUAUUUAUAGAAAAGUGAUCGGUACGCUAAUCUAAGUCACGGUUGCAUGCGCUAGUUACAAUUAUUACACUGUUUUUUCAUACAAUUAUAUUAUCGUGUUGUACAUGUAAAUUUUACUCUUUUUAUUGGCAAAAAAUAUAAAUUUUGCUUGUAUAGACCAAAUAAUUAUAAAAAGGCAUAAUUUCAGAAACCUUUCUCGAGGUUUCUGACAAUUUCAUCUAGUAACCUUAAGAUUUUCAAUAUUACACUUACCUCCCUUGACCCUAUAAAAUGAUCAUAAUAACCUUAAUUUAUUAAUAUUUUUCAUACAAUUAAAUAAUACGCUCCUAAUCUUGUGCAUAGGAAUGCACCACACAAUUAAAUAUUUAAUAGAAACAAAAACAAGGUUUACUUUUAGAAUAACUAAUUAUAUCCUAAACAUAAUUCGAACAUAUUACAAAUUAAUUUUAACUUGACUUGAAAGAUCUAAAGAUGAAUAGAAGGAGAUGCAAGUUGAAGAUUUAAAUAUAACGGGGCAUAUAUUGGUACUCCAACAUUUGAGAGAUGGGAUGUUAUAUUAAUACAGUUAGUCAAAUUUUUUAAAUUUUACGGUACUCUUUUUUUCUUUUGUAACUUAGAUUGAGAUUUUAGGAUUUUGGGACUGAGGGUAGCGGUGGUCAUGAAGAUAGUGGUACUAAUUUGAGAUGUAAGAAUAUGAAAGGUUUAGAAUAGUAGAAAAAAGGGUUGAAAGUGGGUUUGAGGUUUUGUGCACAUUCCAUAUUUUUUUUUAUAGAAUUUUGUAAGAAAAUAAAAUGAACUUUACAAUUUCAUAAGGGCAAAUUGGGUUAUUCAUUCAAAAUUUUGAGCAUUGAAUAGUUUUUGUUACCUGAUAUUGCCGUUUGUUUAAAAAAAAAUAAUAGUUUUUGUUACCAAAAUGAUAAAUUCAAGGGAGUUAAGUGCAAUUUUUUAAAUCUCAAGAGAACUAAGUGAAAUUGUUAAAAAUCUCGAGAGAGGUUUCUAAAAUUAUCCUCUAUAAAAAAUACAAUAAUUUAGGUAAGGAUACACCUAUUACAAGAAAUACAAUAACCGAACACAGCUGCACCUGCACAGGUAUCCCUAUUUCUACCAUCUCCUCUUAGGGUAGCUGGAUGUCUAUUGUAUCUUUUUUCGACAAACAUGCUGAGCCAUUCAUGAUGGUCGAUAAAUAUUGAUGGUCGGAGAAUUUCAAAUACCAUAUUGAAUUUUGCGUUAUUUUUUUCCUUCUUUUUGUUUUUUUUUCUCCUUUUAAAUCAAGAACAAACAAUUUGAAGGUAAACAGCCAUGUAGAGAAUCUCUCAAUUGUUGGUGGAAACCAUUCAUGUUAUCAGAAGUUGUCUUAAGCUUCGAAUUAUGCCAUGUUUAGAGGGCUAGAUGUCCAGCUCAUAUUCUGUAUACUUGCUCCUUUAUUUUUCUCGUAGCAUUUCCACCUGAAACAUUGGCCGCCUCUGCAGCUGAUUUGAUUUAUUAAAUACAUGUUUCCCAUCAAGACAAAAUUGAAUUCCCAAUCUUUCCACAUUGCAGCAGAAUAUGAUCUAGAAUCCAGCUAUUCAAAUGAACCUUUUCACAUUGAACGUCGAAGUACAUUUCAACUAAAGGCUUCAGUUGAGAACUUCCCCAGUCGGUCGACCAAAUAUGAAUGCACAGCCAACUCUUCUUCCUUUUUGUUUUGUUUAGUCUGAAUGCUAUUUGGCAGAGUUUAGCAGAGACAACAGAGCAUUUUUCAUUUCACACACACACACAGAGUAUAUAUAUAUAUAUAUAUAUAUAUAUAAUUUUUCAUAUAUGUUAUGCAUCCAAUCGUGAUAGUAUAUAUAUUCAUGAAUCCAAUCGUGAUAGUGUAUACACUGUCGAUAUAUAUAAGAUUAAUUAUAUAUGUGUAUACACACACACAUAUAUUGGUUCUUCUUUUUAUUUACCAAAGCAAAACUGUUCCCUUCCUUUUGUUUUUUGGUUUGCAUCCUUAGUAAUGCUGAGAAAGAGAGAGAGAGAGAGAGAGAGAGAGAGAGAGAGUUCAAUUUUUUAUUUAAAAAAAAAAGAAAAAAUAAGAAAGAAUCUAGUAUACUUAUUAUUUUAAAAUCACUUCUUAUUCUUCCACCUACCACCCAAUUCCAACACAAACAAUUUUAAAGUAAUAAUAAUAUUGAAUUCUUUUUUAUUUUUCUGCUUUCAAAAAUUGUGCUUUUGUAUCCUUCUGUCCCAUCUCUCUAUCCCCUUUUUUUUUCAUUCCCUUGACAUUAGUAACAGUGAAAAAAAGAGGAGACCAAUCCUUUUUAUUUUUUUAUUUUUUGGUACUCUUAGAGAGAAAAAAAAAGGUGAAAAAAAAAAGGUGAAAGUUGAUAGGUUGCAAUUCUAUCAUUUAUUUUAUAAUUAAUUUCUCCUAUUACCUGACUUGAUGUGGAUUAAUUGCGGGAUUCUACUCACUUUUAGUAUUUUGCAUUUAUUUCAGGGAAUAGAACGAAAAUAUAAUAACAGGUGCUAAUUUGACAGAAAAAGAGUCCAAGGCACAGAGCUUAUCCCGGGGGCAUUAUUGGCAAAGGAAGACUUUUGCCCAUUUUGGUAAUUUCAAAAGAAGAGAGCAGGGCAGAGGCCUCUAUUUUACUGGAGGCUGGAGCGCCGCACAAGGUGUGCUUCUUCUUCCUUCGGAGGCUCCGUCCUCUCCGCAAGGGGGCUGCCGCACACAGUAGCCAUUAGAAUAGGAGCAAUUGAUAUAUGGCAGAGAAUGAGCACUAGCACCAGGGAGUUGCCUUUGUUGACUUUUCUUCCCUUUUAGUUCUUAGUAGUUGUUUUACCUUCCUCGUACGUAGGACCUUUAGCAUAGUUUUCCUUUUGACUUUUCCCUUGAGUCUUGGGUGGAUGUCUCCUGCGCAUGUCAGGAGCAAUUGAAGGUCUUGGUCACUUUCUAUAUUCUUCCAUCAACUGAGCGAACUGAGCUCCCUUGGUCAAGGACAAUGGCUGCGGCUUCCUCUCCAACUUUGCGUGGGAUUUGUUCACCAGGAAUGAACUAAUUUUUCUUUUCUAGUCAAGGAACAACGGAGGUCUUGGUUGGCCUAAAUUUGUGAGAUCGAUUUAAUUUUAUCUUUUUCUCUUAUUUAUUGGUAUUGGCAUAUUCUUUGAUUGCAGUGCUUAUGGUUAUUUAAUUAAUUGAUUGUCUUGGAUCCGGAUAAUUAAUCAAUUUAAUAAUCUAUUGUCAAUUGAGGGAUUGAAUCCGUAAUUGUUUAAUUGCCUCAAAAUAGUGACAACUGGCAUAAUUAGACUUGUGUCAGGGGAAUACGCGGGCUAAUCUAAAAUAACCCUGGUAGUGCGUUAUUUGAUUAGAAUAGGGCUCCUCUAAUACGUAAGGCAAUUGGGAAAUUAAAUUCUAUGGGCGUACCUAGGAUUAUUUCUCAAUUAGAGCAGUGAUUAACGGGCGUACCUUAAUCAUCGACACAGUAAGGAGGGGUUGACUGUCUUCGCUUGUUUGGCAGUUAUAACCUAUUUAUUGAUAAAUAAUUGGAAUUGCCUUUGCUUAUCGAUGAUCAAUUAGGUGAACCAUUGCUGAAGUUAUUCCUUGGCUAGAUCCUUUGAUUUUGGUAAAUUGUUAUUUUAAUUUCUAGUUGGCUAUUUUAUUUUUAUUAUUUUACUCUUAGUUGGAUUGUUUAAAUUGUCACCUCUGAGAUAAAAACACCCCCUUGUCACUGAGAAUUCGAAAAGAAACAAUUACUCCCAGUCCCUGUGGAUUCGACCCUACUUACCGCUAUCUACAGAAAUUAUUUUUAGUUUGAGCAGGUUUUAUUAUUGCACAGGUUUCGACAACCUGUCAAUUUUUGGCGCCGCUGCCGGGGACUGGUGUCAGAUUAAUUUGUUUCCUUUUGAGUUCAUUUUGUUUUCAUUUUUUAUUUAUUUUUUCUCUUAUUUUUUUGAUAUAGUUUAUGGCUUCUAACACUCCGUAUUUUGGUGAUGUAUUGGAUUUUAUUUCCGGGCAAGGCGAUGAGAUUUGUUUUUUUCCUGAGUUGGCAUAUGCAGAGGCAGUAAACUCUAUUAGAAAAAGAAUGGCUGCUGCAACAUGUAAAAUUUGUUAUGCCAGGGAUCAUUCAACCAGUAUGUGCCCCGAAUAUCAAGAUAAUCUGAGUGUUCCACUCAAUAAUUAUGGAGAUUUUUCACACUGGUCUCAAACGGGGUAUAACCCUAAUCCAUAUGGGUAUGAUCAAGGAGGGUGGGAUAACUCCAAUUAUAAUUAUCCAACGGGGCCAAUGAAUUUUCAGCAGUAUGAGUCUCAAGAAUCGGCAUCUAUGUCAGGUAUGUCUCUUGAAGAAAUAGUUAAACCAAUAGCUACUAACACAUACCAAUUCCAACAGGAGACACUAAUGGAGAAUGAGAUGAUGAAGGAUGCAUUAAAUUAUCUGGCAGAUCAACUACGUCUAUUGACAUCCAGAAUAAAUCGAUGGGCUUCUCAAAUGGAAAAAUUGCCCUCGAAAAUCGUUGUUGAUCUAGAAGAAAACGAGAGUGCAAUUUGCUUGACUAGUGAUGAGGAGAUGCAAGAGUGUCAAAAUGAGGAAUCUACAGAUGCAGUUGAAAAAGAAGCCAAAAAGAAAGAAAUGGAACCCCAACCGCAACCCAUUCACGUGAAAGAAUCCAGUGAACAAUCUCCAAAUGCGGUGACAUCUUCUCCACUCCUUCAUCAAUAUUCUCCUGACUCUUACUCUUCAAUUCCUGUUAACGAAAUUGACUUUAUUAUACCAGACAAUUUUGAAUUUCAUGACAGGAAUAAAUUAAGAGUGGCGAUGGCGAGAUAUCUUGAACCAAUAAAUGCAAGUGAGGGAGAAGUGAAUGGAGAAUGCAAAUUAUCAUCGACUCGUUUGGCGCCAUUCACUAGUCCAUGGAUGCCCGUAGCUCGUAUGCUCAAGGAUUAUUCUAUUUACGAGGGUUAUCAGGACUAUAUAGAGGAUGAAGCAUUAAAACGAGCCACACGAUUUUAUCCUCCAUGAACAAAACAUGAUAAUGUCUAGCCAAAGACAUUAAAGAGAGGCGCUCAUUGGGAGGCAACCCAAUUGUUCCUUUUAAUUAUUUGUUUGAUUUCGUGUGAUAGUUUAAAUAUGUUUUUCUUGAGUUUGAUUGGUUUUGGGUGUUAAUUUUCGUUUUUGCUGAUUUGUAGGUGACCUUCAGUCAUGACGCACCCGCGUGGUGACGUGCAUGAAGCUCACGAUCAGAAACUUCUGGGAGCUCUCUUGCCCUCAUGACGCGCCCGCGUGGUGAUGUGCAGGAAGCUCACGAUCAGAAACUUCUGGGAGCUCGCUUGCUCUCUUGACGUGCCCGCGAAAUAACUUUAUCAGAGGGGCUCAACAUCAUGUCCACUAUCUUUGAUUCAUCGCUGGCUCUUCCCACAACAUUUGGAACAAGAAUAGAGUCAGCCUGUCGGCUUGUGGUGGCUCCAUCGGCAGCUGGGAGUGCGGCUUCAAUUUGGUACUUCACAACCAAUCCCAACUCGUUGGCUUUACCGUUGAUCCUGUCUAGGUUGGUGUUGAUGUCCCUGAUUUUUGAAGCCAAUCUGGAACGAAAAACGAUUGUGCUAAAGCAGGAGAAUGAGAAGAAGAAGCAUACCUUCCUCUUCUUGACUUGACCACGAUACUUCACCUCCUGACGGAGAUUUUCAUAAUUGACCUCAUCCAGCACAUAUUCUGCUUUAAAAACCUCUCCUCGAGCUGCUUGAGCCAAUCUUGGACCCCUGGGCUAUGCAUUUUCCCGUCAGCAUCAGCCAAGAAACCUUGGAUCGUUUCAGCAGUCGCGCUUAUCCUCUCCAACUCCUUUUUGACCCCAAGAAUCAUACGGAUACGAUCAGCCGCAAGGGAAACAGCAGUCCCCAGAACGAAAUUGAUAGUUGUAUUAAUAGCAGCAUCAGCCAUUUUUUCUUGCUUCGAAUUGGAAUUAGGAGCAAAAGUUUUCUGUUCUCAGAGAAGGAAGGAAGGAUUGAUUCAGCAGCAAAUAGCGUAAACUCUGUGUAGUAUAGAAGCAAUGAUAAAUUUUUCUUUGAUCCAUGGUGGCGCCCUUAAAAAUUUGAAAUUAGCAAUAAAAAGUUCUCUUUGUCCGAAUCAGACAACAAAAGUAUGGCCUAGUAAAGACUAAAUCGUAGUAGCAGGCAAGCCUUGUUUUAAAUAUUUGCCUGGUAAGAAAACCACAUAAAAGUGUUAUUAAUCAGUUAAUUCUUUUUUAAUCUCGUCAGUUUAAUUUAAUAAUUUGGUCACAUAUCAUAUCAUGAUCAUCAUUAGUUGGCAUUAUUGGGACAGACAAGUUAAGGGCAAGUUCUUUCCGCUUUGUUUCUUCCUCCAUAAUAUGAUUAAGAUUUAAUUUAAUUUGUGAAGGUUAAUUUUUGAUUAUGGCAAGUUAAGGAGAAGAAAAUUCUGAUUAUUAAUCCAUUAUUCCAAAACUAUUUUUACAAUUGCUACUUUGUACAUGCAGGAACUAUUUUACUUCUUAACAAUGAUAUUGACUCAAACUUUUCCAUACACUAGUGUAAAAACAAUGUGGUGCUUACCCAAAAAAAAAGAGUUAUAAAUAAAUAAAAAUCGCUGACGAAUCAAAGCAUUUGAACUUGUUUUGGCCCCUACAAAAAUUUCAGCUAAAUACUUCUUACCCACCAGAUUAAAAAUCAAUUGUCCACCUUCAGUGAAUUUGUAUUUUUUUUGUGUGUCAUAACUAGUAAUCAUCACUAAAAUAGCAAAGCUGAAAAUGCUAAACUUUUAGGGUUCGCUGUUUUUUUUCCUCUACCUGUUUGAGAAGAAUGGUUUACUUUUUUUUUAUUUUCCACUGAAAGUUUCAAUCAGGCUCCUCUAUUUUGAGCCAAUGAAUGUGGCUGCCUUUGGUAGUCUAAUGUCAAUAAAAUGGAGUGUAUUUUUGGAAGGAAUACAAAUCAAACAUGGAGUCAUUUUUUAGAACUUUGGUUUCAACCUUCCCGGGAAAAUUUUGCAUGGAGUGAUUAAUAUAGUUUUCUGAAAAAGAACUUUAUUUUAAUUUCAAUCAAUUAACUUAUUCUUUGACUCCUUGCCCAUGAGGGGUAGGAAAAUCCAGUGUCAGUAGAACCACUCUAAUUUUUAUCAUUAUUAUUUUUUUAACUUCUCUUUGGAUAAUGGGCUGAUCAUGACACUAUUGAAAUCAAUCAGCUUCUUAUUCUUUUUUUUUUUUUUGUUCAUGACUGGGCUUAUUUCGAUGGAUUUGUAAGGCGUCACACUCUUGGCUAGGGACUGAGGGACCAAUUGCUCACAAGUUUUGAAAUGUUUAAUUUAUUGAAUUAAUUUGUUACACACCGAAAUCAUAUACACUUUUAUCAUUAGAUAUAUGAUGCAUAAUCUAAAAUUAAAUGUGAAAUUCAAAUUUUACAUAUGUGUCAUGUAUCUAAAUGUGAUAGUGUAUACACGAUAAGUACAGUAUAUAUAAAAGGGUUAUUAUCACUUUACCUCCUUAACUAUAUUACUACUACCAGUUUGCCCCUAACAUUAUCUUUUAGUCACUUUACCUCCAUAAGUAAUUCAACUCAAUACAUUAAGAAAUUUUGGACAAAAAUACCCUUUUAUUUUAUAACAUUACUACAUUGUUAUCGUCACUUUAUUCGUUUAGAUUAUAGUGAUACAAUACAAUCACUUUAGUUCCUAACAUUAUUUUCUAGGCAUUUUACCUCAUCAUUAAUCUAACUACUAUGGUCAAAAAAUUUUAAAUAUAUUUACCCUUUUUUAUAUAUAAUUAAAAAUAAAAAAGUUGAAAUGGUUAUUCUUCCUUUUUUUCACUUUAAAAGAUCAAAAAACAUAAAAAUAAAAGGGGUUUCUCAAAUUUCUUUUUUUCACACUUAUUAAUACUCGAAAAGAAAAAGAGAUGGGAAAGAAGGAGACAAAAAAUUAGAUUUUGCAAAAAAAGAAAGUAAAUAAAAGUAUAACAUUAUCGUAUUACUUUAAGGUUGUCGAGAUUAAGAUUGGAAUUUGGUAGUAAAUAGAAAUGUGAAAUAAUUUUAAAAUAAUAAAAGUAUUCAAUUCUUUCUUAUUUGUAAUUUUUAAAAAAAGAAUUGAACUUUCUCUCUCUCUCUCUCCCCUCCCCCUCUCCAUCUUUCUAUUUUUUUUCAAUAUUAAUAAAAUUGUCAAGAAGAAAGAAAUGAAUUCUUUGACUUUUUUUCUUGAUACUAAAAAGGAGAGUGGCGGAGCUAGGAAUUAACUUUGGGGGGGGAGUCUAUAGCAAUGAAAGUAAAAUAUAUUUACAAAAAAAAAUAAUGUAAACAUAUAUACCACAAGAUUAGAAACAACCUUAUAUAGAAUGAAAAGUACUUAUACAUUUCACAUAUACAAAAAUACCAUCAUAUUUACAAAUCUAUUUGACUAUGUGGGACAUAUGAAAUUGUGCACGACGACUUUUAAUUUUAUCAAAGUCAUCAAUGAUUGAAUUUAUAUCAAAAGUUCUAGCAAUUUCUUUCUUAAUAUACAUUAUCAUAGAGUUAGCAAGAAAGUCUUCCUCCAUCCUAGAAUGCAAACAAGUCUUGAUGAUUUUCAUAGCAGAAAAUGCACGCUCUGUUGUAGCUGUUCAAACAGGAAGAGUCAAAAUAAGAUGAAUCAAUCUAUCAAUAAGAGUAUAGCACAUUGACUUUCUUGUCUUUGCUAACACUUGGAACAACUCCUGAAGUGAUGACAAAUUUUGAAGCUGAGAAUUACAGGAAAACUCAAUCUGGAAAAGGUCUAAUUGAGUUCUUAAGUGUAACUUCUCUUGAUCUGUGAAGUCAGCUGAAUAAAACUUGUUUGCAAGUUGACAACUUUGUUCAAUAUUGAAAGCCUGAAAAUUAUCUUUGGGUGCAUUGCUAAACUAAGAAUAAGCAACUCUAUUAUAUCUUCCUUAAACCUAUUCUUCAUUCAAGUAUUUGAGAAUCAACCGUUGCCAAAAACACAUCAAUCCUGUAGUGAUGCUCCAUGGUAAUUGGAUCAUUUUGUUUUCGAAUUCUUCCUCGACCUGCUUUAUAAAUGACAUUCAUAUCAGGCACCUCUAUAUUUCGUGCAUCACAAAAUGUCUUUACAUUUGUGAACAAUUCAUUCCAUCCAUUAUCUCUGUAACUUUGAAGUCGAUCCUUUGUUACUGAAACCAAUUUAAGGGCAUUCAAAAUAUCUUGAGAUUUGCAUUGUAAAGCUUGAGAAAGUACUUGUGCAAAUCCUAAAAUGUCCCUCAUCAUAUGCAUAACAAGAACAAAAUCAAAGGAUGUUAUGAAAUCGUAAACUCUGUCAGCUUCCCUUCUUUGAGUUGAUGUAUUUCCAUAAUUGAUAACAUCAAUUAGGACAGAGCAAAUGUCUUCAUAUUCUAUGAAUAAGCUACAGAUAGAACUAAAAUGAGACCCCCAUCUUGUAGUCCCUGGCCGUUUUAAGGUACCAAUCUGAUUCUGACCCCUACCAGUCUCAAGUUCAUCAAUAGCAAUCAAUUCAGCAAUUCUAGCAACUCUAAGUUGGUCCACACGUUUGCAAGAAGAUGAAAUUAAAUUUAUAAGAAGAGAUAAGUAUGUAAAGAAUUGUUCCACAGGAAUUACCUCUUGAGAUGUUGUUACCAAUAUUAAUUGCAGCCGAUGAGCAAAACAGUGAAUAUAAUAUGCAUAGGGGCACUCCUGAAUAAAUAAUGCUUGCAGUCCAUUCCAUUCUCCACGCAUGUUACUAGCUCCAUUAUAUCUUUGGCCACGAAUGUUUUGCACACUAAGAUUAUGGCGAGAAAGGACAUCACAUAUCUCCUUCUUCAAAGUCAAGGAAUUGGUUUCGUGCACAUGAACAACGUCAAAAAAUCUCUCUUGAAUAUAGCCUUGCUUGUCCACAAAUCUAAGAACAAUAGCCAUUUGCUCUCUUUUUGAUCUAUCUUGAGCCUCAUCAACAAGUAUAGAAAAUUUUGAAUCACUAAUCUCCUCUCAAAUAUACUUUUGUAUCUUGCUCGACCAAAUGGAUAAUAUCUCCUUUUGGAUCGUAGGAGAAGUAUAAGAUGCAUUUCGAGGAGCAUUAUCAAGGACCACAGCAGCCACUUUUUCAUUAUAAGAAGACACAUGCUUGAUCAACUCAAUAAAAUUACCUCGAUUGUUAGAAUCUAAACUUUCAUCAUGACCCCUAAAAGCCACCGCUUGAAAUGCACACCAUUUUGCAGCAUCUAUGGAAACUUGAAAUUGCAACCGAUUUUUUGCAACCUGCUCAGAAUUUUGCUUCUCAAUAAUUUUAUCAAGAUGUUGCAAUGAGUUUCCCAAAUCAUGAUAGCAUUGCAUUGCCACUUUGUGUGAUGAGUUAGGAUCUUUUCCAAUGUGAUUUAAAAAAGCACAAUUUUUUCCAUCAUUUACCUUCUUCCAUGAUUUAAAUCCAUUAGUUGUGAAGGCCAUUGAUCCAAAACGGUCCGUUGGCUUGGAAAAAAGUGAGCAAGGAAGACAAAAGGCAGCCUUCUUUGUUGGAGAAAAUUCCAACUAAUCUGGAAACAAUUUAUACCAAGAGAAAAGGAAACGUCGGCCCUUCUUGUCAACAACCAUUGAUUCAAUCGGAAGCUCAGGUUGGUAUGGCCCAAACUUAAUAUAUGCUCUCCGUACCUCAACCCUUUGAUGCUCUAGAUAUUCCUAAAUGGAUUUUCGCUUUUCCAGGAUCACGUUCUAUGGAUGAAAUAUCAAACUCUAAUGAUUCAACUCUACAAAUUUUCUUUGUUUGAUGCUUAGGAGAAGAAUCACGAAGAGGACAAGGAGUUUCACUAUUUCCACUUGGUUCUAGAUGUCUUUUCUUGAAAAAAGAAUCAAUUGUCUUGUUGGCCAUUACCACUAUAUUUGCAACAAAACAACAACCUGUAAUCGAAAUAAAAUUGAUUGAGAAAUACUAGUUAUGGCCUAUAGAGAUGGGAAUUUGACCAAUGCAAAAAUUGGUUUCCCUAAUUCCCUUACAAAUUUCGGCCAUUCAGCCUGACUGAAAAGCCCGGCCAUCACCCAAGGAAGCCAACAGGAUCCUUAAAAUAAGAUUAGUAUGAAAAUUGGAAAAGGAAACCAGUCUCAGAAUCAACUAAAAUAAAUGCUUAUCACCCGAAUUCAGAAGGCCAAGUACGAAAAACAAUACAAGUCCCUCUCGAGCAAUUCAUCAAACAACUGGCGGGCGAACUUUUUACACCCACAUUUCACUAAAUAAAUGCAAUGUCAAACUAACCUGGUAAAUGGUAAUAGCUUGAAAUUUCAGAGCUUUUGGUACAUCCAGUUUCAAAGCCGCGCAUUUCAACUUUUGCAGAAAAAUUCGGGUGAGAACUGAGGAGUUACAAUUCUCUGCCAUAGAGUAUUAGCUUGUAUUUUGAAAUGAAAAAAAAAAUAAAAUUGGAGAUCGAAGAGGGAAUUGAAGUUGGGAAUUGAGAGUUGAGGCUUUUCUGUAAGAAGGAAAUAAGAGGUGAAUUGGUGAAAAACGGCAAUUGUAAAGUUUAGAAAAUAGUAGGUAAGUUAUUUGGACCAAAUCUGUUAUUCUCCGUUAAGAAAAUAGUGGCAAUUCUCUGUUAUUUGGACCAAGUCCAAAUAGCUUUCAAACAUUAUUGUUUGGGCCCUUGGGGGGGCAAAAUGAAUUUUUUGAUCAAUUUUGGGGGGGCAAAACAUAAUAAUAAAAAAAUUUUACUUAGAAUUUUUUUUUUUAACAAUUGGAGGGGGGCGGUUGCCCCCCGGCCCCCCUUCCCUCCGCCCCUGAGAAAAGCUACUCUAAAUUUUUUAUUAUUUUUUCAUGCAAAGAGGAGAGUAUUUGCUUCUAAAGUUUUUUAACUUGUUAAGUUGGUUUAAUGGUAAGAUAAAUUGUCUAAAAAAUAACUCUAGGGCCAUAAAUUGAUAAUGAGACUAUAGUUUAUGGGAGUAAAGUGAUAAUCAUUUUAGGGUUAAACACGUCUUUUCACUUUAAUUAACAAACUCCGUUUAGUUUGACCGUUAGUUUUGAGGGUAAAGUGACUAAAAGAUAAUGUUAAGGAGGAAAUUGAUAGUGACACCAAACGUUAAAGGGUAAAGUAAUAAUAAUCCUAUAUAAAAUUAACUCUAAUUUAUUAUGGUGAAUAACAAUAAUGAUUUAGCCUAAUUCCAAAACUCGAAUGAAAAGUGUAGGCUCGUAAUGCGGUAUAUCUAGUCCAUCAACUGGUGUCUAAAAUUGGUCAAGUUAUAAAACAAAAUGAGGGUCAAGGCAUUAGGAAUUAGAUGUCGUGGAUUCGAUUAUCAUGUAAUUAUAUUUAUAGAAAAGUGAUCGGUACGCUAAUCUAAGUCACGGUUGCAUGCGCUAGUUACAAUUAUUACACUGUUUUUUCAUACAAUUAUAUUAUCGUGUUGUACAUGUAAAUUUUACUCUUUUUAUUGGCAAAAAAUAUAAAUUUUGCUUGUAUAGACCAAAUAAUUAUAAAAAGGCAUAAUUUCAGAAACCUUUCUCGAGGUUUCUGACAAUUUCAUCUAGUAACCUUAAGAUUUUCAAUAUUACACUUACCUCCCUUGACCCUAUAAAAUGAUCAUAAUAACCUUAAUUUAUUAAUAUUUUUCAUACAAUUAAAUAAUACGCUCCUAAUCUUGUGCAUAGGAAUGCACCACACAAUUAAAUAUUUAAUAGAAACAAAAAAAGGUUUACUUUUAGAAUAACUAAUUAUAUCCUAAACAUAAUUCGAACAUAUUACAAAUUAAUUUUAACUUGACUUGAAAGAUCUAAAGAUGAAUAGAAGGAGAUGCAAGUUGAAGAUUUAAAUAUAACGGGGCAUAUAUUGGUACUCCAACAUUUGAGAGAUGGAUGUUAUAUUAAUACAGUUAGUCAAAUUUUUUAAAUUUUACGGUACUCUUUUUUUCUUUUGUAACUUAGAUUGAGAUUUUAGGAUUUUGGGACUGAGGUAGCGGUGGUCAUGAAGAUAGUGGUACUAAUUUGAGAUGUAAGAAUAUGAAAGGUUUAGAAUAGUAGAAAAAAGGGUUGAAAGUGGGUUUGAGGUUUUGUGCACAUUCCAUAUUUUUUUUUAUAGAAUUUUGUAAGAAAUAAAAUGAACUUUACAAUUUCAUAAGGGCAAAUUGGUUAUUCAUUCAAAAUUUUGAGCAUUGAAUAGUUUUUGUUACCUGAUAUUGCCGUUUGUUUAAAAAAAAAAAUAGUUUUUGUUACCAAAAUGAUAAAUUCAAGGGAGUUAAGUGCAAUUUUUUAAAUCUCAAGAGAACUAAGUGAAAUUGUUAAAAAUCUCGAGAGAGGUUUCUAAAAUUAUCCUCUAUAAAAAAUACAAUAAUUUAGGUAAGGAUACACCUAUUACAAGAAAUACAAUAACCGAACACAGCUGCACCUGCACAGGUAUCCCUAUUUCUACCAUCUCCUCUUAGGGUAGCUGGAUGUCUAUUGUAUCUUUUUUCGACAAACAUGCUGAGCCAUUCAUGAUGGUCGAUAAAUAUUGAUGGUCGGAGAAUUUCAAAUACCAUAUUGAAUUUUGCGUUAUUUUUUCCUUCUUUUUGUUUUUUUUCUCCUUUUAAAUCAAGAACAAACAAUUUGAAGGUAAACAGCCAUGUAGAGAAUCUCUCAAUUGUUGGUGGAAACCAUUCAUGUUAUCAGAAGUUGUCUUAAGCUUCGAAUUAUGCCAUGUUUAGAGGGCUAGAUGUCCAGCUCAUAUUCUGUAUACUUGCUCCUUUAUUUUUCUCGUAGCAUUUCCACUGAAACAUUGGCCGCCUCUGCAGCUGAUUUGAUUUAUUAAAUACAUGUUUCCCAUCAAGACAAAAUUGAAUUCCCAAUCUUUCCACAUUGCAGCAGAAUAUGAUCUAGAAUCCAGCUAUUCAAAUGAACCUUUUCACAUUGAACGUCGAAGUACAUUUCAACUAAAGGCUUCAGUUGAGAACUUCCCCAGUCGGUCGACCAAAUAUGAAUGCACAGCCAACUCUUCUUCCUUUUUGUUUUGUUUAGUCUGAAUGCUAUUUGGCAGAGUUUAGCAGAGACAACAGAGCAUUUUUCAUUUCACACACACACAGAGUAUGUAUAUAUAUAUAUAUAUAUAUAUAUAUAUAUAUAUAUAUAUAUAUAUAAUUUUCCAUACAUGUCAUGUAUCCAAUCGUGAUAGUGUAUUUAUUCAUGCAUCCAAUCGUGAUAGCAUAUACACUGUCAAUAUAUAUAAGAUUAAUUAUGUAUUGUGUAUACACACACAUAUUGGUUCUUCUUUUUAUUUACCAAAGCAAAACUGUUCCCUUCCUUUUUUUUUUGGUUUGCAUUCUUAGUAAUGCUGAGAGAGAGAGAGAGAGAGAGAGAGUUCAAUUUUUUUUUAAAAAAAAGGAAAAAUAAGAAAGAAUCUAGUAUACUUAUUAUUUUAAAAUCACUUCUUAUUCUUCCACCUACCACCCAAUUCCAACACAAACAAUCUUAAAGUAAUAAUAAUAUUGAAUUCCUUUUUAUUUUUCUGCUUUCAAAAAUUGUGCUUUUGUAUCCUUCCGUCCCAUCUCUCUAUCCCCUUUUUUUUUCAUUCCCUUGACAUUAGUAACAGUGAAAAAAAGAGGAGACAAAUCCUUUUUCUUUUUUUUUUUUUGGGUACGCUUAGAGUGAAAAAAAAAGUGAAAGUUGAUAGGUUGCAAUUCUAUCAUUUAUUUUAUAAUUAAUUUCUCCUAUUACCUGACUUGAUGUGGAUUAAUUGCGGGAUUCUACUCACUUUUAGUAUUUUGCAUUUAUUUCAGGGAAUAGAACGAAAAUAUAAUAACAGGUGCUAAUUUGACAGAAAAAGAGUCCAAGGCACAGAGCUUAUCCCGGGGGCAUUAUUGGCAAAGGAAGACUUUUGCCCAUUUUGGUAAUUUCAAAAGAAGAGAGCAGGGCAGAGGCCUCUAUUUUACUGGAGGCUGGAGCGCCGCACAAGGUGUGCUUCUUCUUCCUUCGGAGGCUCCGUCCUCUCCGCAAGGGGGCUGCCGCACACAGUAGCCAUUAGAAUAGGAGCAAUUGAUAUAUGGCAGAGAAUGAGCACUAGCACCAGGGAGUUGCCUUUGUUGACUUUUCUUCCUUUUUAGUUCUUAGUAGUUGUUUUACCUUCCUCGUACGUAGGACCUUUAGCAUAGUUUUCCUUUUGACUUUUCCCUUGAGUCUUGGGUGGAUGUCUCCUGCGCAUGUCAGGAGCAAUUGAAGGUCUUGGUCACUUUCUAUAUUCUUCCAUCAACUGAGCGAACUGAGCUCCCUUGGUCAAGGACAAUGGCUGCGGCUUCCUCUCCAACUUUGCGUGGGAUUUGUUCACCAGGAAUGAACUAAUUUUUCUUUUCUAGUCAAGGAACAACGGAGGUCUUGGUUGGCCUAAAUUUGUGAGAUCGAUUUAAUUUUAUCUUUUUCUCUUAUUUAUUGGUAUUGGCAUAUUCUUUGAUUGCAGUGCUUAUGGUUAUUUAAUUAAUUGAUUGUCUUGGAUCCGGAUAAUUAAUCAAUUUAAUAAUCUAUUGUCAAUUGAGGGAUUGAAUCCGUAAUUGUUUAAUUGCCUCAAAAUAGUGACAACUGGCAUAAUUAGACUUGUGUCAGGGGAAUACGCGGGCUAAUCUAAAAUAACCCUGGUAGUGCGUUAUUUGAUUAGAAUAGGGCUCCUCUAAUACGUAAGGCAAUUGGGAAAUUAAAUUCUAUGGGCGUACCUAGGAUUAUUUCUCAAUUAGAGCAGUGAUUAACGGGCGUACCUUAAUCAUCGACACAGUAAGGAGGGGUUGACUGUCUUCGCUUGUUUGGCAGUUAUAACCUAUUUAUUGAUAAAGAAUUGGAAUUGCCUUUGCUUAUCGAUGAUCAAUUAGGUGAACCAUUGCUGAAGUUAUUCCUUGGCUAGAUCCUUUGAUUUUGGUAAAUUGUUAUUUUAAUUUCUAGUUGGCUAUUUUAUUUUUAUUAUUUUACUCUUAGUUGGAUUGUUUAAAUUGUCACCUCUGAGAUAAAAACACCCCCUUGUCACUGAGAAUUCGAAAAGAAACAAUUACUCCAGUCCCUGUGGAUUCGACCCUACUUACCGCUAUCUACAGAAAUUAUUUUUAGUUUGAGCAGGUUUUAUUAUUGCACAGGUUUCGACAACCUGUCAAUUUUUGGCGCCGCUGCCGGGGACUGGUGUCAGAUUAAUUUGUUUCCUUUUGAGUUCAUUUUGUUUUCAUUUUUUAUUUAUUUUUUCUCUUAUUUUUUUGAUAUAGUUUAUGGCUUCUAACACUCCGUAUUUUGGUGAUGUAUUGGAUUUUAUUUCCGGGCAAGGCGAUGAGAUUUGUUUUUUUCCUGAGUUGGCAUAUGCAGAGGCAGUAAACUCUAUUAGAAAAAGAAUGGCUGCUGCAACAUGUAAAAUUUGUUAUGCCAGGGAUCAUUCAACCAGUAUGUGCCCCGAAUAUCAAGAUAAUCUGAGUGUUCCACUCAAUAAUUAUGGAGAUUUUUCACACUGGUCUCAAACGGGGUAUAACCCUAAUCCAUAUGGGUAUGAUCAAGGAGGGUGGGAUAACUCCAAUUAUAAUUAUCCAACGGGCCAAUGAAUUUUCAGCAGUAUGAGUCUCAAGAAUCGGCAUCUAUGUCAGGUAUGUCUCUUGAAGAAAUAGUUAAACCAAUAGCUACUAACACAUACCAAUUCCAACAGGAGACACUAAUGGAGAAUGAGAUGAUGAAGGAUGCAUUAAAUUAUCUGGCAGAUCAACUACGUCUAUUGACAUCCAGAAUAAAUCGAUGGGCUUCUCAAAUGGAAAAUUGCCCUCGAAAAUCGUUGUUGAUCUAGAAGAAAACGAGAGUGCAAUUUGCUUGACUAGUGAUGAGGAGAUGCAAGAGUGUCAAAAUGAGGAAUCUACAGAUGCAGUUGAAAAAGAAGCCAAAAAGAAAGAAAUGGAACCCCAACCGCAACCCAUUCACGUGAAAGAAUCCAGUGAACAAUCUCCAAAUGCGGUGACAUCUUCUCCACUCCUUCAUCAAUAUUCUCCUGACUCUUACUCUUCAAUUCCUGUUAACGAAAUUGACUUUAUUAUACCAGACAAUUUUGAAUUUCAUGACAGGAAUAAAUUAAGAGUGGCGAUGGCGAGAUAUCUUGAACCAAUAAAUGCAAGUGAGGGAGAAGUGAAUGGAGAAUGCAAAUUAUCAUCGACUCGUUUGGCGCCAUUCACUAGUCCAUGGAUGCCCGUAGCUCGUAUGCUCAAGGAUUAUUCUAUUUACGAGGGUUAUCAGGACUAUAUAGAGGAUGAAGCAUUAAAACGAGCCACACGAUUUUAUCCUCCAUGAACAAAACAUGAUAAUGUCUAGCCAAAGACAUUAAAGAGAGGCGCUCAUUGGGAGGCAACCCAAUUGUUCCUUUUAAUUAUUUGUUUGAUUUCGUGUGAUAGUUUAAAUAUGUUUUUCUUGAGUUUGAUUGGUUUUGGGUGUUAAUUUUCGUUUUUGCUGAUUUGUAGGUGACCUUCAGUCAUGACGCACCCGCGUGGUGACGUGCAUGAAGCUCACGAUCAGAAACUUCUGGGAGCUCUCUUGCCCUCAUGACGCGCCCGCGUGGUGAUGUGCAGGAAGCUCACGAUCAGAAACUUCUGGGAGCUCGCUUGCUCUCUUGACGUGCCCGCGUCACGUUCGCGGGAAAGGUAAGGAUUCAAAAAAAAAAAGGAAAAAAAAAAGAGAAAAAUUUCUCAACCGUAGCUAGGUUUCUCAAUAAAAAAUUUUUUUUUUCUUUUUUUCUUCUGCUUCCCUUUUCACCGUAGCUCAGUUUUCCAAAAAAAAAAAAAAAUUUUUCUUUCUUUCUUCUUUCUUCUUUCUUUCUUCCUUCUCUCCUGCUCUCUCUCUGUUGUCCGAAUCCCUUUUGCUUUCCGCCUACUCGCGCCGCCCACCUCACUCACGCCGCCACCUCGCGUCUCGCGCGAAGGACCAGCCAGCCAUCCACUUCGCACCUCGCUGCCCGCCUCUGCUGCCCACGUAGCCGCUCGCCCCUGCUCCACCCUUGACCACAGCCACGCGCCUCACUUGCGCGCGCCUGAAGCCACCCGCCACUGUCACCUUCAGUUUGGUUGUCAUCUACGGUGGAGGUAAUUUGGAACUUGCCCCCCAAUCUCUUAAUAACUAAUUGGUACUGUCGGGGUUUUUUCAUAGUUAGCAUUGUUGACGGUUGGAAUUUAUUUUCUCAAUUGGUGAUUUCCGCCAGUGGUACUGGUCGGACUAUUGUUGAUUGGAACUGCUAUUUCUUUUGGGUUGGGUUAAAUUGUGCAAUUCAUUGGCCAACUGGAGCCAUUUGUUGGGACUUUGGGUGAGCUGAUUGCUGUGACUGUUUGUUAACUUUGGAGGACACUUUGGACCUCAUGUUGCUUGUGGACAUUGGUUGACUAGUUGUGAAUUGCUGGGCAUUAUUUUGCUUGAAUUGCUGGAUAACUCGCUGAGGUUUCUUUUGGGAUUUUGGUUGAGUUAUUUCUGAAAUUGCUUGUGAAUUAGAGGGGCUGGCCGCAUGAAUUACUUGCUAAAAUUCUUUUGUUUGUUAUUAAUUGGGUUACUACUGGGAGAGUUUUGCUUUGUUGUUUGCUGAGUUUCUUUUGCCAGUUGCUUCUGCUGGUUUCUAUACUUGUGGGAUCUUCUGUUGCUUUGAACUGACUGUUGGGACUUUGGGUGAGCUGAAAUACCGCACUUGUUUGUUAAAUUGGGAGGUUUCUAUGCCAUUUACAUUGCUUAUUCCAAUUGGGUGCAUCUGAUUGAAUUGCUGGGGUUGCUAAUUGCACUGUUUUGGGUUGUUUUGCUGCCUUGGUUGUUGACUGGAUUUAAGUUAACAAUUUGAAGAAUACUCUGCCCGUUUGUUUCACUUGGUUGACGUUUUGGGUGGCACGAGGGCACUUGAAUCUACUCGUUGACUUAGGUCCAAUUUAAGUGAUUAGUCGGUGCCAAGAUGGCUGCUGACUUAGGUUGCUAUUUGGGUGACUGUUUGAUUGAGAGCUGAGUAUUUUUAUUGAUUUGUUACUGUCUAAUUUCUGCAUUGCUAUUGCUGAUUUUGAGUUCAAACGGUAACUGGCCAAUUGGAGCUAUUUGUUGAGAUUUUGGGUGGACAGAGUUUUGCAUUUGCUAGUUGAAUUGAGUUAGAUGUCUCAGCACUUGGGUGCAUAUUUCCGUCACAUCGGUUUUCCUCCACCAUUCCCGCCUAUCCCUUCACCACUCAAGAGGGAAGUUUCAUUGUUCUCUUCACUCUAAUUACUUUAUUACCUCCAUUGAGGACAAUGUAGGAUUUAGGUGUGGGGGGGAGCAGUUAUGGUGUUAGUUUUUCUAGUUCUUAGUUUUCAGAUAUUUUUCUUUUAUUUUUAGUCUGUUAUUUGUCUAGUUUUCGUUUACUUUUUGUCAUUUAUCUGUCUAGCUCUCCUAUGACUGCCAAGUUUGAUGUUGGAUUAUUGCCUUUAUUUCUACUUUUGCCAAGUUUUAAUAAUAAAAGGAUAUCCAGUUCACGUGGUUGAAUUCAAAAACAUCUCUUUGGUGAAUAUCGAUGAUUGUUUUACUCUUAUAAUUUUUGGUUAACUUUCCUAGGCAUAGGGAAUGAUUAUUGGCAUUUUCAUGUGAAUUGGUCCGGUUAUUAACUUUAGUUCUCCAUGUUUGAAAAUGAGGCUAGCUGAUACAAGUUUUCUUUUGGUUCUUGUGUUAUAUUGAGUUUUUGUGAUUUUUAGCUAUGCAUAAACUUGACUGUACUCCGCUAUUAGUUACUACUGAAUAACCGGGGAUUUGCACCUAAAAGUGUCGAUUCUCGCGUCAAAAAGUAGUAAUUGCUAUGAGUACGUGGUCACGUGGCGAUAGAAGCUGAGUAACCGGGCUCCCAUCUGGCCAAGUUCGCGUCAAAAGGCUCUAAUGGCUAGCGACUAAGUCUUUUGUUACUAUUCAAAAAAAAAAGAGAGAAAAGUAGAAAAAAAUGUGAAAAAAAAAGUGAAGGUUGUGUUAGUGUGUAAUAAAAGUCAGCUUGCCGAAUUAUGGAUUUAAUGUUGAGAUUUUGGUUAAUAGUUGGACCAUUUGCUGAUAAAUGUUAUGCGUUAUUCCUUUUUCUUAGAUUAGUUAUCCUGAAAUUAGAGAAGUUUGUGGUUUAGAAGCUAACCGGAGUGAUGUUUCUUGGACUUGACUAUUGAUGCUUGAUUAUUAUUUUUCUUGGUAUCUUGGCAAUAUGGUAGAUGGAGUAAUGACCAUUGUCAAAUAUUGGUGUUUAUUUGAUGUUCUCAUGCUUGAGGACAAGCAUGGUUUAGGUGUGGGGGAAUUGAUAGGUUGCAAUUCUAUCAUUUAUUUUAUAAUUAAUUUCUCCUAUUACCUGACUUGAUGUGGAUUAAUUGCGGGAUUCUACUCACUUUUAGUAUUUUGCAUUUAUUUCAGGGAAUAGAACGAAAAUAUAAUAACAGGUGCUAAUUUGACAGAAAAAGAGUCCAAGGCACAGAGCUUAUCCCGGGGGCAUUAUUGGCAAAGGAAGACUUUUGCCCAUUUUGGUAAUUUCAAAAGAAGAGAGCAGGGCAGAGGCCUCUAUUUUACUGGAGGCUGGAGCGCCGCACAAGGUGUGCUUCUUCUUCCUUCGGAGGCUCCGUCCUCUCCGCAAGGGGGCUGUCGCACACAGUAGCCAUUAGAAUAGGAGCAAUUGAUAUAUGGCAGAGAAUGAGCACUAGCACCAGGGAGUUGCCUUUGUUGACUUUUCUUCCCUUUUAGUUCUUAGUAGUUGUUUUACCUUCCUCGUACGUAGGACCUUUAGCAUAGUUUUCCUUUUGACUUUUCCCUUGAGUCUUGGGUGGAUGUCUCCUGCGCAUGUCAGGAGCAAUUGAAGGUCUUGGUCACUUUCUGUAUUCUUCCAUCAACUGAGCGAACUGAGCUCCCUUGGUCAAGGACAAUGGCUGCGGCUUCCUCUCCAACUUUGCGUGGGAUUUGUUCACCAGGAAUGAACUAAUUUUUCUUUUCUAGUCAAGGAACAACGGAGGUCUUGGUUGGCCUAAAUUUGUGAGAUCGAUUUAAUUUUAUCUUUUUCUCUUAUUUAUUGGUAUUGGCAUAUUCUUUGAUUGCAGUGCUUAUGGUUAUUUAAUUAAUUGAUUGUCUUGGAUCCGGAUAAUUAAUCAAUUUAAUAAUCUAUUGUCAAUUGAGGGAUUGAAUCCGUAAUUGUUUAAUUGCCUCAAAAUAGUGACAACUGGCAUAAUUAGACUUGUGUCAGGGGAAUACGCGGGCUAAUCUAAAAUAACCCUGGUAGUGCGUUAUUUGAUUAGAAUAGGGCUCCUCUAAUACGUAAGGCAAUUGGGAAAUUAAAUUCUAUGGGCGUACCUAGGAUUAUUUCUCAAUUAGAGCAGUGAUUAACGGGCGUACCUUAAUCAUCGACACAGUAAGGAGGGGUUGACUGUCUUCGCUUGUUUGGCAGUUAUAACCUAUUUAUUGAUAAAUAAUUGGAAUUGCCUUUGCUUAUCGAUGAUCAAUUAGGUGAACCAUUGCUGAAGUUAUUCCUUGGCUAGAUCCUUUGAUUUUGGUAAAUUGUUAUUUUAAUUUCUAGUUGGCUAUUUUAUUUUUAUUAUUUUACUCUUAGUUGGAUUGUUUAAAUUGUCACCUCUGAGAUAAAAACACCCCCUUGUCACUGAGAAUUCGAAAAGAAACAAUUACUCCCAGUCCCUGUGGAUUCGACCCUGCUUACCGCUAUUUACAGAAAUUAUUUUUAGUUUGAGCACGUUUUAUUAUUGCACAGGUUUCGACAACCUGUCAAAAGUUUUUCCAAAAUUUGUAUUGUUUUGACUACAGAUUGGGAGAAGGAUAUUUUCAUUAAGAAAUUUUCAACAUAUUGAGUUGCUUAAUGGUGGAGUGAAAUAUUUAAGAAAUAACGUUAGGUGGUAAACUGAUAGUAGCACUAUAGUUUUAGGAAGUAAAAUGAUGAUAGCCCUGUAGUAGUGCAUAAGAGAUGAGGGUACUCUUCUUCUAAAAUUUUCAACAUGUUGAGUCGGUUUCGGUAGAAGUAAAGUAGCUAAAAAAUAACGUAAAUGGGUAAAUUAAUAAUCAUGCGAAUGGAUAAAUUAGUAAUAGUGCUAUAGUUUAACCGAGUAACGUGAUAAUACCAUUUUUCUUGUCCCCAUUUCCAAGAAGUAACAAACAUGUAAUUAGUUACAAAUCUUAUUCGAAAGUUCCAAUACCACUCUUAUAAGCUUACAAAGAGAAAAAAAAUGUGUUGCUUUUUUUUCCUUACAGAAGAAUUUGCUUAACAACAAUAAACUAAUCUAUAUAUAUAUAUAUAUAUAUAUAAUAUAUAUAUAUAUAUAUAUAUAUAUAUAUAUAUGAAAAUACCUAUUUUAAUUAGAGUAUUUAUCACUCCUAUGUGGCAUGCUUAAUUGAAAAGAAUUAACGAGUUAUGGAUCAUUUGGAUUUUACCCUUAUUGAAUAUUAUAUUAUAUGUUUAAAAAAUUGUCCCUAAUUUUAAAAUAAAUUUAAAAAAUAACUUAUCUUAUCUUAAUGAUAUCUAAAAUGACUUUUAAAAUAAGUAAUCUUAUUUUAAUGAUAUUUGCUUUCUAUCAAAUUAUUAUAUAGAACUAUAGUAAACCCUUUUCAAAUUAUAAUUAGUAAAAUCUUACAUAUUCCAUAAAUUACUUCCUUUCAUCACCAUAUUGUUGAUUAGUAUUCAAAUUACUCAUCAUCUCUUUCCUUAAUUUUGAAUUAACUUAGUGUAAAAAAGAGAAUUAAUUAUUGCAUCGACAGAAUUACCAAUAUUGUUAGAAACUAAAUAUUUAUUAAUGAAAAAAAGUGGAUUGCUGGAACUUUUCUACUUAAUUAAAUGUGAAUAUAUAGUUAUAGAUUUAUGAUUAUUAUAAAAAAAGAAAAAAUCGUUCAAAACAUCUCUCAUAUUUUAUAAAAUGAUUUUUUCGUCCCUCACUUUUAAAAGUGUAUUUUUCGUCCCUUACAAAUUCACAUUGGUCAAAUUUGACGCCUACCUAAGUUUUCAACUAAUUUUUGGCAGGAAUUCAUCAAGUGCCUUGCAUAUGAUCAUUUUUAAGGGUAAAAUGGUCAAAUUAAAAUUUACCUAAUUCGAUCUAUAAUCCCUUAUAUUUUACAAAAUGAAUUGUUUCGUCCCUCAUAUUUCACAAAAUAAAAUUUUUAAUUCCUCAAAUUUCAGAAAAUAAAUUUUUCCAUCCCUCAUUGACCAUGUGUACAAAUAAUUUUUUUUUAAAUCCAUGUAUAUAUCUAUUUGAUUUUACCCAAACAGUACGAAUAUCAUGUAAUAUAUCUCUAUUUGAUUUCAUUUAAACAGACUAAUUGUAAUUGUAUACAUGCUAUUCAAUAGAUAUAUACAUGGGUUUAAACUUAACAAUAUUGGUUUAAACCCAUAUAUAUUUAUUUAUUUGAUUUCACCAUGUGAAUCUAUUCAAUAUUUAUAACCUUUCACUUUUGGUAAUAAUUCAUUUAUUGAAUUGUGUAAUAAGGCUAUCUAAAAAUCGAUCCUAAUUCGAAUUCUAUAAUCAUGCUAACAAAUUACAGUUUAAAUUUAAAAUUUUUACUCACUACCUUUAAGUUUUUGCCUUGUGAUUGUCGUAAAAUUUGAAAGUAUCAAUCACUUACUUUUUUUGUCAUACUUUUCCUUUGUGUAUUUUUCUGUCCAAAUUUAAUUCGAUAUAAACACUUGACAAUGUUUAGGAUUAAAUGUCUUCUUUAUUUUCAAUUUUCGAGUAAAAGGAAAUGAACAUCAGUGAAAAACUAACAAUUUUUAAACCCAUAUAUAUAUAUAUAUAUAUAUCUAUUUAAUUUCACUUAAACAGUACGUUCAAGCGAUCAAAUAGAUAUAUACAUGAGUUUAAAAAAUAUUUAAUUUCACUUAAACAGUACGUUCAAGCAAAAUCAAAUAGAUAUAUACAUGAGUUUAAAAAAAAAAGUUAUUCGUAUACAUGAUCAAUGAGGGAUGAAAAAAUUUAUUUUUGUGAAAUGUGAGGACGAAACAAUCCAUUUUUGUGAAUGUGAGAGAUAAAAAAAUUUCAUUUUGUGAAAUGUAAGGAACUAUGGAUCGGAUUAUGUAAAUUUGGAUUUAACAAUUCUAUCCUUAAAAAAUGAUCACGUGCAAGGCAUGUGGUGAAUUUCGACAAAAAAUUAGUUGAAAAUCUAGAUAAGGACAAAAUUUGAUCAAUAUAAAUUUAUAAAGGACGUAAAAGUAUACUUUUAAAAGUGAUAGACGAAAAAAAUCAUUUUACAAAAUAUGAGGGAAGUUUUAAAUGAUUUUCCCUUAUAAAAAUUUAAAUUAUCUUAAAGAAUGUUUUAAAAAAAAAUAUCUAUCAAGUUUUUGAUAUGAGAUACAUUAUUUAAUAUAUACUAUCAUAUUAAAGUGAAAGUAUGUAAAUAAAUUUUUAAAAAUCAGUAAAUAGUUAAACAUUUAGAGUACAUUAAUUUUUUAAAGUGAAUAUGAAUGGACAUGUACGAUUGUUAUUAAUUUUCAUAUUUAAAUUAUUCAUAUUUAUAUAAAUUCACAAUAAAAAAAAGACCCGUACUAAGUUACGGGUAAAAUUCUAGUGGUUCAUUAAGACGUUAUUUGUUGAAGCUCCUGACUUCCACCAGGGAACUCGGAAUGUGCAAUUGUACGUCUACAAAAACACUCAAAUUAUUUUCGAUUGGCAGUUUCUGCACAACAAUAUUCUUUUGAAACAAAUUCUCCCAAAAAGAAGAGCGCAUAGCAGUAACUAAACAAAUCUGUUCCCUAAGCUUUUUCUUACACUCGUAACAUUUGACAAUCGAUGCGUGUAACUCCAACAUUGUCCUUCAAAUCGAACCAUUCAGGCCGCAUUGCUUUUCUACUCUUGAGGGCUCGUGUUAAGAAAAUUAUACAGAAAUGGGGCUUCACGAAUUUCAUUCGCACAAGGUGGUAUAAAUUAACAAUAUACUCUCAAUUUACACCAAAUUGCUUUCAACUUAUAUUAAAUGAUAGUAAUCAACUUAUAUCAAAUUGUACUUAAUUUAUACAAAAUAAUAACAAAUCAACAUACUUAUUUAAUAUGAACAAAUCAACAUGCUUAUUCAACCACCUAUUACCACUAUCGAUCAUUGCCACCACAUCUUUCCUCCUCCCUCAUCCUCUCUCCUUCCCCUUCCCUUCCCUUCCCUUUGUCCCUAGUAUGGUGGGCUGCGACCAGACCAAGGGGGAGGGUAGGCCGCGACUAGACCAAGAAGGAAGAGAGAGGAAGGACUGCGAAGCAGGGGAGGGGAAAAGGGAGGAAUAAGAGGGAGGAGAGAAGAGAGAGGAGAGAGGAGUCGCAGUAGUGAUAGUGGAUGUGGAGGAGAGAGGAGUGGAGAAAUGGUAGCGACGAUAGAUGGUAGUGUGGGUGGCUGGUGAUAAUGAGUGGAAGAAGAAAAAGGUGAUAGAAUUUGUUAUUUUUCUUUUUAUUUUAUUUUAUUUUAUUUUUUGUAAGUUGUAUUUGAGAUUUUAGAGUUAUUUUUGAAGUUGUUUUUGAAAUUUGGUAUUGUAUGUCAUAAAUAAAUAACACUGUGGGGAAAAUAAUAGUUAAUAAGUUUUAAAGAAGAAACUCUUUAAUUUGGGCCAGAAUGUUUCCAAGCCCAAAGCCAAACAAAAAAAAUAUCUUAGCUUGAGUCAGGUUUAUCUAACUGAAAUGGAUCACGACCAAGCCUAAUUAAUAUUUAUAGUUUGGGCCAAGACUUGGGUUUCCAAAAGAACCCAAUUGAAACGCUACAUACUAUAAUUUGUACGCACAACAAGAACUUGCAAGGCCAUUAAAAGGACAAAUGGUUAGAAGUGUGAUUGUUUUCUUCAUUUGAGAAAACAAAACGAAGAUGUCAUAGUUAUUGUAUGAAUCUCCUCAAUUCCCCAUUUCCACUUUCCGCUUCUUUGAUCACAGUAUUCCAUCCCUUCCAAACAGGACAAUAAAUCGGAUCAAUCACCUUGAUACUCGACUCGAAUCAAACUCGUUCAAACUUGUUUAUUUAGGUAUCAAUCCAAAUUCGAACAUAAUUUUAAACUUGAAAAUAUUAACAAACAAAUUACGAUCUUCAUAUUGUUCAACUCUAUAUAUUCAGGAACAUAUAAUAUAAGUAAAUUUCAUAAAAAUAUGUCUAAAAUUUCCUUCCUGAACUUCACUUCUUUCCUUCCGUAUAUUGCUUAUCUUAUUAAAUAACAAGCAUAUAAUACUUAUAUCUCUUAAAUAGGCAUAAUUGAUUUUAAUCAUAUCCAUAAUUUAUCAUAAUAGAUUUCUUGAAUAGGUAUAAUUGACUUUAAUCACAUCCCUAAUUCAUCGUAUAGAUUUCUUGAAAAUCAUGGGGCAAAAAUUAAGGGAAAAAAGCAAUAAAUUAGGGUGAAAAUCUUUAUUUAAUUCAACAUAAAAUUUCAAGUCAUGCUAAACCGAGCUUUGAUUGUAUGUGCUUGACUUCGAUACUAAGAUAAGGCAAGCCAACUUUUUAUGAACAUACAUUAGAAAUUUCAAGCCAAACUUGAUCAAUUUCUUUCAAAAAAUUGUCAAAUACAAGACAAGUUCAAAGAUUACUUUUAAUCUUCAAACCAAUUUUGAACAUACUUCUGUCCAACUCAAUGACACUUGUUUUCAGCCCUAUUCUCCAACUAUAUAUAUACACACACACAUCCUAUAUAUAUAUAUAUAUAUAUAUACACACCUAUACACAUAUAUAUAUACACAUACAUUGAUCAACUGACUCUUUAAUUGAUUUAUACAUUACAAACCAGGAAACAGUUCACACGCCAAUCUCAAUUGUGAUACUAUUAUUCUCAAAUUAAUCCAUUUAAAUGGGAAAAAAAGACAAAAUGGAAAACCAAAUAUCUUCACUUAUCACAAUGCAACAGUUAUAUUCUUUUGUUCUUGAUGUUGGUUCUAGGUCAAAAUAAUCAUAUAGGUAACAAUAAUUUCUCUAAUAAAAUUUAACAAAGAAAUUAACAAAAAUCUCAUACCUCAAUAUUGCAUUAAAAAUGCAAAUAAUUUGUACCAUAAAAAGUUAUUUUGGCGUGGGUUGCGGCAUGGACUAGGUCGCUCUCUUUAAGACGAUUCAUGCCUCUACGAAGUAUCCUCCAGUGUAGUAGGUUUCAGCAUGUCACCUCUAGGAUACAAUAGCCCAACCUAUCUCAUUGUAGCCUACUCCAAUCUACACUAUUGGAAUAUGACAGAAAACCUUACAUAACACCGUUCUUUCUUAUAAACUCUUAUAGUAGUGAGAUGAAGAAAAAUAGAAGAUAAUCUAAAACAGCAAAAUACGUGUAAGACUCGGUGGAUAGAAAUCUCUAUUUAUAGACUGAGAAUUAGGAGUAUUAAAAUACUAACAUUAAAAGGAAUUAGUACCUCAUAUUUUCAGCUACAAAUUGGCAAUACACAUGCACUCAAUGAAUUCAUAAAACUAAUCAUCGCAUAGGUUACACACUUCAAGCUAUAAGUUACACUUUUCAAUGAUUGAAUUUGUAGCUGAAAUUUCAUUAAAGAAUUUGUAAUUUAUUGUGUUUGAAUUUCAAAUAAACAUGUGACAUUUUUAAUUAAAAUAUCUAACAAUCCCCCACUUAUUUAAUAAAAAAUAAUAUAGUGUUCAAUACUAAACACUUAAUAGGGCAAAGAUUAAAAGUUCAUGCAUAAUAAAGGUGGCAGUGCCUUUAAACCUUCAUUUAGCAUUCAACAAUUCCUGUACUAAAGUGAAGGUGGAUUUAGCCUUUAAACGAUGGCUACUUGAGGGCACGUGGAAUCAUAUCACAUACAUGAACCUUUCAAUGUUCUAAAACAGGUUUCAUAAGCAAACACAUUUAUGGCCUUGUGCUUUAUUCUAGUUUUCAUGACAACCCUAGAGAACUAAUCCAAAUUCUCGUAGGAAACAACCCCCGUCCACAAUUAUAUAGGUGAAUCUAUCAAGAAUUCUCCCAUGAUUUAGACAUCCUACCCAUAAGGGCUACCCAUAAGGACUUGAAAUACUCAACCUCACUUAUCGUGAUUCCAUCACUAAUGCACUUACGCCAUAGGGAUAGACAAUUUAAUCAAAAUAAUGCAUAUUAAUCAAUCAAACCACUCUAUGAUUUGUUUGUCUCCAACCUAGUUCUUGGGAUCUCCAGUCCCUAAGCAAUUGUAUUCUCGUAGACGAUUUUUAAUAUAUAUUGGGCUUUUGUCAUAUCCCCUUCGAUGUAUAUCAUAUCUUUGACUUUAAUUUGAGAUUUAUCUUUUACACAAAUAAAAUAGCAAACAUAUGAUGUUCUCGAAUUUUUCCAAAUAAUCUCUCUUAGUGGGCCAAAUAUAUUGAAUCAAUCUCUAGUGAGAAAAUUUCUCAUCUAUUUAUAUUUGCCAAAUAGUAUAGGCAUAUUUGUUCAUAUUCAACUUUUUCACUUUUUUCUCAAUGGCUAGUAGUCUAGUAGCGCACUAGAAGCCCUUCUCAAAAAACUCCAUGGUUAUUUUUGCUUUUGCAAAAAUACCAAGAAAAUAAUUCAAAUACCUUCACAUCAGGUCAUACUUUUCAGUGAGUGCUAGUCUACAUAACUCAAAAAAAGAGUGAAAAUAAAUCCAAAAAAAAAAUAAUGUUAUACUCAUAAAUUGAGCAAAUAAAAUGAUAUCUCAUUAUUUUUUCACCACUUCCACUAUCACGGUGUUUUAUUUCAAAAAUACAUUUAUCAAGAGUUGCACACGAGACAUCAAAAUGGUAGCAAAUUUUAAAAUAUAUUAAAAUCCUUCACCUUCCAACAGAGGAGCAGUAAUGCAUACUAUCACUUCAUAAUGCUCCAAUUCCGACUUUCCUUUUCAUCAAUACAUGCCAACAAAUAAUAAUAAUUUAAGGAAGGCAUUAAUGUAUGCAAAAAAUAAUUUGAGAUAGUCACUUGACAAAACUAUUGCUUAUAGCAAUUAAGAACAAAUUUCAUACUAGCCAUAGAGAUUUACUUACCCCCACUAUUUAUCAUAUUUCUAUAGGAUGUGAUGAUUUGAGAUACAGUCUAUUAUAGGAUUAAAAAAGAUAUUUGUUCUAAGAUUACUGCACAUAGAAUGACUUAAGUACUCAAGGGCUUAAUGCCAUUAUCAAUCACUAGAUCUAUUGACAGUUAUCCAAAGCUAAUAAUUUGUACCAGUUAUCACCAACAAGCAACUAUGAUACUCGACUAUGAAAUUUUAAAACCAGAGAUGUGGCAUCUCAAAGGAGUGAGAAAAAUUAGGUCUAGGUACAAAAUAUGUCAAUAAUCGAAAUUGUAGAGAAAGACAUUUUUCAUAAGCUAAGAUAAUUGACAAUUUCAAAUUUUGUACAAAGUAGCAUGUUUAGUUUCUCAAAUUUGUUCUUAUAUUGCCACAAUAUCUAGCCUCUAACUUUUCAGGUUACUCACAAACUAAUAAGCAACAAAAACUUAGCUAAGACUCACUAAUGCACCUGAGUCUAAAGGAAACCACAAAUCCAAUGAUUUUUCCUUAAUCACGCUAGUCAAGAUUAAGCAAAAAAUUCUUUUGCAAUAAGAGGCUAAUUGUCUUAAAAUUGUUGGUUUUAGACCAAAAUAAUCAUAUAAGUAACAAUAAUUUCUCUAAUAAAAUUUAACAAAUAAAUUAACAAAAAUCUCAUACCUCAAUAUUGCAUUAAAAAAUGUAAAUAAUAUGUACCAUAAAAAGUUAAUUUGGCAUGGGUUGAAACGCAGAAUAAGUCACUUUCUUUAAGACGAUUCGCACCCCUAUGAAAUAUCCUUUGGUGCAGUAAGUCUAAAUGUGUCGCCCCUAGAAUAAAAUAACCCAAUCUAUCUCAUUAGUCUACUCCAAUUUACAUUAUUGGAGUAACAGAAACUUUACAUAACACCGUCUUUGCCCUAUAAACUCUUAUAGUAGUGAGAGAAAGUAAAAUAGAAGAUAGUCUAGAAAUAGCAAAAUAUGUGUAAGACUCAGUAGAUAGAAACCUCCAUUUAUAGGCAGAGAAAUUGGGAGUAUUAAAAUACUAAUAUUAAGAGAAAUUAACGCCUCAUAUUUUCAACUACAAAUUGAAAAGUUCCAGGUUCAUUGUAUAAUGAUAAAAAUUCACUAAAUGAAUUCAUAAAACUAAUUAUUACUUAGGUUACACAAUUCAAGGCAUAAAUCUAAGUCUCAUUUUAAAGACAUAUGUUACACUUUUGAAUAUAGUUAUUAAACCCAACCUGAUCCGACAGUUGAACCGAUCAACCGAUGGACCCACAUGGAAUCGGGCCGGUUUAGCAAUUGGAUCGGAGUUGCAGAUAACUCGUUUGAACCAUUUGACUCGGAUGGUCAAACUGGUGACCUGCUAAACUUAGCGGUUUUUAUAAACCCGAUGGAUUUUGGAAAUUUUUUUAAAAUUACCUUUUUACCUAAAUUUUUAAUUUGACCAACCACAUUAACAUGGGUAUUGUUGUGUUUUUGACAAUUAGAUGAGAAAAAUUGAAAAGGGAUUUGGGAGUAGGGGUUUCUUUCUUUCUUUAACACUUAGAUUUAUUAUUUAUGUUUGUGUAUAAUAUUAAUAUGAAUUCAUGAACUAAGGAACAUACAUGGGUAUGGUUUGUAUGUAGGAACUAUGAAAUAUAAAUAGGUUAUGACUUGUUAACAUUUAAGAAUUUCUGUACUUAUAUUAUUAUUUAUAUGUUUAUUUAAUUAUAUUAUAUAUUUUUUAUUAUAUAAUGUGACUUGACGGUUCAACCGGUGACCACUGACCUGCUAAUCCGGUUCUUCUGCUGUGUUGAUUUAAUAACUAUGCAUUUGAAUGAUUGAACUUGUAACUGAAAUUUUAUUAAAGAAUUUAUAAAUUAUUGUGUUUGAAUUCAAAAUAAACAUGUGAUAUUUUUUAUUAAAUAUUACACAGUUGACUCCUCCACUUGAUUCACUUGUCGACCACACAAACAACGUGAAAUGUCUCCAUUAUCCCUCAAACCAUACAUUCAACAGAACAAAUAUCAGUUAAGGCGUUGCAUUGAUCUGAUGAAAAAGCUAGGUACAAUUUGUCCUACUAGUAGUAGUUUCCAACAUUGAUAGCCCCUGGUCCCUGACCACCAUGACUCUUGUUUCUGCCAGCAAAGAACAUUAGUACGAGUAACAAAAUAGAUGCAACUGUAGCUCACAACCUCGUACAACAAAAUCAAGCAAUAUGGUUAAGCAUUUACAUCAUACCUUGCAAUGUUUUAAAGUGACCAUAGAAUUUCUCUGUAUAUUACACACACACACACACACAUAUAUAUAUAUACAUAUAUAUAAGUAAAUUUUAUAUACACUGACAAUAUAUAUAUUAUCAUUGUUAGAUUCAUAAUAUGUGCAAAAAUUAAAUUUCAAAUUUAAAUUUUAUAAAGUUGUCAUUCAUUCAAUGUUAAUAGUGUUUACACUAUCAGCGCAAGAAAGAUUUAUAAUAUAUAUAUAUGUAUAUAUAUGUAUGUAUGUAUAGACAAACUUCCUAAAAAGAUUAUCAUGACUUUUGUUCUUUGCUUUUGACAGUAAAAGCCAAGAAUUUGAUUAACAAUUAUGGCUGCAAAUAGUAUGGGAUAGUAAAAGCUAGAGUAUAUAAAAUAAAACCACUUUGUACAGAUGAAAUGGAUAAACUAAGUGUACUUCCUUAAUGAAUUACCCGGAUAAAACAUGAUCAGAACAAAAAAGCCAAAAAUAGAUUAGUGCAAGACUUCAUAUCUUUCAAGUUUGAAGCAAGCAAAGACAAUCGCUAAACCAGAUCGACUGGAGUGAGGCCUUUCAGUUUCCGUGGGGGUGCUUUAUAUAGCUGCAAGUGGGAUUGUUUGUAGAUCAAGAUGUAUACUCGUUAUGAUAUUUUGUUAAUGUUUGCCAGGAAUUUUGGCCAUGGUUAUUUGUGGAAUAAUUUCUUGCAGGAAAUCAGCCCUAGUUUCCUCACCAAUUUGGUGCAAAAGAGACAUGCGCCUUUUUAAUCCAUUAUUAGUAAAUUUAGGAGAAACAAAGAAAAAUUGAAGAUGUUGGAGGUAAAACAAAUUUUAUUUUGAAGUAUGGAGACAUAACUAAGAGAGAGUGAACUAAAGCUUCUUUCAAAAAAACAAAUAGAAAAAAAAAGAAACAAAAAAAGACAUAUUGAAAUUUAAGUUUGUAUAAGAUUGCACAUAAUAACAAGUUGGCUUUAAGUUGGGUUGAGUGAUAAGGUAAGAUAAUGUAGGUAGAAGAUUCUGAAUUUGAAACCUUUUGUUUUAAAAAAGUAGGUUUUAAGUUUGUAUUUUCUUGGUUUAAUCACGUAUUGCCCCUUGUAAUUAGGGUCAAGUAUUAUCCCCUCUAUUUACUAAACUUACAAAUUACCCCGUCAACUAUUAGGCAAAUAUGUUAUUGUUUGGAAAAAAGACUAUUAGGUAAAUAUAUAUAUCUCUAGCAAAAAGAUAAUUAUGCCCUCAUUUGUUAGAUGAUCCUUUUUCUUUUCUUUUUUUCCCAUCCUUUUUCCUAAUAUAUAUAGUUUUUUCUUACUCUAUAGACUGUGAUUUACAAAUUUUAAAUAAGGUACCAAAAACUUCUUUUGUGGUUUAACAUAUUUUGUUAUUUUCUUGUAAAUAAAUUCUUUUAAUUAGUAAAUAUAUUUGUCACUAUUUAGUUAUGUAAAAUAUUUAACUAUCAUAAAUUAUUAAACGAUAUGUGAAAGUGUAUAUUUAAUAAAAAACCUAAAGCAAUUUCUAUUUUUCUUUAACAGUUGUGAUGUUUAUAAUGCACUAAUUGUUUAACAAAACUAAAAGGUACAUAAAGUACUGUCAUUAAAUAUUCAAUAGAAAAGGGGCGGAGGGAUGGGUUGGGUGGUAAGCAAGAGGUUUCAGGUUUGAGUUCUUCUGCUUACAAUAAAAAAAAUUCAAUAGAAAAAAUAACUGUGUAUAAUUAAGUGUCAAGUAAACUGAUAAUAAGCACAAAGAAGAAAAGUAGACGACGAAAAAGAGAAAAUAGAAGUAAUAUAUUUGUACUAAAUAUUAAUUAAUUUUAGUAACAAUUAAUGCAUAACAAUAGUAACAAUUAAUGCAUAACAAGGAGUUACUUAGAAUAAAUAUAUAUUUUUUAAUUUUUUCAUGAUAAUUAAAUUUUUCAUAAAACAUUCUUUAGUACUUUAUUAUGAAAAUUUGUAUUUCAUACUGGGAAAGAAAUUAAACAAUAAUAAGAAAAACAACAAAAAGAAGGAGAAAAUGACAAAUGGUCAUUGGACAAUAUUUUAAUAACAACAUUGGCAUAAUUUAUCUUUUUUGCUGUCCAAAUACAUUAGACUAUUACCAUCAUAGGAUAAUUUGUAGGUUUCAUGAAUACAAGCAUUUGCUACUAAUACCUAAUUACAAGGAAGCGGAAUGUAUUUAAACCAAUUUCCUUCUCCUUCUCCUUGAAAAUAUAAACUCCCAAAAUAGGCCUUAAGCGACAUUUUGUCAAAACAUCAUGGGUCCAUAUGGAAUUUAGCGCAACAAAUUUUGGUCACAUGUGCAAAUAGGUUCCAAAUUGUGCCAUUCUAAUUUCUAAAUAGAAAUUUAUCUAUAAAAAAAAAAAAAAACAGCAAUCCGGACAAGUCCCUGAUUCCUUCCCACCACAAAAAAAAACAAAUUCUGCUGUACAGAAAAAUUAUACUCCUACUAAAAAUAAUUAUUUUUUUUAAAGAAGAAAAACUAAAAAAUAAAAUAUCCUUCCCAUUUUACCCUUGGGAAUUCCUUCUCUCUCUCUCUCUCUCUCUCUCUCUUUCCCUUUCACUCUCGUUGGUUUCACCACCACCGUUCACUGCCUCCACUCUCCAUUCGUUUCUCUCCCUCCACUUUCAAUCCUCCAAACGACGUCGUAGCCGAAGGCGGGCCGAAACCAAAAAUCCGCAAAAGAGAGAAGCCAUCUUGGGUUCCAUCCAACAACUCCACAAUUCUGCAGAUUUAUCAUCUAUUUCUAUAAAUUCUCUGUAAAAAAAGAGAAAAAUUUUUAAUUGUUAAAAAUGAGCUCCGAUUCGGCUGUGCCGUCUCCCGGUUCUGUUCAUGGCGGCAGCCUCGAUGAGCAGAUUUCUCAGCUUAUGCAGUGCAAACCCUUGUCCGAACAAGAGGUGAAUGUGCAAAAGUUAUUUACGUAUUUGUUAGAGAUGCUCUUUGAUCUGUUUCUUGAAUUUCGGUUUUUCUUCCUUUCCUUGUGGGAGUUUACGGUACUUUUUUUGGCGAAAUUAAGGAGCUUUUCGUGUACGUGGUUGAAUCUGGUGAUGUAGUGAAAUGGGUUGUUAAAUCAGAUCUAUUUUGGAAUUUUUUUAUUUUGUAAUGGAGGAGAAGGUUGGAAAGUUUUGAACUUUUUUUUGGUUUUCGAUUUUUUUUGGGAUAACAUCAGAAUGCACCAGAAUUAUUUGCUUGUUUUCUUUCAUUUAUAAAACCAAAGGAAUGGAAUUUUUUUUGGUUUUUUUCCUUUUUUUAAAAAAUUAAUUGACCCCUUAUUCUUCAAUGGGAUUCUGGAAAUUUAGCAUUUGAGUUCUGUUCCUGGAUAAUUUAAUAUACAAAGAGAUUUUUCGAGUUUUUUUUCCUUUUUUUGGGACAUGGAGUUUACGCACUUCGUAGUAAGGUUGAUUGUGCUACAAAUUUCGUUAUGAUGUAGAAAUGGUCUUUCAGUAGAAACAACCAUUUUAUUUAGUUUAUUUUAGUUUUUUUUUUUGGGGGGGGGUGGUGGUGGGGUGGAGAGGGGGAGAAAAUGCUGAUCUUUUUACUAUUCCUGUAGAAGGGGAGGGGUGAGGGGAAGAAGCUGAUGGGGUAUGGGGACAGUGAUAAUUGAAAUUUUCACUUUAAGAUGAGGAAUAAACACUGUUAACCAUUUGGAAUAUUCAAUUCUAGACCUUUCUAGGUUGAGCAAGUUCUUUAUUGUUAAAUUUUGAUAGAGGAUUACAUAUCUUGUUACAGUCACUGAAACAUUAGAACAAGUCUCAGAGAAUAUUUAUAAUAGGCCAGCUGUUUUGUUUGUGUUUGGGAUAAGUUCAUUUGCUAGAUAUGUUAUGGGGUUAAGGGGGGAGAGCAGGAUGGGAUUGGGAGCAUCAAAUUGUAGUCAAUCUUCUCUGAAUUUGUGGCAACUGAAAUUUAAUGUGGUUGGGGCUAGUUAUGAAGAAUCUUAAAAAAAAGGAAGAAUUACAGUUUGAGGCGAUUUUCCAUAGAAUGAGACACAGCUUUGUAUGCAUAUUUAGAGUGAUCAGUUGCGUGUCAAGAUGUAGAUGUGCAAUGAUUUAAAGGAGGGAGGGCAAGAUGAGAUUGGGAGCAUCAAAUUAUAGUCAAUCUUCUCUGAGUUUGUAGGAACUGAAGUUUAAUGUGGUUGAGGCUGGUUAUGAAGAAACCUAAAACAAAGAAGAAUUACAGUUUGAGGCGACUUUCCAUAGAAUGAGACAUAGGUUAGUAUACAUAUUUAAAGUGAUCAAUUGCAUGUCAAGAUGUAAAUUUGGAAUGAUUAUUAUCCAAAAUAGGUAAAUUCUAUCUGUGGUAAUGCGUCAUAUACACAUUUGAAUUAUUUAUCUUGUUGUGUAAUCCUAUUGAAUUUUUUGUUUUGGUGGUUGAAAUAUUAUUUUUCAAGUGCUCUUUUCUUCCUGUAUAUAGGUGAGACUGCUAUGUGAGAAGGCCAAGGAGAUCUUAAUGGAUGAGAGCAAUGUUCAAGUAUGAUUUUCUCUGAUAAUUUUAUUAAUGCUGCAAUGCACAAUCUUCUGGUUGCUUAUGUACUUGAUUUUUGUUGUCCGUGAACUAUUAUAUUGAGGUGCAUGUAAGAGGAACUGUUGGUUACGGUAGAACAUUCUUCUGAUGGUACAUGGUUGGGAGAAAACUUGUUGUUUAACAUUUAAUUGUAAAAGUAAUAUUUUAUGUAGGGGAGAAAGUUAAAGAAAAUAUGCUAACUUGUUUAUGCAUUUACAUGUGGUGGAUUUUUUGGUUAUGUGGAGUCAAAAGGUUUCAGCUUUAAUUCAUGCUGCAUGUUUUGAUCUCCUUUAAAUGAUCUAAUUUUUUUCAACUUAAAGCUGUUGUUUCGGUGAUUUUGAGGUUUUGGAGUUGCUUUUGUGAAUUAUCAAACUGACAAAGCUUUGUUGUUGUCCUCCUAGAAAAUUUUUUAUGAUAUCUAUGGUUCUGCUGCAUAGUCUGAAAUCACAUUUUUUUAAAUGAUGUAGCUAGAAAGUUUUUUGCCCAGAAUUUGCAUGAACUUGGUAAUAAGUUUUUCUUCUGAUAGAUAUAGGCUGUGUUUGUUGGUCAUAGUUGGUCUCAACAUCAUAUAUAGUGAGGCAAUGAUCUUCAAAGCAUUUUUAUUGACUUAGCAGAAACUCUAUGUUUAAUAUGCAUGCAAGGAGCUUUACUAUGCCUUUUGAAUGGGUGUAACAUGAAGCCUGACAGUUUUUAUUCAUUUUGGUCUUUCAUUUGGUCUUGUCAUAUUGUUUGUUGUCUAUCAAAGAAUCUUCCUGGUUUAUAGAAUGUAAUGUGAUGUAAGGAGUUUCACUUUCUUUGAUGUCUGUGUAGCCUGUGAAGAGUCCUGUGACCAUAUGUGGUGACAUUCAUGGACAAUUCCACGAUCUUGCUGAGCUUUUCCGUAUUGGUGGCAAGGUAUCUGCUCAAUCAAUACUCUGCCUCCUCAAUCAAUUGGUUUCUUGAGAUAACUGUGUUCAGUUGUUUCAUCUCUCUGUACUUUGGGUAUUAGACCAAGUUUUUAUAUUGGGGCAGGAAGGGUAUAUAAUUUUUCCAAAUGACCUGAAUGGAUUGGUCCCAUCGUAGCAUGAUUCUCUCUCUCUCUCUGCGGUUCAAAUGCUUGUCUAGUUGUUUGUCCUCCUAUUGCAACAUUGUUAUGGUGCUGGAGUCUUCUAGGUCUUGUCAGUUAUUCAUGUUUUUUAUAUUUUGGUAACAUAAUCUAUAUCCUUGGGAUUUGACUUGAUUAAGCUUUUUUUCUCCUUAAUAUGUUUGUCAAGUUGAAUCUUACUAAUUAAGUUUAUUUGCGUGCUUUGCAGUGUCCAGAUACAAAUUAUUUGUUUAUGGGAGAUUAUGUAGAUCGUGGGUAUUAUUCAGUUGAAACUGUAACUGUGAGUUUUAAACUUUUCUUUCAAUCUGUUACAUAUUAAUGAAAAUAGUUUCUUUGCUUAGCCAUGUUAAUCGUGAUAACCAGAAUAUCUGCAAUUGCAUUACUUCUUUUUUUCUCCUCUCUCUCUUUUUGUUAGGAGACUCAAAUUUAUUUUAGAUAUUGGGCAGCUGAUGGUGGCAAAUUAAGUAUAGGUUGGCAAUCUAAAUUCAGGUUUUAACUAUAGCUUGUGCAAUGCUAUGGCUAGAGAAAAAUUGAUCUUGAGAUGUGUAAAUUGAGGCUUUGAAUUGGAAAAAAUGAUCUUCAUGUGUGUCAGUCCUGUUAGUUAAAAAUUUUGAGUUGCCAUUAAAAAAUUUAAGCUGGGUGAAUACACUGAAAUAAAUUCUCCUUAUUCCUUGCAUGAAAUUGAGCAUGCUGUGUGCACAACUGUGUCCCUGCAAACUUAUUUUUACACAAUAGAUCAUCAUGUUUUGGCAAGUUAUUUUGUGUUUUUUCGCUAGUCUUCUCAAAUAUGCUUCCUACUUUGUUGUAGCAUGCAGAAUUUGGUUUAAAAUAUUUGUGAGGGCAAAAAUAGUUAGUGACUUUAUCUUAUACUUUAGUAUUUAGAACACAAAGGUAUAUGCCAGAAUUUCCUAUUCUAUAUGUUUCAAUACUCAGUUCCUGAAACUUUUGGUGGUUUUGGUCUAAUAGUUAAUGUAUGUCUUCUUUUUUUCUUUGUUUUUCCCCUUCUUUCUUUCUUGCCAUGUUUCUUUAGUUAGUACUGCAUUUUGGGUGCUGCAAUGGUUGUUCUAAUUUUGAUUAGUCAAAUUUCUUCUCAGCUUCUGGUAUCCCUCAAAGUGCGUUACCCUCAACGAAUUACUAUUCUAAGAGGAAAUCAUGAGAGUCGACAGGUAUAUAGACUAACCUGUCUUGCUUCUCAUACACUUUCUUUAGCUGUUAAACAACCCAGUUAUGGCUCCCAUUUCUGUUCACUAGGAUGAGUCCCCAAUGUGUUGAAAUUAACAUUAAGUGGAGCUGGGUGGUAGCUACCUUUUUUAUCGUCAGAAGUUGUAAUUUGAGAGAUUAUAGGUCUAUUCUCUUCUGUAUUCUGCUGGAUUUAUUUCAUUUUGAAAUUUCCCAUCAUGUUAUGUCUUUUGGGUUUGGAUGCUUUAUGCUAAACUGGCUCUUUUCCCCCCAUUUCCUGUCUCAGAUUACUCAAGUAUAUGGGUUUUAUGAUGAAUGCCUAAGGAAGUAAGUUCUUGUCUUCUUUUUCAGUUUCAGACUUUCCUUUGGAAAUGCUACUCCCUUUGUCCCUUUUGGCUUUUAUUGUUCAUGCUUAAGUUGAAAAUUUGAUGCUAAGCUAAUUUGGCAGGUUAAAGGUUGAGCAAAAGUUGGUAGUAUAAAAGUUGAACUCAAUGAACUCAGUAUCAUCAGUUGAUUAAUUAUCUUGCAUGUGAAGCUAAUUAUCUUUCAUGUGAAGCUUUAGAUGAUAAAAUCUACUUUUCAUGGAAUAUAUAUAUAUGGGGCUUAUUGCUGCUUGCUUAAGUGCAUUGAAUUUAGAAUGGUUUUGACCUUUCUGAAGAUACACCUUGCAAUAUGCAUUGGAGUAAUAUUGAUUUGUCUAGAUGUUAUUGGAACCUUUGUACAAUUCAGCAUUGUACCUUGGCACACUGCUUUUAUGAAUUUGUACACAGUUGCUGGCAAACUUCUUUUGCUUUGCCAAAAGAGGUGUCAUUUGCAACUGAUUUUGUUUUAUAGAAGUAUUGCAUUAGGAAGUUGGCAUCCUGUUACCCCUAUCCAUUUCUAAUUGUCAGGGGUGUCGAAUUGGUGCAAAAUGUGACAUGAACAAAAUCUUAAUGUUGAAAAUGAUACAGACAAUUGAGGGAAUUCAAGGGAAAACAGGUGUUGAAAAGUGUUUCAGAUGUAGUAGCCACAAUGGAUUUCUUUUACUUGUCUACGUUAUAGAUCCCAAAUUGUCUACUUGAUCGUGAACUCAUUGUAUUUAAUGUCUACGGCUGCAGUGUAUUAAUUGGAACUGACUGUAUUAAUUGUUGGCUAUCUCUACCUUGCAGAUAUGGCAAUGCAAAUGUCUGGAAGAUUUUUACUGAUCUAUUUGACUACUUUCCACUCACUGCGCUGGUAAUUAACAUUCCUUUGGCAAUUAUUGGUGUACUUUUUCCUAAAUUGAUCAGGACUUUUCUUCUUGUGGACAUUGCAGAGUGGUUAGUGUUUGAAUUUUUUCUUGAAGUCACAGAAAUUGUUUCAUUUGAUUACAUGUCACAGCAUCUUGACAUUAGAUAUGCAUUUGUUGGAAGUAGCGCUCUGAAGGUUGAUAAAUUACUUCUGACAUGUUAUAAUAUGUUAAAAGAUGUUAAAUAAGUCUUGUAAUUUCAGAUGGUUGGGAUUUUGACUUGGUUGCAGGUGCGGCCGUAAAUGAUAAAGAUGUUCUUUGCAACCACUUUAUUUGGAUGUCAAAAACAUAAUCCCUUAAUGCUCAUUUUCCCUGGUCAUCCCUGACAUGACCAUCCUCCAAUCCAAGCCCUUGUUUUUCAAAGUAAAUGAAUUUUUGUUGGGAUCAUUGGCUUAUUGCAUUUUUUGAAGUUAUUUGAUCGAAAGUGAAAUGGGGGAACAAAACUUGAAUUGUGUUCAAUCAUUAAUCACUUCGGGGGAUAUGGUGAAGCACUGGGAAUUGUUGGUAAAUUCUUUGGCCAGACAAUGAAUGAUUAAUGAAUCCAAGAAGUCAAUAUGUAAUUUAGAUUUCUCAAGUUGUAAAACAUGUGGCAGCAAUUCUAUUGCUUGUGCAAUUCUUCAGAUUUGCAGAUGCCCCACCCCAUUUGGUAUUGUGGGUUAUUACGUCAUAGCCUUCAUUUUAUCUUGUUUUUGCUCUUAAUUUCUUGGAAAGAGGUUUUCUUGUGACUCUGCAAGGAUGUGGUUUGUUUGGGAGGAGAGAAGUGAGUAAAACUGAUUAAUUGCCUGUCCUCUUUUUCUACCUGCUUUGGUGGAAAAAUUGCGCACUUUAUAGCAGUUGCCAUCAAGACUGUCUCCUUAACCAUAUUAAGGAUCAGUCUUUCGACUGAGCACGAAGAACCUUUAUCACCACAUACUAGUUUCAUUGGUGCUACUAGUUUGGUGGUAUCUGUCAGGAGCACUGCUUUUAUGUGUGCUGAAGUGCAAACUGGAGUGCCAUGGUCUUAUGUGAGAAAGUUGAAUGGAUGAUUCUUGUAGUCUUAGUGAUAGUUUUCUCAACUUAGAUGGGCUCUCUAGAUUAUAACUGUUUCUCUUGCCUUGUGUCUUGCUGUUGACGAUGUGGUCAUAUCUUGUACGUGUUUAAUGUCUUGUCUUGAAAUAUUCUAGGUUGAGUCAGAAAUUUCUGUCUGCAAUGGAGGGUUGUCUCCGUCAGUUGAAACUCUAGACAAAUACGAAAUUUUGAUCGUGUACAAGAAGUUCCUCACGAGGGACCCAUGUGUGAUCUUUUGUGGUCUGACCCUGAUGACCGUUGUGGUUGGGGCAUUUCACCCCGCGGUGCUGGAUAUACAUUUGGCCAAGGUAUCUGCUCUUCCCUUCAGUUGUUUUCGUUGAAUCAUUGAUAUCACGCGAAGUAAAACUUUCUUGUUUCUCGAAUUUCAACAGGACAUAUCAGAGCAAUUUAAUCACACCAACAAUUUAAAGCUUAUUGCUAGGGCACAUCAGUUGGUUAUGGAAGGAUUCAAUUGGGCUCAUGUAAAUAAUCUCUCAACACUGUGAUGCCUUACCCCCCCCCCCUUUUCACCCUCCAACUUUUUCCAAAAUGGGAUAUGACUGUUCACAUUAUAAUGCUAAUUAUUACAGGAUCAAAAAAGUUGUUACCAUAUUUACGCACCAAAUUAUUGCUAUCGCUGUGGAAACAUGGCGUCCAUCUGGAAGUGGAUGACUGCAAAGGCCAGCACAUUUAUUCAGGUAAUCUGUCUAAUUUGUUUCGCCUACACAUUCCCCUUUCAUGUGUUUAAUGGUGAGUAGAAGGAAAAGAGUCUUGCUUGCAUUAGCUGUUUGGAUGUAUCGUUUGCUUCUUUUUGCCUUUUGAUCCCCGAGUUAAACAUAUUUGUGGCUGGCAGUUUGAGCCUGCUCCUCGGAGAGGAGAGCCAGAUGUAACUAGGAGAACACCAGAUUACUUUUUAUGAUGAAGCUGGCAUAUGCUAUGGUUCAGUGACUGUGUUACAGAAGGUCUGUGCUUGCUGCUUUGUGCAUCAAGAGCUGUUUCUGAGAUUUGUUAUCAUUAUGUUUCAAAUGAGGUGGUUGGCAGAAAGAAUUUACAGAAGGGCAGAUGAUGCACUCUCUUGCAGUUGCUAUCCUGAAACUGUACGCAGAUACAGCAAAACGAGGUGUAGGAUCUGGGACACUUACUGCUGCUUAUGUACCAUUUCAUGGAAUUGAUGCGGCAUCAAUUUUUUCGUAUAUCAAUCUUUCAUCCUCCCUUUUUACACGUCCUUUAGUUAUCUAAGCGAGUCCAUUCUGUUCUUACAUUUUCCUUCACUUUUGUAGGACAAUUUCUAGUUCGUUCUUAUUGUAUUCCCUUGUAGAAGGGCAUACUCUCACUUGGGAUGGGGUUUUUGUGAGGAAAGAUGGUCUGUUAUUAGGCUUCUUUCGGAUGUUUUCAGUGGAUGUUCUGCUAUUGUUUCUGGCCCCUAAGUGGAUGGGUUUGCCUCAUUAUGGAUUCAUUAAACGUCCAUUAUAGCCAUCUUAACACAGUUAACAUCGGUAUUUCUGUUCAGUCUGACGUUUGUCUGAUUUGCUUGAUGGUAUUAGUGGCCAACCAAAAACAAUUGCAGGUUGAUGGAUCAAGUUAAAUGACUUGUGCUAAUGACUAUCUAUAGGGAUCUUAUGUUUUUGAUUAUUGGAAAUCUAGUUUUGCGAGUGAUGUUUCUUUAUCUGGAAUUCUGGAUUUCUCUACUAGUUGUGGUAGUUUUUCCUCUGCAGACAGUCACAAGCUGAUUUGCUCAAACUCCAGGCUCCAGUAGAUGUUUCGUUGUGGAUUGG
RNAcentral lists this long non-coding RNA (166492 nucleotides) under Coffea arabica (coffee). Its description in RNAcentral is "long non-coding RNA (CARA_LNC000060)". The record is from RNAcentral. Lineage: Eukaryota; Viridiplantae; Streptophyta; Magnoliopsida; Gentianales; Rubiaceae.